RNAcentral lists this long non-coding RNA (91656 nucleotides) under Setaria viridis. RNAcentral describes it as "long non-coding RNA (SVIR_LNC005070)". The stretch from base 73419 to 73527 matches the Rfam family "MIR167 microRNA precursor family". The record is from RNAcentral. Lineage: Eukaryota; Viridiplantae; Streptophyta; Magnoliopsida; Poales; Poaceae.
GCUGCGGCGCAUCAAUCCCCACCUCAAAUUGCCCCCCACCGCCAGCGCCUGGCGCCGAGGAGAGAGAGGAAGAGGGGACAGAUUCUCCGUGUCGUCGCCGAGUUUUGUCCGGCAGAGAGGGCAAGGGCGAGCAGAGCAGAGGCGGCGAGAUGACUCAUAUCCUUCCCAACCCCGAUUAGAUCUGCGCGUUUUCAUCAUCUCUUACGUUUGAUUGCUUGAUCUGUUGUUGUUUCGAUUCCGUUCUUGCUCUGUUGCUUCCUCCUUGACUCGGCGCGCACGCGGCAACCAGAGGGAACGCGACCGUGAGCGCGCGGCGGCGCGGAAGCCCAACGCCAAGGGGUCCCAGGACGGGCUCACCCCGGAGCAGCGCCGCGAGAGGUGCGUGUCAUCGAUUUGAUUCCAUCCCCCCCUUACGUUUUGCUUGACUCGAUCGGUCUCCGAUACGGCCGAAUCUCGGUCGGUUGGUUCUGACCCUCUUCUUUCCGAUCCGGUUUGUGGGAUCUUUGCUGGCAGGGACAAGAAGGCGCUGGAGGAGAAGGCGGCCAAGAAGGCGCAGCAGGCGGCGGGCGGCGGCACCGGGACCUCCACGGACAACAAGAACAAGGGCGGCGGCAAGAAGUAGGGGCCGCACUGGGCGCCCGCGGCGCAACUCUGUACGAUUAUCGAUGCCAUUAGCUUGUGUGCCUUCGCAUCCACGUAGAUGCGAUGUUUGUUGGGUCAUAAACUCAUUCGUCGUCUGCAAGCUUGCAGUUACUCUGAUACAUCAUGAAUUUGUGAUGGCAAUAAAUACGUGGCGUUUUGGUUUUGUGGGUUAUGUUCUGUUUGCCUUUGCGUUCCGUGGUCUGUGUGAUUGUGCUAUCGUUGGACCUCUUGAGUAUCACAACUAGCAUACAAGAUGCAUGAUAAUAAGAGAUGUCUUGCUACUUGUAAGCAUCUGUCUACUAGCUUGUUGAAACUGGAAAGUUGAUUAUGCUGUUGUGCUGUCUAUUUUUUUUUCACGGUACUGUCAACCCCAUUCGUAAAUGAAUGCUGUGAGUAGAGCUGCUUAAAUAGCUUAUGCUUGUUAACGUCUGGCCGGCCGCACCGUGAGAGCCCCGUCCUCGCGACACAAAGGCAAGGUGCAUGACUGCCCCUCCAAGCACAGGUACGUACCUUCGUCCUUAUCAAUCAAAAUUGGAAGCACGCGGCGACCGCGUUUCAUUUGAUCUCCCAGGACGGAGUUCGUCGAUCUGAUCGGAGCAGCGACAGGCAACGGCGUCUGCGUGGCGACUGCCACCGGUGUGUUGGAGCCGCGCUGACUUGAGUUUCCCAUCUAUCUGCGCACGAUCAACAGGACCGUGUCAGAAGAGCCAAUCUCCACGACAUAAGGGCGAGGUGCACGAGCAAUGCCGUGAGUGGCUGAUGCAAUUCUAGGUCAGUCAAACUGCAUCAAAAUCAAAAUCAAUAUUUUUCUGUGUGCUUCUUUUCUUAUCAAACUGUCAAAAAUAUUGUUCAGUCUAGGACCAGGUCUCAUUUAACUGGCAAAAAUAGGAUGAUGGCAAGCAGUCUGAGAAUGUACAUACAUGAUUAGAUUGGUUCAGUGGGGAUUAGAUAAAAUCCUCAUGUUGAAAGAAUCUGCUUUCUGAAACAAUUUUUUGUCUGAAUGUAGCAAUUGUGGAGCCAUGGUAUAUUGCCUACCAAUUUUAACUUUGUUUCACGGAUAGAGAUUUCACUGAUUAUUACAAGUACAACCCCCUUUUACAGAAAGAGAUUGGUGUCCUGGAUGCUGUUCGGCUCUUGAGUUCUUUAUGCAUAUCAAAACAUCUGUCUAGAUGUUGUUCGGCUCUAUCUGAAUGGUAUUUGUAACCUCUGAAUUUCCAUUCAUUCAAGGUUGAAGGUUGCAAUGAUGGUAGCUUAGAAGAGGUAAAAAGACCCUUAGCACUACUUAAAUAUUCCUUGGUAGUAAGUUAAUAUCGUUGCUGGCAAACACCCUAUACACUUCUGAUCAUGCUGGACCAAUUGUUGAACUGGGUCCGAUGUCAGAGUGGCAAUUGAUCAAGAAAGAUGGCAUUUUGCGGUUCUUUUCUGAUUUAGAACUGAUCAAGGGACAUGUACUCCGAUUGCACUGAAGUGGUUGAACUUCAGUUUCUCCGAUGUCAGAGUGGCAAUUGAUCAAGAAAGAUGGCAUUUUGCGGUUCUUUUCUGAUUUAGAACUGAUCAAGGGACAUGUACUCCGAUUGCACUGAAGUGGUUGAACUUCAGUUUCUCUGAUGUUUCAACUUUCAAUAUGGUAUCUGUAGCUGAAUCUUUUUUUUUAGUUUCUGAAAUUCUGAAACCAGGAUGUACUUGAUCAAUACUAGCUAUUCUGGAAUUCUGAAAACACUAUUGUCGAAUAACUAGCUAUUCUUCAGGUCAAGAAGGAAUUGGAGGGUUUGAGACAGCCCGUAGAGUAGCCUAAACAUAUCCUAGCUUCUUGAACAAGUCUCUUGCUUCUUGAACAAAUGUUUCUCCAGGUGGCCUGCGAAUGGAGGGAGUAUUCUGUUACAGCAUGUGUGGCUGUUUUAUGAAGGUCUCAAGACACAUCAACAUCAAAGUGGAGAACAAGAUGGUAAGGACAGGUUGCACAGGGAGCUUGAUGGCAUUCAGGUUGAGCUGCAAGCCUCUGAAGAAGCUACCAAGAUGUUACUACCUUUGUCAACUGAGCUAGUAGCUGAUCAAAAGCUUUGUCUGAAAGUUCCAGUAUUCUGUUCGGAUUCUUUGGGGGUAUGAGCCAUAAUGACGUGCCUGUAACUAACUAUUAUCAUUUCAGAAGGGCCAUCCUUCAGCUAAUAUUUGGCCUAGUUCGUUUUGGAACUAAUUCAUUGAUAUUUGGUUCAUCUUGUAAAUCAUGUUUGGUGCUUCUUGGAGCUUUACAAAAAUGCCUGUCAAUUGGGACUGGGCUCCCAAAUCAGCAGACCAAAGACAGAACCGCUGCUAAAUCACACAAAUCCUGUACAAAUCAAACAAUGCACUUCGAAUCGCCAACCAAAAAAAAAAUCAUCAAACCAAACAAUCCGCAAUAGAUCAAACCCUAACCAGAUCAAGCAGAUUUGAAACAAGCUGAUCGGAGAGAACUUCAAAUCAAAAGCCAACAGCAAACCCUAGAGUUCUUACCCCACAAGUCAGUCAUAGACGCAGAUCAAAACUCGGAUCAGCGGUCAACAGAUGCCGGACGGUGCAGAUCAGAUGGGGCGCGCCAUCGGACAAGCAUAAAAUCAAGGGCACUCGAGUGCAGAUUUCCGUUAAACAUUGGUGCUCAACCUCGUUACAGAAUACAAAAAAAAUGCCGACCACCACACCCACGUUAAAAAUGCCGACGCCCACCGACGUCACAGAGGGUGCCUUUGGUUGGACUUUUGAACCUGCUUUUGCUUUUGCAAAAGUCAAAAGUCAAAAGCAAAAAAGCUCUAUAUGCUUUUGCCCAAAAGCUGCUUUUGGUGUAGUACAAAUGCAAAAGCACCCUCCUCCCUGCUUUGAGGUGCUUUUGGGGUAAAAAAUUACCCACCUGCCACUCUUUAUGAAAGGUAACGGUUCUUUUUUUUCCGAUCUAUUUCUAGCGCAAGUCUUCCGUCAACCGUCCGCCUCCCGUAUUCUCCAGCGCCGCCCCCGGCGGACCGUCUCCCUCCGAGUCCCGGUCGCCGGCCCUCCGGCCCCAGUCGCCGGCUGCCGCCCCAGUCGCCAGUCUGCCUCCUGAUCCGGUCGCCACCCCUGGAUCACCCGCCACACCGCGCCCCCGGCCGCCGCACCCGGCCGUCCGCCUCCAGCCUCGUAUUUCGUAUGUACAUGUUCCUGCCGCCGACGGCCGUUGUAUUCUGCGCGUCUGCUCUCACGUCCGUCUCGUUGAAGGUGAGUCGCUGGGACUUGGCUCGAUUUCAUCGACAAUUUCAUCUGUCGAUGGUAAUAGUUGCUGCCGUGGUAGUAAUGAUGGCUAGUAGAUCAGUAGCAAUGAUAGGCAGUAAUGAUGAUGAAGUAGCCCCUGUUGCCGUAGACGUUGAUGGCUAGUAGAACAGCAGCACUUUCUAUUUACGAUUUGACAGGGAGUAAUGAUGAUGAAGUAGCUCCUGAGCUCACCGAAUCAAACUGGUAGCUUUCUAUUUACGCAUUGUAGGUCUUCUUAUCAAUGUUUGAACUGGUAGCUUUCUUUUCGUGGAAGGAAAAUAGAAACCCCAGGAAGUUUACAACCUCAUUUUCAUUUUAUCUAAGCUAUUUAAUAGUUUUUAAGAUGGUAGUGGCUCAAAAUUGUUCACAUGCAAUUCUUAUAAUUUAUUGAAGUCACAAUAUCUAUCAUUAGUCAUAUGAAUUGAAUCAAACAAUAUUUUUGGUUGGCUGAAGAAUGGGUGAUAAGGCGGAUUGGGGUGAUGCUUUUUUAAGGCAUUUGAUUGAUGCCUGCAAAGAAGAGAUUGAAGCCGGGAAUAGGCCGAUGGGAAUUUUUACUACUACCGGUUGGAAGAAUGUUGUUUCAAAGUUUGCAGAAAAAUCCGGUGACAAGAGAACAAAAAAAACAAUUGAAGAACAAGUUAGAUCUUCUUAAAAAAGAGUAUUCAACAUUUAUGGAGUUCAAGAAUUGUGCAACUGAUCUUGGAUGGGAUGAGGCAAAACAAACUAUUGACUGCUCAGACGAAUGGUGGGACGAACACCUUGCUGUAAGAACUAUGUUGUCAUUGUAAUUAUAUUCUUCCCAUUCUUCAUUAUGGUGUGCCUUAUUAAACUUUUUUUUUCUAAUUGUAGAGAUGCAACAAUCGUGAGAAAGGAAUCAAAUGCCACCAUGUGAAGUUUCGAAAACAAGGACCCAAGUUCCUUGAUGACCUGCAUAUCUUGUUUGGCAAGGCACAUGUAAGUGGGUCUUCUGCAUCCUGUCCUGGAGAUAUAUCAUCCGAUGAGGCAAGUGAUGAGGAUGUGGAUGAGGUAGCAAAACCUAAGCAGAAGGAUAUGACAGUAAACCUAGGAAAAAGGAAACGUAAGGGUACCUCCAUUGGUGUUGAAGAGAAGGAUGAGAAGAGCCCAUUCUUUCGUUUGUACAAGACCACUUGUUUGAAGAUAGAAAAUGCUGCAGAGAGGAUCUCCACAAGUGUUGAAGCAUCAUCAGCUCCUCCAACCAACCUAGUUCCUACCAUUACAGAGACUAUGAAGAUGGUGAAAGAAUGUGGGGUGCAAGAAGGAACUGCUCUAAUGCACACAGCCGCCUCCCUAAUUGUUAAACCUGAAUUUAGGGAGCUCUUUAGCUCUCUAGAAACAACUAAAGGAAGGCUCGAUUUGAUUGAGAGGGAGCUAGAAAAGGAGAUGAUGAAGCGCCACUGAUUUGUUUCCAUGUUUGUCAGAUUAUUUUAUUAUCAUAUGUGACAAGAAUUUUCCUAUGUUGAACCAUAAUUUGUUACCCUAUGUUGAACCAUAGUUUGCUUGGAGAUGUGAAAUAUUAUUUAUCUAUUAUUGUGUUAUGUUGAGCUUCUUCAUUUAGUAUUGUCAAGAAAGUUGUUGUAUUUAAUUAUUAAUAUACUAAUGUCUCAUGUAGAUGGAUGAUAGAUUGGGAGAUGUAGCCAAAGGAGGACAAAAAGGACUACUACUGCUAGCUAAACUUGCACAACAUGCUGGUGCUAUGGGAGAAAUGGGAAACUUGUAUACUAAGCGGUAUUUGCAUAAAGCUGAAUAUAGGGAAACGUCAGAAACUGGAAUUCAAUGGGUGAUGAGGUGUAUGUCACGUCCGAGGUAUUUUUAUAAGAUGUUUCGGAUGAGCACCGAGAUUUUCGAUAAACUUCAUGACUUGCUAGUCUCUACUUACGGAUUGACCUCAACCAACAAUGUUUCAUCUACUAAGUCAUUGGCAAUGUUCUUGUGGAUCGUCGGAGGACCGCAAUCUUUUUCACAAGCUGAAAAUCGUUUCACGUGGUCACUUUGGACAGUUCACAUGAAGUUUCACGAAGUGUUGAAGUGUUUGCGCAAGUUAGCUAAGGACAAUAUUAAACCAAGAGAUCCCACUUUUUCUACGGAGCAUAAAAGGGUGAGAGAGGACCGUUUUUGGCCAUACUUUAAAGAUGCAAUUGGAGCAAUAGAUGGUUCACAUGUUAAAGUGGUAGUGCCAGUGGACGAAGUGGUUAACCACACAUGUCGUCAUGGAUAUACAUCUCAGAAUGUGCUAGCUAUUUGUGACUUUGAUAUGAGGUUCACCUUUACGGUUGCCGGGUGGCCGGGUUCUGCACAUGACACACGUAUCCUCAAUCAUGCAUUGGCAAAUUUUCCUUCAUUCCCCGUACCUCCUAAAGGUAUACAUGGUUCCUUCAUCAAAUUAGCAAUACUUGUAUUAUUAUCUACCUUACUAACUUGGUUUUGUAGGAAAGUAUUAUCUUGUGGACUCGGGUUACCCAAACCGAAUUGGGUAUCUUGCGCCUUUCAAAGGAAGCACGUAUCAUAUACCAGAAUUUCAGCAUCGUUCGGGGCCUCCCCAAGGAAAGUACGAGAUGUUCAAUUUAUUGCAUUCAUCUCUUCGUAAUGUCAUUGAAAGGUCUUUUGGAGUCUUAAAGCAGAAGUGGCGUAUUUUGAAGGACAUGCCAAGUUUCUCACCUCGUACUCAGAAACAUAUCAUUAUGGCUUGUCUUGCAUUGCAUAAUUUUAUUCGUGACAGCAAUUUGUGUGAUAAGGAGUUCAAGAGAUGUGAUGAUGAUGAGGAUUACUUGGUACAACAUACAUGUGGUAUGAGACAAACACAAGGAGAUGAUAGUGACGAUGUGGAGAAUGAGGAUACCAUGAAUACCAUUCGUACUAGGAUAGCUGAUGCUUUGGUUAGUGCGAGAGGAGGAGAGUAAUGUUGAGGUAUGGCAUCUUUGUAUAGAACUUUUGAUGGAUAGUUCUAUUUAUGUGGACCAAUUACUUUAAUGGAUGAAAAACAUAUAAAAUUUAUUUUUUUCUUCCUAAAAUAGUGGUUUACAUUUGAACUAGUGAACGCAUUAUUUUGUUACGAGCAAUUUGCAUAUAAACAAACUCACAGAUCUUUAGGGGCAUUACAGGUAUUUCUUACACAACCUACAGUUUCACAGCUCCUCUAACCAAACAGUCUUCUGCUUUUCCCACAGCUGCUUUCUCACAGCUGCUUUUCCACAGCCCACAGCUCACAGCAGCUUUUCCAAAAGCCACAACCCAACCAAACGCACAAAGAAUACAGAAAAAUACCAACCCUACAGACCGAGCAGUGCUAUAAAGUACCAAAUUUUCAAGGAUGAACAUGAGACUGAGAGCACAAGUCUUACUAACACAAGCUAGAGAAAAUAACUAAAUAGGGGGGACACCGGAUAGAUUCUCAACAGGGUUUAGGUUUAGAGUAAGGGGUGCUUGGCAGCACUCCACUCCAUAAAAAAUAGCUCCACUCCACCAAUUUCACAAAACUUCCUACCAAACACGUCCUGCUCCACAAACUCCAGCUCCAGAAAAAACGUGGAGCUAGGGGUCAGGUCCACGUUUUUCCUAGAGUACCUCAGGGGUGCUCCAAAAAUAUUAGUUUCAGUCUUCCUCGUGGAGUUAGGGGUUAUUUACCCACCUUUGCCACUCGUUACACAACAUACCGGUUUGUGAAACAAAACAAAACACCGUUCUCUCGUCGUCCCCUCCCAUUCUCCCAUCACCCCCUCCUCGAGCUAGCGCCGCCGGCCCCAAUCUCCGGUGAAAAUGGCUACCGACGCCGCCUGUGCACCCCAUGCCGCAUCGUGAUCCGUGCAUUUCCACGUCGAACGCCGACAGCGCGGGGCUAGACACGUCCUCGAGAUCAGCGGGCGACGAUGCAGUGGGCACCGGUGGGCUCAGCGGCUGUGGCGCCUCCGUGGGGGCCUCCUUCUUGCUGUGCUGCUUCCUCCUCCUCUUGUGCUUUGUUCUUGCCCUCGGACGGCGCCUCGGCCGGCAGCAGCGUCAUGGGCGCCUCAGUUGGGGGCGUGGCUGUUGGCGGAGGCGCCGCUGUGAGCAGGAGCACCGUGGGCGACAUGGAGGGAGGUGGCGUCACGAUAGGGGGAGGCGUCGCCCGCGGGGGCUUGGCCGGUGCGACCGCAGGCGCGGCUGGCGGCAGCUUUGACAGCGGGACCGGGGUGGCAGCCGACGCGGGGGUCACUGGGGUUGGCGGCAGGUUCGCUGGCGUCGGGGCUGCAGGCCGCAGGGCCUCAUUGUAGAGAUCAGCAUAACCAGCAUCAUUGAUGGGAUCAAGCAUGGAAGGGAAGGGGCGCGCUUGCUGCCCGCAGGAAGAACUCCAAUAGACACUGACACGUGGAUCCCACAACAAGGGUAUAAUAGACAAUGCACACCAAAUCCUCAUAUUUCUGGAGCUGGAGCAAUACAAUCUGCAUAACACAUAUAACAGCUCCAUGUUUUUCUGGAGUUGUGGAGUGGAGCUAGUGAAAUGGAGCUGGCUUUUUGAGGCGGAGUGCUGCCAAACACCCCCUAAGUUAUACCCUACUUACAACAUAUUGCUCCAUUGCUCCAGAUUAUCUCAUCAUAUUAGCUAGUUUCACCAACAAAAGUUCCUAGAACUCUGCAAUUAACAAUUAUUACCAAAACACAAUUGCAUAUUGCCAGAUCGUGAUAAGCACUAUAGCUUGUGGCAGUACAACACAACAAUAACUGACUAACAGGAAUCGGCGUACGGAUAGCACAGGAAUUCUCAGAAACUAGAAAGUGUCAAAACUGGAUUUUCCCAAUACACUUUCAAGGCUCAGGCAUUUUGAUAGUGAUGCAGCUUGUAUAGUAGAACUUUCCCACCAGCGUGUCCAACAGAUAGAAAACCGCUGCCUGGACUGAAAUCCAGGCACCGUGGAUAAUGAAGGCUGAAACGAGGCCCUGGCCAGUUCUGGAACACACUGAAGGAUGGGACGUGCACGAGCCUCAUUCCAUUCCUCUCCUUUCUCGAGGUGAUCGCCAAAAUCUGGGCAUCAUGAUUGAACUUCAUCUCGCCAACAUCGGUGGUUAGGUUUUCAAUUGUCUUCAGUGGCUUCCUCUUCCCACCAAGAAAAUCAUCCCUCUUGUACACGUUCACAAUACCACUAGUGGAGCCUGUGGCAAACAAAGAGCUGUCCUGUGAGGUGCAAAGUGAAACGCCAGACAGGGAACCGUCGUCCAUCGCCUUGUGGAUACACUUCCUUGUUCCAAGAUCCCAGUGAUAAACAUGCCCAUCUCCACCACUGCUCAGUAGCUGGUUUCCACCAUCUGCAAAUGCCAACGAACGCACACUUCCAUUCAUCUUGAGGGUUCCAAUGAGCUGCUUUGUCUUGGCAGAAAUAAGGAGGAUGUAUCCUUCAUUACCGACGAAAGCAAUGGUUCUUGAGUCAGGUGAUAUCUCAAAGCUCUCCAAGCUUUUCUCCUCACGCCCUGUCAAAGGUCCAAUCUUGCUAACAGAAGCAUUUACCAGAUCAAAUGAGUAGAAGAACUUUCUCCUGCCUGAAAGGAUCACUUCAGAGCCAUCAGGUAGAAACGAGGCCUUGAGUACUGGACAGUCCCCAAUAAAUAUGCUCUGGAUCUUGGGGUUUCUCUUUCCAUCAAUUUGGAAAAACCUCAAAUGCUUAUCCAACCCAGCAGCAAGCAUCAGCUGCCCGUUCCUAUGAAACUGCACUGAAUUAAUAGGGCCACUUGAAGGAUCCUGGAUAUUGGCAUCUACAAGCCUUGAGAACUCCAGCAUCCCAGGUAAAAGCUUAACAGUAUCCUUGACAACAAGCUCAUCGUUAUUCUGAAGGAUAUCAUCAACACCCCCCUCAUCAUCAGACUCACCAUCUGAUGCUCCAGGAAGAGGAGUCUUCCGGUCCAUAUCAGCCCAAGCAGUGAAGGGGUUCAAUUUGGCAUGCUGACCACGCAACCGAGCCUCAUAUUCUUUCCCUGAUAUUAAAUGCUCAUCAGCCUCUUUCCUGAGCUUCCUCAACCUUGCAACCUUCACAAUGUCCACCUCUGUCCUCUCCUCUUCCUCAUCUACCCACACAGGCUUUCUCCCCUUGAUUAUCACCCCAUCUUCCUCAUCAUCAUGAGCCAAGUCCUCCUCAUAAAUAGGCAAGACAUCCGCACCAUCAGCAGCAGAUCUAUCCGUGAAGAACAAAGGCGCACCCCUGUCAGGAGCUGCCACUGCAGCCCCUACCUCAGUGCCAAAAUCCAGUGGUGCGUAAAGGGCACCAAACAGCGAGCUCUCCAGCUGCCGCAUCUCCUCUUCCUCCUUGUUCUGCUGGGCCUCCGGCAUCUUAGUCCUCUUCUUCCUUUCUUUAUUGUGAUUCUUCAACUUGGCUCCCUUCCCAACCUCUCCAUCGAUAGCAACAGGAGAGCCGAUUCCCUCAUUUCCAUCAUCAGCUCCACUUUUCUCAAGGCGACGCUUCUGGGCGUUCUGGGAUAUCAAGCUCAUCUUGCCUCGAGAAUUGGCCUGCCAAAACAACAAAAUUCAGUCAAAAUAGUUGCAUAAAACAAAUGUACAAAACUUCUAUAGUUGGGCAUUAGGGAGCAUAAGCUACUAGUAAAUAUCAAACAGCCUUAAAAACUGAGACAUAACAUGCCAAUAAAAACGAUUUUACCACACAGAGAUGAGUAUUUGCCAGCAUCUAUGAACAAAUGAUAUAGUACAUCAAGUACCACUCAUUGACAUAACCAUAUCACGAACAAUCUAAUCCUUGUCAUGCUUCUUAACGAGCAAUUUCUCAUGGAAACCUAAGAAGCUAGCAUUCAGAAAAUUAACUCGCAAAAGUUUAUAAUCCAAUGCAUAUAACCUGUCAAAGUUCGCUUGGCCGAAUACUCCAGUGACCUUAUCUGAAAUUGCUACUAGCUUGUUCACUGAGCUCAAACAGCACCACACGGCAAGCGAAACUAGUAGCUAAUAUAUUAUAACUGGUUCAUCCGAAUACAAAUAGAUUAUACUAGCGUUUGGGUUGCUCCGUUUCGCACAGGCACAGCAGGAAGGGAAGAGAAGGGGUGGGCAUACCUGGUGGGUGCUCGUCGCCUGCUCAGUGCUGGUGGCCGCGCGGUGAUGCCGGCGACCGCGGCGACCGGCAAUAAAGGGGAGGCCGGGGGGCGGGAGGGGAGAGGAGGGGCCGCGGACCGCCGUCGAGCCCGGCGGAGAGGAGCGGCGGCGGCAACGGAGGGGGAGGGUCGGAGGGAGCAGCGCGCGGCGGCUGCUUGGGGAGGGCUGAAAAAUGAGUGGGCUAGGGUUGGGGCAACCUUUCAUAUUGACCGGAGGGGGUGCGGGCCCUUAAUGGGCCGGACAACGUGCUCACCAUCAAAUUGGGCCGGCCCACAUACCGCAUAUCCCUUCGUCAUCGACUCAUUCGUCUUCCUUACGAUGCUGCUCGCUCGACUCCUCGAUCUGGAGCAGUAGAGCAGCUCCCGCGUCGCGGCUCCGAGGAGGCGUGCUCUCGGGAGGUGGAAGAGGAGGUUAGGGGGUCUUCGUUGCCGGAGUUAGGCAGGGCAACCGCGCAGCUACCUUCCGCUACUGGUGGGUCCGCUUCAACCUGCACGGUCUCGGCGUGCGUCGGUAAUGGUGGUGGUGGACGCGUCGGAGUUUGGGGCGGAGGGGUUCGAUCCGAAGCAGUGGAUCAACGCGGCGCUGGACGCGCGGCACCCGUCAGAGCCGCUCGAUCGCUUCCUCGCCGACGCCGAGGAGCGCCUGCGGGCCGCGGCUGACGACGCCGCGGCCGCGCUCGAGAGGGACAGCGGCGACGCCCUCCGCCGCGUCCCGCUGGCAUGCCGGGACGCGCUACGCCUCCGCGACGAUGCCGUUGCUCUACGCGCCCACCUCGCCUCCGUCCUCCAAUCCCUCUCCCUGGUACGCGCCUCCGUCCCUCUUCCUCGCUCCUUAUUGGAUCUAAAUCUCACUGUCACUGGCAUUCUCAUGCGAGCAUAACCCGAAAUCGAGACGGAUUACCUGGAGCUUUGAAAUAGCUUGCCGCGCUUAGUUGCUUUGCACGUAUAGUUCUACUGGAUCUGGAUCUCAUAUUCCCUGUCCAGUCAUGCCCCCCUUUUUUAUCUAGUCAUGUCACGUAUAUGACUUGCAUACAAUUAUAGCGUACUAGUAGUGCCAAAUUCACGACUGAGGCAUUAGUUUGAUCAUUCUGGUUUCAGGGUUUAUUGUCUCAUAUUGCUACUAGUUAAACAUUUGGUCUUAAAAUGUGCCAGGUUUUGUGAAACCAAGCUAUAUUCUGACAUAGCUCCAUUAGCAGACGUGUGAUAAAAUUAGUUUGGUGUGUAGCCAUUUUAUACAAAAGCUAACAUUCAGAGGAAUUCAGACAUUUAGAGCUGAUGUCCACACAACUUUCCAUAUUUUUCAUGAAAAAAGACAAUGAGUCCUGGAGAUCCAGUAAUGUUUACUUACUUCAGAUGAUAAAGUCCUGUAGAACGAGAUGCAAAAUCCAAAAAAAUAUCUCUCGCCCUUCAAUGCUGUGAGCACACUAGACUGAACUAAUCUCUCAGGCCCAGCCUCUCCCUCUGACCCAGCUCGGUCCAUCUUGUUACAUUGUAUCCAGUUCCAGCUAUACUUUGUCAAGGUUGCAGCUAACAAAGUAUUCAUGGUUAUAUUUCCAACCAGGCUGAGGGCUCAUCUGCUGAGUCAAUAGCUGCACUAGCGCAAAUUGAUACUGUGAAACAACGCAUGGAAGCGGCAUAUACAACAUUGCAGGUAAUGUCUAUGUAGAGUUAUGGGCCGUGAUACCUUACUGGAGUAUGUUCUACUAACAUGUUCAAUUCUUGUUUAUUAUUUAUAACAUUAUGUUUGAUGGAAUGGCAGGAUGCAGCUGGGUUAGCUCAGUUGAGCCAGAGUGUUGAGGAUGUGUUUUCUAGUGGCAAUCUUCCAAAGGCUGCAGAAACCCUGGCAACGAUGAGACAUUGCUUGUCAGCAGUUGGAGAGGUGUUUUACUCUCUGUAAAAAAAAACACAAACUGCAUAAAACCUGUUCCUUUUGCUUAUAAAAAAGUUUCUUUCAGGUUGCAGAGUUCGCAAAUGUGAGAAAACAGCUUGAAGUAUUGGAAGAAAGAUUAGAUGAAAUGGUGCAGCCUCGUUUAGUGGAUGCACUUUCUAAUCGCAAGGUAUCUCCCCCACAAAACAGUAGUUUAUAUUUGUUAAAUGAAGCAUCUCUAUUUUACUCAAAAACCUGAUUUUUUUGAAAGGUCGAUGCUGUGCAAGAUCUUCGUGGUAUACUGAUACGUAUCGAGAGGUUCAAGUCACUGGAGGCACAGUACACUAAGAUCCAUGUGAAACCUCUAAAGAAACUUUGGGAAGAUUUUGACCUAAAGCAAAGAGCCAGCAGGGUAGACAUGGAGAAGCUUGGUGGUGAAAGCAUUAAUGCUCUCUCAUUCUCAAGCUGGCUGCCUAAUUUCUAUGAUGAGACACUGCUUUACCUUGAACAAGAAUGGAAGUGGUAUGCUCAUUGUGAUCCUCUCCCCCUUUGUUCUGAGUUAAAAUAUACUAGUUCUAAAAUGGCUAAACAGAAGUCAGUUUUUGGAACCAGCUUUUAAGUAAUAUAUUUGGCACAAGCCCCAUCAGAACUGCAAUUUAACCUGUGGAUGCUCUAAAAUGGCAAUGCUAAUGCUCACAGGUGCUUGACUGCUUUCCCUGAAGAGUACAAAUCACUAGUACCAAAAGUACUUGUUGAGACCAUGAGUGAGUUGAAUUCAAGUUUUGUUUCUCGUGUCAACAUAGCAACUGGGGAUGUUGUUCCUGAAACCAGAUCUGUUUCCAAAGGUAAUGCAUAAACUGCUCACUAAUUUCGUAGUUCUAUACCCUGGUUGUAUCAAUUAUCAAACAUAUUUUUCUGCUUUGACGAGAUAUUAGUUGUGGUGCAUAAUCAUGCUUGUUUUUUUCCCCUCACAGUGAAUUGCAUUUUUCUUCUCUGUACCCAGGUAUACUGGACGUUCUAUCAGGUGACUUACCAAAAAGCACCAAGUUGCAGAAUAAGCAUCUUCAAGCACUAAUUGAACUGCACAAUAUGACUGGCACUUUUGCUAGGAACAUUCAGCACUUAUUUUCAGAAUCAGAUCUUGCAGUUGUGCUGAAUACUUUGAAAGCUAUUUAUUCCCCAUAUGAAACCUUUAAAGCAAGGUAAACACUUAAACAGUUUUGGCCUAUGCAAAAAACAACAACAACAUCAUGUUGCAUCGUAUUACCAGCUGCAUUUAUGAUUCUUUGACACAACUGAUGUACAAAACUAAGCGUUUAGUGCUGCAUUCUAUUUUUUGGGUGUCAUGUAGGUAUGGGCAGAUGGAGCGUGCUAUACUUUCUGCUGAGAUGGCAGGUAUAGACAUCCGUGGGGCUGUCCCUCGUGGUGUUGGUGCACAGGGUAUAGAGCUGAGCGAAACUGUUCGCAGAAUGGAGGAAUCCAUCCCACAAAUGAUAGUACUUCUUGAAGCAGCUGUGGAGAGAUGCAUUAGUCUUACGGGUGGUUCAGAGGCAGAUGAACUGGUAGUUGCUCUUGAUGACAUCAUGCUUCAAUACAUAUCUAAUCUACAAGAAGCAUUGAAAUCCCUGAGGAUAGUCUGUGGGCUGGAGAGUGAUGCCUUGAAGAAAGAUGCAGGUUUAGAGAAAAAGGAAGCACAACGAUUAGUAGAUGUUUCUGAAGAGGAAGAAUGGUCUAUUGUCCAAGGUGCUUUGCAGAUUCUUACAGUUGCUGAUUGCCUAACAAGCAGAACCUCAGUAUUUGAAGCUUCUUUAAGAGCCACGCUUGCCAGGAUUGGAACAAACUUUUCUCUUUCUGGCUUUGUUUCAAGCCUGGAUAAAUCACCCACAGCAAUUGCUGAUGAGAAUGCAGACUUGCCUCUUGGAGGACGGGCCGCACUUGAUAUUGCUGCUAUUCGCCUACGUGAUCUGCCAGACAAGUCUAAGAAGCUCUUAACUGUGCUAGAACAGGCAAGUGUUGUUCUAAAUUUCCACAUUUAUUGUUACAACACAGGGGUCAUCACUUGUGUCUCUUGACUGUCACCAAGUCCUGAACUAUUGUAUCUUUGGUCUAUGGUCCAGAUUGCAUCGAUUCUUAUUUCCCUGAGUCACCAUGUGUCUUUCUUGCAAAAGACAGAUUAGUUGUGUUGGAUGAAAAUAAUACAUUGUAGACAAAUGACAGAUUCGUUGCUUUUCUAUGUUUACUUGUUUCAGUAGUCACUGUAGAAACAUAAGGAGUACAUUUUAGGAUUCAUCCAAAAUAUCUGCUUUGACAGGAAAUUGAGUUCUAAUCAUUUUUUAACUUGCCUUUUCUGCUCUACUAGUUAUUUAAAUCUGUGUUAUAUAUUAGAACCUACUUGUGCCCUGCAGAUUUUCCCACCCAAGUUUAUUUACCCUGAUGUUCUACUACUAACAUUUCUAUUUAUUUUUUACAGUCAAAAGAUCCAAGGUUCCAUGCUCUUCCUCUCACAUCACAGAGAGUUGCGGCCUUCUCAGACACAGUAAAUGAUCUCGUUUAUGAUGUGCUCAUAUCUAAAGUUCGGAUGCGUCUCAGUGAGGUUGCUCGCCUCCCAAUCUGGUCAUCGGUGGAGGAACAGGGUGGUCUUCCUCUUCCAAGCUUCAGCGCCUACCCGCAAGCUUAUGUGACCAGUGUUGGAGAGUAUCUCCUCACUUUACCACAGCAGUUGGAACCACUUGCAGAAGGUAUCUCAGGCAACGAGACUGGCAACGAUGAGGCCCAGUUCUUUGCCACUGAGUGGAUUUUUAAGGUAAUAUAUGCAACCUUUCUACUUAUGUACCUGUGAAAUGCAAAAAGCAACCAUCCUUCAGUGCUUAUUGGGACAUUAUAUAGGAAGAGUAAAUUAUCUUUGAAUAUAAUGAUCACAAUUUAAUAGAAGAUUACUUCCUAUCUUCCAAGAUUUUAUCAUAAUUUGUAACAUCAUUCCUGUAUCGAUGUUUGAACAAUCCAGCUUUGAUUCUCAUCUCUGCUUCCAUGUAUCAGGUUGCCGAGGGUGCCACUGCUUUGUUCAUGGAGCAGCUGCGUGGAAUCCACUACAUCACUGACCGAGGCGCGCAGCAGCUUGCCGCAGACAUAGAGUACCUGAACAACGUCCUCUCUGCGCUCUCAAUGCCGAUUCCUCCAUUCCUGUCCACCUUCCACGCCUGUGUCUCGACCCCGAGGGACCAGGUCCGUGGUCUGAUAAAAUCAGAUGGCGGAAGCCAGCUCGACCUCCCUACUGCUCAUCUGGUGUGCAAGAUCCGGCGGAUCUCGUUAGAUUAGUGAAGCGAAUUUGUUGAUUCUGAGUUUUAUCUCACUUCUCACGCUUUGGUUUUGAUUUUUUGUUGUGACAAAUGAGUUUGACUUGUGUAAGUUGUAACCGUACUGCUUGCAGAUAGUGAAAAUAAUCAUAUAGGAGUACAGAAUAAUUCAUUGCAAAUUUCGAAAAAAAAUGAGGACCUGGAUUUAUGUGCACUUUAAAAUUGGGCGCUAAUAUUUCACUCAAAUGCGCAUCUCAUAAGAUUAACACAAAAGGAUGGUGAUGCAUCAUGCAUGCUUGAGAAUUGACAUGAGAAAUGGACGGUCAGGAUGAUGCACUAACCAACCAUUAACAUAAUUCUCAAUCUCAGCAAUCAUACUCAAGGCAGCUCAGCCCUUUAUUUACUAAGAAUAAGAAUUUAUUAUUGAUGAAAAAGGAGUGAAAGGGAAGUUCUUAUAAUAAUAAAUAAAAAAAGAAAAUUCCUUCCCCCCUUACCAAUCUCAGCCCGUGCCCAGUCUGUCCGUCUCCCUUCCCAAUCGCUUUCGAUCCGCACCUCCUGUCUCCGCCGCCGCUUCAUCCCGCUGCGGCCCUCCACCGCCGCUUCAUCCCGCCGCGGCCCUCCUCCGCCGCCGCCCCCAGCGACGACGCUGCUAAGUGGGCGGUUCGUGCAGAGGCGGCGACUUCGGCUGCCGGUAUUCUCUGCAACCACUCCGUCCCUCGGUCUCACCGCUCUGCCGCCCCUUCCUCUCCACUGCUCCGCUGCCUCCCGGUGGACGGAUCUGGAGUCGGCGGAUAGCUAGUACUGCUCCUACCCUGGCCUCCAGGUGGCGGCACCACUUCCCCGGCGGGUAAGAGCAAUUGAAUGGAGAGUUUCCAUAGGAUUCUACUAUUUUCUGCGAAAUUCCUGGAGAAUUCCGGUGAUAGUACGGUAUUUCGUCGAAAGUUUAUCUAGAAUGUUUGGAACCAGAUAUAAAACAUGCGCUUGUUGCCCCCAUUUAUUUUUUAAUCGGUGAGCUCCAUUUUGUUAAAUCGACUCCAUGGCACCAAACCCAUGCAUUUAACUGGCUUAAAUGUGCUUUUAGAGUUCUAGCAAGGAAGCGAAUGCUCAAAUGACCCAUUCAAGCUUUACUCGCCUCAUUAUUUCAGCCACUUUGGCAGAAGAGACUUGCUAUCCGGAUUCAAAUUUCGAAAUCAUCUUUUCAGAACAUGUAUACUGUGGUUCCUCAGAUUGGUGACCUGGAGCCACCAUACUCAUCUGUACUGCUAUUUGCGAAGAAUAAAAAGAAAAAAAAUGCAUGCAUACUUUCAUCAACCUUCUUGGGAAAACCAGCGAGUGUAUUGAAGUUUCCUGGGGACAUGAAAACAAGAGUUUUCCUUUGUAAAGCAUGCAAGAGUUAUAGUAGCACUGUGUCAAUUUGACUUAUUAUUUUAUUGCAUAUGAGGUACUAUCAUUUUCUUGUAAGAAAUAUUUUAUUUGGAUCAAUAUGUGAAAUGAUAUACUUAUCUUACAGGAACCCCAAUAAGUUUACUGCUGCCAUCAAGCUAAGCGAGGAAUUGCCUGUCUCCUAGAACUUCUCCUGAUCUUCCGUGGCACAAUCAUCCUCUGAGAAAAUGCCAUCAGUUUAUCUUUACAUACCUAAUAUUAUUGGUAUGCCUCUGGAUGGUUAUCUAUUUACCUAGCAUUUGCCAAACCCAGUUAAUAAUUUAUAUUUUUUCCUCUUAUUUAUAUCUUGAAAGUAACUGGAUAAUGACAUUAAUGACUAGUGCAACUGGAAACAUUCGGAAGCACCAUCUGUAUUGUAGUUCUGUUCCACUUUGCUACCCAAGAAUAGCAACACAAAAGAAACCAGAAAUUUAAUAGUGUAUAUAAUUCGACCAACAAGGCAAUAUGUGACUUAAAAUUCAGGAAUUGUCAUCGUGCAGGGUAUUUUAGGAUCAUCAUAAAUUUCAUUGCUUUUGCUGUUUGCUAUUCCAACAAGGCGCUCUUUGCUAUUCUGUACUUCUUCAGGUGAGUCACUUAGAUUUAUCUGCAGACUAGUUGUGUUCGAUAUGCUAUGCAAACUAUUUAUGUUUGUGGUUCUCACAUCCUUGCAAACUAUUUAUGUUUGUGGUUCUCACAUCCUUGCAAACAUGUCAGCUUUGUUCUUGAUGGCGUGGAUGGUUGGUUUGCACGGAAGUUUAAUCAAGGUAAUAAUUCAAAUUUCCCUUGUUUUCAAAUCAUGUAGCUUGUCCUUGCAUCAAAAAGGCUAAUUUUAACUUCUUUGCUAUGAUGAAAUCUCAUUGCAUAGUAUGCUUAAGAACUUUAAAUGGUUAUGCUGAAACACUGAUCUCAUCUAAAUCUCCUUAUUCCUGUUAUUUUCCUAGUGUAUAAGCUAUCUGGUAAGUUGUUGAAGUAUCUGAUCAGUUUAUCUCAUUGUAUGAAUCAGCAUCAACAUUUGGAGCUGUGUUGGACAUGGUUACAGAUAGGUACUCCUUGAAUUAAUCUUUAAACUCUGGAUACGCGGGGUGAAUACAUUCUACCGCCUAAAAUAAUUUCACAUCUCACAUUGCACUUCUUCAGGGUUAGCACUGCUUGUUUGUUGGCCCUUCUCUCCCAAUUUUACAGGUAUUAAAUUGCUUGUACCGAUUUGUCUUGAACAUGAUACCGGUUACAAAUUCUAAUUGCACAUAUUUUUACAGACCUGGCUUAGUCUUCUUAAUACUUCUUGGGUUGGAUAUUACAAGCCACUGGUUUCAAAUGUACAGGUCAGUUUUCUCUAACAUUUUUUUUUCAGUUUUUGCAAGUUCCCAGUUUGUUUUUCUAGUCAGCACCUCCCAUUGUUAAUAUAAUCGAGGGAUCAUAAUAAGUCUAAGUACCAAUUACGUUUACAAUAAUUGCCAAUGCUUUCAUGAUGCAUGUGUUAUGUGCUUAUUUGUUCAAGAAUUUCUUUUGUUCAAAUCAAUUGUUACUUUAUUACCUUCUAACUAUGUGCUGACAUAUUUUCUGUACUAGUUCUUUCCUGUCAGGCAAGAGUAGCCACAAGGAUGUAAAGCACACAGGCAAUUGGCUUCUGAAGUUAUAUUAUGGGUACAGACCAUUCAUGGCCUUCUGUUGUGUUUCUUGUGAGGUAUGUGAUCGUUCAUACAUUACACUAUCCACAAGAUCUAUGAUCCUGCUGUGCAGUUUCAAUCCAUGUGAAUGUAGAAAACUUGACAGUUGGAUGUUGUGUUGUGGACUGAGCAACAUCUCUACAGUCAGCACAUCCAGCUAGCUUUUACUCAGCUAACAAAACAAUCCUGUAUGUUUCACCCUCUAACCUAUUUCUUUUGCCUACAGGUUUUAUAUAUCAUUCUCUUUCUCUUUGCUGAUGAGAAGUCGACAAGCUUGCUUAGUGUAAGAUGGCAUCAUUUCUAUAUUUGCCUUUUUGAAUUGACAUCUGAGUGACUGAGUCGUAUAGCAUAUGACAUUUCUGUAUCAACUUUUUAACAGGUAUCCAGAGGUAUCCUGAAUCAAAGUCCCCUCAUUGUCUUGGUGUUUAUUUCCACUCUAGUUGGCUGGGCCGUGAAACAAGUUACCAAUGUCAUCCAGGUAUUCACACUUUUUUCCCAGCAGCCCACUGCUAUUUGCACAUUUGCAUAUAAAAGCUGUAAUUGUGGCACCACAAGAGAUGUAAAAAAGGUGAAAAAGGACUGCUGACGAUGCAGUAUUUGGCCCUACGGUGUAGUCAGGUUUUCCAUGACUAAUCUUUGAGAAACUGUCAUCAUUCCAAAUUUUAGGUCUGUGGAUGGUGCUAGAACUGUUGCAUGUUCUACAUGGUUCUUAAAGUGCACUAGUGAAUUCAAUAAGCUCAAUUUUGACACCGUGUAUUUUCCCGAAUACAGAUGAAAACCGCUGCAGAUGCAUGUGUUGUGUAUGAUCUGAAGCGCGGGAAGUGAAGCAUGAAGGCACCUGUUUUGUGUUUUGUAUCAACAUAUCCAAUUCGUGAGGCUUGUGCACCAGGGUUCGUACGUACAGUGGCUACUUCUUAUAUGCCUUGACAUCUUUCUGAUGAUGCUUAUCUGUUGGGGCGAGACGGCGAUCUUGCUGUGGGAAGAACAUAAAGAAAACGGAGGAGAUAAAUGUUUUGAGGAGAAAGUGGAGGCUGUUUAAAUUGUUUGCCAGUGUUUAAUUCGGUUAUACAAUGAUGAUGCAAUCAUGAUCUUUGUUAGGUAGUGUAGCCUUUUGAGUUGACCUGAACCAUGUUUGCAAGCCACAUGUUUCAAAUUUCAGGAAUACUAGGAUCGUGAUACAUAAAAAUUGUUACGGGCAUGAAAAUUGAUAUCGCUUUAAUAUAAUAUACACACUGUCCAAUUAAAUUUAAGAUGAUACAUGUUAUUCAAAUAAAAUUCAGAAAUAAUAGGAAAUAUACAUGUGCUUUGUGAUGAGCGAAGGGCCAACGAUUGAGGCUUUAUUUUAACCUAUUUAAUAGAUAAUAUUUCAAAAUAAAUCAAAUCGAAAAGGUAUUAAGUCAUCGUGAUAAUUUGCUCGCACCCUUCUCAAUCUGGGCUGUCAAAAACCACCACGGGCACCACCUCUGAAUGCUCCGUUGCCUCAAUCACAUGCACAGAGUUCCGGCAUUUUAGUUGUGCCUAUGGAUAUGUUUAGAAGUUCCAUCCAAUUAAUAAAUUGAAUUUCGCGAGGACUUGGAUGGAUAUUGCACCUUUUUUUACUAAAGUGUAAUGCCACGCUAUCCUAUAAAUUCUCUCUCCCUACGCAUAUUAAUCAUCAUCUUAUAAAAAUAUUUGUAAAAAAUAUAUAGUCACGGAGAUAUAUGUUUUCCCUUAAACUAAAGUGCGAAUAAUGCCAAUAGAAAUAAAAGCUCGAGGAAGAUGGACAAAACUUCCAAGUUGCGCCUCAUGUAGAAUGGAAAGCGGAAAAAGACGAGGAGACGUGCGGCACUGGCUGCUGAAUCUGCGAAUUUUCAUUCGCACAGAGUGAGCAUGGUAAGCUCGCCCUGGCACUCGGCAAUUCUUGUUCUCUCGAUACCUGUGGCUACAUGUAUUCUACCACACACUGCACCUGCUAUUGUAUGUAUACCUGGGCUGGAACUUUGGAUGUGCUAGAACUAAUUUUUUUAUCAGACUUUUUUUUUAGCAACUAUCGAUCGUGUUUGGAUACAUAAAUUAAAAGUUAGCUAUAAUAAUGAGAAUAGUCUGCUCUACCAUUGCCUUCUCUUAUCCUUGACCGAAAGGAUAAGACCUGGCCUCUGCCGAGCCGCCCGUCUUCUUGUCUCCUCGCCGCCACACUCCUACUCGUUGCGGCGCGCUCCUCCUCCUCCUGCUUCGCCGCAGGCACCGUGGUGCAAACGCUGGUCUGCACCGGUGGCUCUGGGCUCUGGCCAGGGCUGCCAACGGGUGCUGGCAGGGACGCAUGGCGUCCCAGGACGCCCCAUCAUUAGCCUGGGUGCAUACUGUGCCAUCGAGGACACCGUUUUCCUAGCUCGCCCGCGGCCUCACGAACCCAAGGCAUGCAAUUGCUUUGCAUGGAAUGGAUUUGGUGCACGGAAAAGGGUGGCCAUCUUGCUAGUCUGCUGAGUGUUGGAUUUGUUGUUAGGUUGGCAUUCCAUUUACUACUGCUCGAUUGGCCCGCUUGCUGCUACUCGAUUUGGGAUUGCUCGAUCCAAGACACUGCAGUAUUGUCCGGCGGCAACGAAGAGGAGCGAAUAUGCGACUGCCCUGUCUCAACCGCGCGUGCGGCCAUGACAUUCGCGCCGCGCCGUUGGCGCCGGACUCCAUCCACGGCCUGCCCGCACUUGGCCGCGGAACUCGCCCAAACGCUGCUCGCCACCACCGCACGGCACGUCCGGAGUCGGGGGCCUCCGGGCCCAUGGCGUGGCCGGCGGCGUCAGGGGCUGGCGCAGCGGGCUAGCGGCGUCGGGACCUGGCGUGGCGUAGCGCUCGUCUAGCGGGAGAGGUUUCCGGCGUCGGGCGUUUGCGACGGGCGAUGUCGGCCUGUCGGGCGGAACACCUGAAGUCCCGAACGCGGACAAGGAUCCGGUGCAGCGGCAGUAGCGACUGCAACUCAAGCAGUCCCGGAAUGUGAGAAGGUGCACUGUCCACCUUCUACUGUAGCGAUUCAUCUGGUUCGAUCAUCUGUGAAAUGGAUGCUCCACCAUGCGUGCAGUCUCUUAUUGUGAUCUGCGUCCCCCGAACGCACUGGAGAAGGACCGAGUAGAUAAGGAUGGCCACAAUGGUGCCAAGGGCAUAUUGCUCCGUUUACAUGGUUGAAUAGAUGAGAAAACACAAAAUGAUGUAGAAAAGCACGAAAAGGCAUUCUAGCAGGUUGCUAAUGUUUCAUAAUGGCAAAAUGGCGAAAUCUAUUUGCGGAAUGGCGCUCUGAUGAAACCCACUUUUGAGGAUGGUUUGUUUUAUCAGAUUGCAAUAUAAGCUAGGUAGUUAGGCAAUACACUGAGGAACACUAAGUUGUUGAAUCAUAUUCCAUCCCGUGGUUUCGAACUUUUAUUGAUCAGACCAACGUUUUCAGUUGCUCAUGGUUGAAGAUUGCAGUUUCAUUACAUGCUAAUAUCCAAAUAGUUCCAUGAUUACAUUUUAGGUGCGAGCUGCUAUCGAAGUUGAUGCUUUAUACAUCACUUGCUUCACGUCUUCUGGAAGACCUACAAGGUAAGACAGAAAAGAUUUUCUUUAUAGGCAUUUCCCCCUUUGGAACAAUAAAGCCUUGACUUCUUUUUAGUUUCUGACAGCCUUGUAUUCUUUCUUGCAAGCAAGACAAUCACUUUUAGAUACAGGAACUCUCUCCGAUGUUUGCUAAUCCACAACGACUUUCUGUUAAGUCAAUAAAUUUCCGAGACACAUGAACCUAUCUGUAAUUAUGGUCUUUAUUCCAUCCAGCCCAUGUAUCUUAUACUCAGUUAUGUUUGAAUAGAUUGCAUAGAUUUGAUUUUCCAUUCUUUACGCUAUCUCAUUUUCAUGUUGCAUUAACCAGUUUAGUUAAUCAAUCUGCCUUACUAUUCCAUCCAACUCUAUUGCUCUACUCCUGCACACCAAGUGUUUCAGGAUAUAUACAUAUGGCAAAGGAAAAACAGAAUCUCUUCUAAUUUUUCUUUUCAAUUUCUAAUUUGCCAUUUUCCUAAUUUGACAACGCUGAUGUUAUGUUGCAGAAUGAGAGGAACACCUGCUAUCAAAGAUCAGAUAUCUUCGUUAUCUUUAUAUGUAAAUGAAGACUAUCUAAAGUGGUUGAACAGAAUUGUAAUAACACAUGCUACUAGUAGGGAAAUGGUUUUCUGUACCGGUUGGGAACCCCUUUUAAUACCAGUUGUGAACCGGUACUACUAGUUCGGUACUAAAAGGUAUUAAAAAAUUUUAAAAAAAGAAAUCCCUGCUUAGGCCUCCCCUCCCGCCGGCCUCCCCCCGCCGCCCCCGGCCCCGCAUCCUGCCGUUGCUGGCCCGCAUCCCACCGCCGCCGCUCCAUCCACCGGAUCCCACUGCCGCCGCUCCAUCCACUGCAUCUUGUCGUCGCUGCUCCAUCCACUGGGUCUCGUCACCGCAUCCUGUUGCUCUCAGCCUCGCAUCCCGCCAGCCGCUCCGUGCCUCGAUGGUCGCCGCAGCCACGCCUCGCCCCGCCGCCGCUCCUCGCCUCAGGCACGAGGUGAGGGGCGAGCGGAGGGGGGAGGAGAGGGGAGGCCGGGGAGGAAGGGAGGGGGGUGGUGGAGGGGAAGGAGGGGCCGGGUUGGCACCGUCCUCCUGGAGUGAGGGAGCUGAGGGAGGGGGCCGGUGCGGAGAUGGAGAGGGAGGCGAAGGGAGGGUGAGGGAGGCGGAGGGAGGGUGAGAGGAUAAGGCUAGCUAGCAGAUGGAGGGAGGGAGGGGGCUGGUGCAAAUUAAAGUCCUUGCGUGCAGAUGGAGGGACGCGGAGGAAACCCUUUAGUACCGGGUGGGGACUCCACCCGGUACUAAAGGCCCUCAGCAGUACCGGGUGGAGCCUCCACUUGGUAGUAAUGGGUCACCUAGUACUGGGUGGAGCCUCCAUCCAGUACUAAAGGGGGUCACAGGGGGCUCCUCGGGAACUACUGAGCCUCGGGGUGAAUGCUCAGUUUUCCAAUAGUAUGAGAAAUGGAGCGUAUUUCCGUGAGAUACUCAUUUUGACCGGUUGAGUGGCCCUUUUCCUCCUGGAGCAAGCUUCACAAUCAAACCUCCUGUCCCAUUGAAACUGUUCCACUAAGCUUAACUAUUUUCUAUUUAACCGGUUUAGGUGAUUUAUGUCAUGUUUAAAGUAAAUUAUUGUUCUGCCAUAUUACACCAUCCUCUUAAAUCACAGUGUGGCUCUUGGUGGGUCAACUAAUGCUAGCUGUACUGCAUUUGAUUGCCAUUGCUCGGUGGGUUGUUAUAUCAUCUUGUAUCACAUGUGCUUAUUUGCUUAGGUAGACUAAGGCUUAUUAGUUGUGUUUCAGGUCUGUAGGUCUGCAUAUGACUCUUAUGAUUCUGAGAAGGUCAGUGAACAAGUUCCUUUCCUUCCGGAACUCAAGCCCAGUGGCAAAUAUGUCAUGGAAGAAGGUAAAUGCUUAAUGCUACUAAGAUUUAUUUGGUUUUGAGCACAUGUCAAAUCCACCUUAAGUUGUAUGAUGCUUAGCUUGUCUUUUCAUUACUAUUCUGUUAGGUGAUAUUUUUUUUCAUGCAAUCACACAUUUAAGUGAUUUUCUUCACAUAGCCUCUAAGGAAGUUUAAGGGCUCAAAUAAACAAAAGAGAAAACCCCAAAACCAAAAUUAAUCAAUACAAUUAAUUUAAGAAUAAGGCAUGUUACAGAUUAAUCAAUGUCAUGGUAUUACAUUACUGUAAGAAUGGUUUUGGAACAGAGGUAACUUUGUCUUAGAGUUGCUUUCUGAUUCAACCUGGGUUCAUCAAUGAGCUAUACAAUAUAGUUCUGGAGAAUUCAGCUGUAGUAAAAAUAACUUCAUGGUUUCAUGUGCAAAACCUUACCUAGUUCCUUCACGGUUAUUAGCUUGAUUUUUUCCGAUCACGUGCCAAUAAUUCCUUCACAGUUAUCAGCUUGUUCUUUUUUUGUUUCCGAUCAGGUGCCAAUGAUUCACGAGUAUGCUGCCCAACACCUGUGCUAACCAUUAAUCAUGUGAUCAUGCAGGAAGUACAAAACAACAUAUGUAUUGGCCGUAUGUGGGAGGUGAAUUGGUGAUGGAGGCGGAAGAGGUGGAUUGAAACCGUUCUCCUAGCCGCCAAGCCGGCGUGGGGUUGUAGGCAACGUCGUCCUCAGCCUGGGGUUGGAGACGAUGAACGCGCCGGGGUGGGAUUGGAGGUGACGGCAGCCCCGGUGUGGGUGUUGGAGAAGACGGCGUGGCCAUGGUGGGGUUGGAGGUGACGGCGGCUCAGGCCUGGGGUUGGAGAUGACGGUGCGAAUGCCGGAGAUGACGGCGCGGCCGUGUUGGUGAUGGAGACGGCGGCGGCGGGGGUGGGUGUGUUGAUGGCAAUUAGCAUGCCAGUUUGUGAACCGCAAGCGCAUGGAUCAUCGUAGCUUUUUUCUCAGAGUAUUCCAUCCAAGGUUUAUCAAUCCGUGGAUCAGCAGCGAACUAAUUAGGAUUUUCCAUCUAAGCUAAUGGAUCUAAUCCUAACACGAAGCAUAGAUUGCAUAUGAAGAGGGUAACCUUGGUGUAAAGGUAAAUCAUGAGAACAAGUAGAUCGCAUUUGUGUAUAUGAUAAAAUACCACCAAGGGUAGUAAGAGCCUAUCAUCUUCUAGUUAUAGUUCUAGCUAACAAGGAAGCACAACAUGCAUCUCGUCAGACGAAUCUUUAAAAUACUACUUCCGGUCAACCUCCCAAAAAUCCCCACCUUACACAAGCUAGAUCCUGUCACGAUCCUCUUUAUCAGCGUAGGCAGUUUAAGGGCACGAACACAAGUGAACAUGUUUAAAUAUCAUGAAGGGUCAACAUAUUAGAUCUAAUCACCAUGAUUACAUAAAGCAUGCUAUGAAGUCUAACCUCGAAUUAGACUAAGGAAUAAGCAUAUUCAUGAUAAGAAGAAAGCAUAAAAGGAGACAACAAGUUGCUAAUAGAUCGGAUGGCAUGAAAAAUAUUGCUCAUAUAAUAGAUGUAUUCAGAUUAUCACCACUGAGUACAUUCCAUUAAUGAUCAUAACUAGCUCCUAAACUCCACCAUGACACAACUGCGCAAAGAGGCCAUGGUAGCUAGGGUCGGCCUAAGCCAUCUCCUAGACAACUUCGAAGACUUGCAGCAGCCCUCAGCUCCCUCUGGUGGAUGUUCUUCAUUUCGUCGAGUUUCUCGUGGAUGGAUGCUAGGGCUCGAUGAAUUUUUGGGGUACUUAUAUUCCGGGGAGCGCAUGGCGAAAAUUAGAAGGCGAGAGGAGCAAGGAAAGCCUUAGGUCGAUCGGCCUGGUAGGCCGAUCGGCCGGGGUCCAGGCUGAUUGGCCUGGCCCUUCCUUGUGGCCUCUCGCGCUCUCCUUCGUCGCCAAAUCUUCUUUGAUGAUAUGAACACUUAUUUUUACUUGCAUGCGGGAAUUGCACGUCGAUAGCCUCGGGAUAAGGAUGGAUCUUGAUAUCGUUCCAAAGUCCUGCUUACUUCCAUCUUUGAUCAUAAAGUGAGUUUGCCAUAUCUUGUGAAACUUAGCCCCUAAAUAUUUUUGAAGGAGUCCUCGCCGAAGAUGAGCAUGAUCGGGGCCCUGAAGACCCUAUGCUGAUUGGCAUAGGCCUCUAUAGGCUGAUCGGCCUAGUCUCCUUCUGGGUCCAUUGGCCUUCGUCUUUCUCUGGGUUGUUGUUCGUCGAGGGUCUUGUCCAAUUAUGCUCCAACAUAGUCCAAUUUUCUGUGAAAACAGAAUGUCCUCCAAAAUACAAUGCAUAUGCGAAAAUAGGGUUAUUUUAGGUGCCAAGUGGCGGGUUAGUAUAAGAAUAUGUAUGAAAACACCACUUAAAUGGCACUAAAAGUGUGUCAAUAACGAGCGUCAACAGGUGAUGGAGAUAGCAGCGGUGUCGGGGUGGGUGCUGGAGAUGGUGGCGGCGCCGGGGUUGGAUCGAAGGCGAGGGCGUCCCCAAUCUACGUGCUGGAGGCGACGACAGCGGCGGGGUUGGAGGCGAGGCAGCGGGGGUGGAGGUGUGUGGGAUCGGAAGACGUUGCGAGAGUUGCGUGAGGGUUUAGGGUGGGCGCCCUGGCCCGACCUCAAUCGGAGGGACAUGGCGUGGGCGUGCGAGUUGAGGGAUGGCUGGGGUUGAUCUAAAUGAUCCACGGUAAAACGCGAAGCACGGGGUGGGAUGAGGAGAAAGCGGACGGCGUAAAAUGGGGCGAGACAGACCGAUCGGGUGCAGUAACAUAGUACAACGACGUUUUUUCUUCCUUUUAGUUUUUUUAGCUGUAGAGAAUAAAGCUUUAUAAUUGCAAAACUUAUUUCCUCCUUAAGCUUAAUUAUUGUUGCAAAUGUGAAAUGCCCCCUCAUAAGAGGCAACUGCCUCCUUUAGCGCUCACCACCGGCAUGUUUGCUGCGUAAAUAGGCAGCUGAUUUUUGGUUAUUUCUCGUUCGUCCUCCGUCCUAAAUUACUAUUCGUUUUGCCUUUUCUAGAUAUAUUAUUUUUACUCUGCGUCUAGAUAAUGUCUAGAUAUGUAGCAAAUACUAUAUACCUAUAAAAACUAAAAUGAAUAGUAAUUUGGUAUGGAGGGAGUACGUGAUGCUGCGCUGUUCACGCUAACACUCGUGUACUUGGUGGCACAACAGCUCCCGGCCGACACGAAGAAUUCUUCCUAACUUUUAACUGAAUUUUACAUAUGCGGCCACAAGACCCACGUGUGCAAGACAUCAGUGGCAGUGCUGGAACGCCUGAUGCUGCAAUGUGAAAUCAUGAAUUCCCCUGGGCGACACGACGACACAAAGGAAAAUGGACGGCUGGGUUACGAACAGCUAAUGCCACUACCAGCCAGGCAUCGGCACUUCUUCGCCUAGUCGGCCAGAGGCCGUCCUACCUGAAGUGAGUUCAGCAUCCACGACACAGAAGACCCCGAACUCCAAGCCUCCAGCCACAAAAAAAUGACCCAAAAAAAGCCCCGAGAUUUUUCACUUUCUGAUAUUUCCUCAUCCCAGGUAGGGAGGGGUAGGCAACUGCAAGCCUGCACAGCUCCCGUCUAUGUGGGCUCAUCUCUUCCUUAUCGACGCUGUGGCCGCCGAGCCGCCCACGUCGCCCCACCCUCUUCCUCCCCGAGACAAUCCCCACGCAACCGCGCACCGGGAGCCGGAUGAAACGGAACUAGCGGAGGGGGAGAAAAAUCUGCGACCCGUCCGCCUCGCCAGUGUGCUCGCCUACUUAUACACUCCGCUCACUCCCUCCAUCCCCUAGCUCCGCGGCCUCGCUCCCUUCCCCUCUCUCGGCUCCGGUCCACGCAGACAGGUGCGUGCGCGUCUCCGAUUCCCUGAUUCUGCGUGCGCGUUUGGGUUGUUGGUUCUAGUAAGUAACCGGUCUAGUGCCGUGUAAGAUUCGGUUCCUGAAGCUUCCUUUUAUCUCCUCCCUUAUUUUGGGAUGGGAGCAUGUGAGUGGUUAGUUUUUUUUAGCUUCAAGAGAGGGGGAAAGGUGAACUAGGAGUGUUGGUGUAUCGUGCUAAACUAGGAUCUGCCAGUAGGGUAGCGAUUGCUUAAAGCUCGUUCUGUUGAAUUAGCUUGUCGAUUUUCAAGGAGAGAGGAGAAGGCAUAAUGGUUGACUGUAUAUGGAUGAUCAUAUUUUAGUAGCCUGAUGAUUAUACUUGCAGUUGAGUAAGGAUUAGAAUGGUUUGGGGCGCUUGUAGGUAGUGGAAGGAAGCACUAGUAGCUCUUGAAUAGAAACUCUUCUAAUGAACCAUAUUCCGUGUUUACUUGCUCCGAAGCAUUUCGCAUCAUGUGGUUCUCCAACGUGACCUUCCAUAUACCCUUUUGCGAUGCAAUAGGGACUUAAAAUUGUACCUGUGCUUGUUUCAGUCAAAUUGAAUUGGAACUGAUGAAUUACAACAGUAAACUAAGCUCCUGGAUGAACCCAUUUUCUUUUUAGCUUUGCAACAAUUGUUCUUCUCUCUUGUUGACGAGGUCUCCCAUGAUUUUUUCAGUGAGCAAAGAUGGCGCCGCCAUCUAUGAGCCUUGCUGCAAAGGGUGUGCUUCCCUUCUCAGCCCUUACUUCAAGCGGCGUUACGCAAAGGCCAGUGUCAGUGACUGCUUCCUUGGACAAGACCAGCGAUGCCAGAAGGAAGUUCCUAAAGCUUGCGCUUGGGAACCUUGGUGUUGGGCUGCCCACCCUGUUGGGUGCUAAGAAAGCUCUUGCUGAUGAGCAAGGCGUCUCUUCCUCAAGGAUGUCUUACUCGAGGUUCCUUGAGUAUCUUGACAAGGAUAGAGUGAAGAAGGUUGAUUUGUUUGAGAAUGGGACCAUUGCUAUCGUGGAGGCCAUUUCUCCUGAGCUUGGCAAUCGCGUGCAGAGGGUCCGUGUGCAGCUUCCGGGUCUAAGCCAGGAGCUUCUUCAAAAGUUGAGGGAAAAGAACAUUGAUUUUGCUGCACACAGCAACCAGGAGGACUCUGGUUCUCUUCUGUUCAACCUUAUCGGAAAUUUGGCAUUCCCCCUUAUCCUUAUUGGCGGUCUAUUUUUGCUGUCAAGAAGGGCACAAGGUGGCCUUGGUGGACCCAAUGGUCCUGGCUUUCCCCUUGGUUUUGGUCAAUCUAGGGCCAAGUUUCAGAUGGAACCCAACACCGGUGUUACAUUUGAUGAUGUUGCUGGCGUUGAUGAAGCAAAGCAAGACUUCAUGGAAGUGGUCGAGUUCUUGAAGAAGCCUGAAAGGUUCACUGCUGUUGGUGCUCGCAUUCCUAAAGGUGUUCUUCUUGUUGGUCCACCUGGAACUGGUAAAACUUUGCUUGCCAAGGCAAUCGCGGGAGAGGCUGGUGUGCCAUUUUUCUCAAUUUCAGGCUCUGAGUUUGUGGAGAUGUUUGUUGGUGUUGGUGCUUCCAGAGUUCGUGAUCUUUUCAAGAAGGCCAAGGAGAAUGCUCCUUGCAUAGUGUUUGUUGAUGAAAUUGAUGCUGUCGGUAGGCAAAGAGGUACAGGUAUUGGUGGUGGAAAUGAUGAAAGGGAGCAAACUCUCAACCAACUGUUGACUGAGAUGGAUGGUUUUGAGGGAAACACUGGAAUUAUUGUUAUUGCUGCCACUAACAGAGCUGACAUCUUGGAUUCUGCUUUACUUAGGCCUGGACGCUUUGACAGACAGGUUAGUUUUUUAAUUUGGAAUUUUGGAUGUUAACAUUUGUUCGCAUUCUGUCUGGCAAUGCAUUCCAUUCCUAACACAGUUACGUGAGUGCUUGUUACAGUUAAAGUUGUUUGGUUCGAUCAUGAUUUACUAGUGAAGUUGUCAACUGCUUGCUUGAAAAAAUUAAGUCCACCCAUUUUAUAGCCAAAAGUUCAACACUCAUAUUGUUUCCUUUGUAGAUUACUAAGCUGAUCGCCUCCACUUAGUUCCUCCUAGGUUUGCCUUGGUUUCUUUCUUUCUUUCUUUUACUAAGCUGAUCGCCUAAUCCAUUUAGUUCAGAGCUUGAGUCAUCUUUCAUUCAGUACCUGAAAGCUAUCUAGAUCUUAACUUGAAAUUUGUUACAGGUGUCUGUCGAUGUUCCUGAUGUCCGUGGAAGGACAGAGAUUCUGAAAGUGCACGGUGGCAACAAGAAGUUUGAUCAUGAUGUUUCUCUUGAUGUCAUAGCAAUGAGAACACCUGGGUUCAGUGGAGCAGACUUGGCAAACCUUCUGAAUGAAGCAGCCAUACUGGCAGGCCGACGUGGGAAGACAGCAAUUUCUUCAAAAGAGAUUGAUGAUUCAAUUGACAGAAUAGUGGCUGGCAUGGAAGGAACUGUGAUGACUGAUGGGAAGAGCAAGAGUCUUGUUGCUUACCAUGAAGUUGGGCAUGCGAUUUGUGGGUAAGAGAUGACAUUUUCUUUGAAUAUUCCUCUUUGCUGAUCUUUUCUCCUUUGUCUUAAGCAUUGGAUUGGAUUUACUUUAGGUUGCUGGGUUUCUUAGAUGUCCUGUUAUGCAUUUGAAGUAUUUCUGAAGUAUUUCAAUUACUCUAUGUACAUUUGAGUGCUAAUAUGGUUUGUAAAGCUGGCUAGCUAAAUUUGUUCUCUUAAAUGCUCUGGUAAUUGGAAGGAUGAUAGGGCAGUUAUUUUGGUGUUGGAAUAAAGAACAACUUGUACUUGAUAUUUAACUCAAAAUGUUUCAAAAAAAAAUAUUUAACUCAUGGCCCAUUCCUUUGGUGUACUCCCUCCGUCCCAAAUUACUAUUCGUUUUGGCUUUUCUAGGUACAUAGCUUUUGUUAUGCACCUAGAUAUAUAUUAUGUCUAGAUACAUAGUAAAAAUUAUGCAUCUAGAAAAGCCAAAACGAAUAGUAAUUUGGGACGGAAGGAGUGUGUACUAAGUGGCUCCUUUUCUUUUUCUGUUUUUUGCUCUCUGAGAAUUAUAUGGUAUCUUUGCGGUUUCAGUUUUGAGUUAUUUAUGUGCCUCUUUUCUGUUCUUUUGGUAACCGUUCCAUGCCCUUUUUUUGUGCAAUCUCAUUCAUUUAUGGAAAUCUCUUCGCAGAACUUUGACACCUGGCCAUGAUCCCGUCCAAAAGGUUACCUUAGUUCCAAGGGGUCAAGCUCGUGGCCUUACAUGGUUUAUCCCGAUGGAUGACCCAACACUGAUCUCCAGGCAGCAACUCUUUGCGAGAAUUGUUGGCGGUCUUGGUGGUAGAGCUGCUGAGGAGAUUAUAUUUGGAGAGCCUGAGGUGACUACCGGAGCUGCUGGUGAUUUGCAGCAAAUUACCGGCUUGGCGAAGCAGGUAUACUUUCUUUAUGCUGCAGUUUUGUCAGCAUAACUUUGCAAGUCUUUGUGAACCAUUUGUGGUUUUAUUACUGACAUCUUUAUGAGUUCUAAGAACAAAACUAUGCUGCAAGCUCACAUGCUAUAGUGCUAUAAUUGGUAGCAAUCCGUAGGCAUCUUGUUUUACUACUGAACUUUGUUGCCAAUUGUACUGAGACCACAAUGAUCCUGCAGAUGGUCGUAACUUUCGGUAUGUCUGAGAUCGGCCCAUGGUCUCUGAUGGAGGGUGGAGCACAGAGUGGGGAUGUCAUCAUGAGAAUGAUGGCAAGGAACUCCAUGUCGGAGAAGCUCGCGGAGGACAUUGAUUCGGCAGUGAAGCAGUUGUCAGAUGAGGCCUAUGAGAUUGCUUUGAUGCACAUUAGGAACAACAGGGAGGCAAUUGACAAGAUCGUUGAGGUGCUUAUCGAGAAGGAGACACUGAACGGAGACGAGUUCCGGGCAAUUCUUUCUGAGUUUGUGGAGAUCCCUGUCGAGAACCGGGUUCCCCCAGCUACACCGGCGGCAGCUCUCCCCGCCUAAACUCUAGUUUUUUUAGGGACGAUAUUUGUUGUUGUACGAUGUUCAUAUUUUGGAUUCUUGGUAUACACUAACUCUACUUCACCAGCCGGAUUUUUGGUACACUACAUGUAACUUACUCAUGGUGAAUUAUAGUAACUGUAAUUAGCUUAAAAGGCUCUGCGCAACAUUUUAAGUUUCUAGCUUCUGGUCGAGUGAAAAUCUCUUGCUCGUCGGACGAGGCAAUUCCACGAUUCCUGCUACAAGACUUUGUGAUAAAACUGACUAAAAAAUGGGAUCAUCAAAUGCCACGAUCUUAACAACAAUUCUGCUUGCAACUGCCCUCACACUGUUAGGUAUGAUCGCAUUGCAAAAUUUGCAUCUCAAUCCGUUUCGAUCGUCCUACUCCUUACAAAGCCUCACCGGAUUACCCAAAAAUGAGGCUUCUUUAUUCACAAGUUGCUAUGGAAGUGAUGCUUUCCAACAACAUGCUUAGAUCAUAUUAUGAAACUGACCUUAUCAAUAGCUUAUCAACAAGCCAAGAAAAGUUGCCUCCAAAAACAAAAAACAAGGCAAGAAAAGGAAUAAAGCGCACAACACCAACACAUCACAAUUUCACAAAGGGAAAGAUGACAACACAAAAUACGGACCCAUAUGUAAAACUGAAGAAAUAUACGUAUCCCAAUGCAAAAAGGUCCUUCCUCCGCAAACCGAGACGAGACCAGACCGGAACAAGUCUCCAGGCCCACCACAGCGGCCACUCCUCCCCAUUCCCGACCAACCACCGACGCGGCCGCUCCACCAUGGCGCCCGCUUCCGCCUCCGCCUCGCCGCGCACCAGGCAGGAGCUCAUGGACGCCCUCACCGCGCACCUCUCCCUCUACCACGCCGCGGCGAACCCUAGCCCCGCCGCCUCCUCCUCCUCCACCUCCUCGUCACCGCGCGCCGCGAUCCUCCGGUGGCUCGCGUCCCUCGCCCCCGCCGCGCGCGCCGCGGCCGCCACCUCCCUCCUCGGCCCGGCCGCGUCCGCCGCUCUGCUCUCCAUGCUCCGCCGCCUCCGCCUCCGGGGCCACUCCUCCUUCUUCGUCCUCCACUCCCCGCCCCCGUCCACCUCCUCCGCGCGCGGGGCCGAGGAGCCCACCGUCCUCUCGCGGCUCUCCCGCGGCCUCCUCGCCCGCGCCGCGGCGGGCUCCCGGGCGCACGCGCUCCUCUUCGCCAACCUCCUCCUCUUCCCCUCCUCCCCCACGUCGUCGCGGUGCCCCGACGCGAUCACCGUCGCCGAGGCAUUCCUCGCCGACCUCGACGGCUUUGUCGCAGCCAUGGACGAGAUCUCCGGCGGGAGGUUCUUGUGCUCUGGGGAAGGGGAGGUGGACCUGGCCGCGCUGGCGUUCCAGGAUUUCCCCGAGCUGCCUUGGCUGAAUGAUAAGGGCUACUACGUGAUCGAGGAGUUUGUGGCCAACAGGUUGGAGAUCGCGCUGCGGAUGUCGUGGGCGGCAGCGGGGGGAGGUGGAGGUGGAGGCAGGAAGGCGGUGAGAGUUGGGAAGGGUGUGAAGGAGAAGGCUGGGCUCGCUGCAAACGCCUUCUGGAGGGAGAAGGGAUAUGUGGAUUGGUGGAUGAGGCUGGAGCCUCGGAUGAGAGCAAGGAUCAUGGGGGCAUUCUUUGGAAAAGGUGCAGUGGCCCUGGUAAUAUGCUUUCUACUCUGCAUUUUGAAGUAACUUACAGUCAUGGAUUUCAAAUACUAUGGGGUUGGAUUUCUUAGUUGUUUGCCUUGUUUGCAUAAGUGAACUCCAGAUUUUAGAAACGUUUCUGCAAUUUCCUUAGAUUUUUUUGGGUAUGAUUUUAAUUCAAUUGAAAUCAUGGUUUGAGAUAAGAUAUUUGGUUGUUACAUUACAUGAAUCUAUUAUUGAACUGUGUUGUCUAAUUAAAGGUGAUUUAGUUAUGAUGUGCAUGAGGCAAUAAAUGUGAUUUGAGUUUAUUAUGGGUGGUAGAUUCCAUACUGAUGCAUUUUGGGUAUCUAUUGUUGACUUGUCAUUGUAAUAAACGAAAGGUGGAAAGGCCGUUGAUGGUGAUGGAAGAAUGGAAAAGGUGACAGAAAUAACAUGGCAUACACUAAUUCCUUGCCAUCUUAUUUCUGAACUCAGUUGAGGGAAAACAAGCCAGCAUGCUUAACCAUGUUAUAGGUCCUUGGAAAGGAAGUGGCAGCAAAUUGCCUUUCUUGUGUUGAUGUUAACUUAUGCAAAUGUAGGUGCACCUUUAAAUAAGAAAACAAGCAAGCAAAUCUAGCAGGUUCUGAAGAAUUUUUGUCCUGUAAAAGUAUGUGAAUGUAGCAGUACCUGGUUCAUAAAUAUGACGGAAGAUAGAUUUCACAUAUAUAUUUAAUCGGAUUAAACAUUAAUUCUCCUCUUGUUUUGGAAAUGACAUACAGAAGUUGGUUAUUGUGUUAUGUCUGUGCUGAGAAAAAAGCCCUAUUUGCUGAAAUAACCACACUAAUGUGAUUCAACUAUUUGACAAAUGCUGUUGCUUUCUGAAAUAUGCAUGCUUUAUCUAACUGAAGUCUCAGAACAGUCCUAAACGAUUAAUGAAUCCAGGAUAUCUGUUAUGUAGCGGAGUUAGCACUAUCAUGCUUUUUCUAAGAAGUUAAAAAAACUGAAAAUCAGAUUGCAAAGUGUUCUUCUCUCUGGCACGUAGUCCAAAUGUCCAAUGAAUACAAUUUUGAGGCACUGUGAAUCAAAUGUUUCACUAGUAUUUAUAGGAGUGAUCUGUAUGAUUUUCUGUAAAAUGGUACUGGAAAUUAUCCUCUAUUUAGUGUGAAACCCCUCAUUUUUCUCGAAGUAAGCUAUGUCUUUCUUGAAUCUUGAUGUGUUUAUGUUAGCCCAACUAUGUUGAUGUGGGGUAACAAAAAGACAGCUCUUUGUCACCCCAUACAGGCUUGCUUUAGUACUGUGAUUGGGAGGAGAAUCACUAAACUUGGUGUGCAAUUGUCCUGAGCAUGUUGCUAUGCCUCGAGCACAUCUAAUAUGCUAAUAGUUCAAGUUUGCAGGCUAAUGAGAUGGUUGAAGGAUCAGAUAUUGCUUGGGAUAGUUUCUCCUUCUGCUUAGGUGAAUCAGGAUCAUUUGUGGCAGAUAAAUCUUGUGAAUGUACACGACAGUCUUUCUUCAGAAAGAAUCGGGCUUGUUCCAUUGACAUUGCAAACAUUCUAUCUUGUAGCAAGAAGCCUAUAUUUGCUAAAGAGUUGACAAGACUGAAACUAGUUGAGGAGAUAGUGUGUUUGAAGAACAACAUUACUUGCUGUGGCGAUGAUGCAAUCUUUUUCACUUCAUUAGCUUUGGCUCCUACUGCUGCUGGUGAGAUACUUAUGAAAUUACGAGGGCUCCUCAUGAUGGUGUCAACAGAAAGCAUAAAUCUUGAACUUAUUGGGGAUGGAGCUCCGAAAAAGAAAGAUGUUGAGAAGACCAGUGGUGGUUCUCGGAAAGGAAAGAAGAAGUCUAACACCUCGAAAAAGCUAACAGCAUCUGCUAAACCAUCCAAGGUAUAGUUGAUUGUUGCUCUGCUUGCUAUAGCAUUGCGAUAAGCAUAGGACUAUAUGCUUCACUGAGUAUAUUAUGUUGUUACUUGUUAACCUAAAGACUUUUUUUUUUCCAGGAUAAUGGAUGCAGUAGUUCGGAAAGUCGCAAUUGUAGGCCUUUACCCAACCAGUGCCCUGCAUCUGUUAGAGGCACUACUGAUGGACCUCCAUCUGAAGAAACUCCUUGCAAGGAAAUUAUACCCACAAUGAAGGUUGUAAACUUUAUUUCGCACAAUCUUUUUUUGUUUGGUUGUUCAUUAAUUCAUGAUUUAUGAGGGAUAUCCUCCAUAUUUUAGGAGCAAACUGUCGGGUUGGAUGACUGCAAGAAUCAAUGUAACAAAAAGAAGAACAAGCGUAAAGGGAAAACAAAACCAUCAAAUCUGAUGAGACCUGAGAGCCCAAGAUCUACCAAAUUGAAAACAGUUGUUCCCCAUAUUGCUACAGAUGCCUCACAUAAACCUGUUGAAGAAGUCGAUGUCUUACCUCAUCACCCAUCUUAUGUCCAUCCUUCCAAGAGUGAGAUCUCUGAAGCAGUUAGAUGUUCUGACCCUUCCAUUUUAUCUAAUGGAACAAAUGUAAUAGCCAGCAGAAAGGGCAAAAAACUUGAAGACCCAUCGUAUUCUCCUAGAGUUAGCUCAUCAGUUACUACAGAACAUUUUCAAAGUGCUGAUGAAUAUGAUGCCUCCUAUAUGGAUGAGCAGGCCUCAUCGUACAUCAGUCAAAGUGAAUCGGUGGUUCAGUCGUCGUCAUGUUUACCUUCAGGAAUCAACAAUGUCGCUUCCAAUAAUCUGAACGGAAGCUCUGUUGGCUCCUUGGUAAGAUCUGCACAGGAAAAAACUGGCUGUGAUGAGAAACAAUUGGAUCAUAAAUCUGUAGCAACAAUGGACAAAAUUUUACCUUCUGUUAUUCCUGCCAACAUGCUUCAAAGUGCUAUAACUGACAAUGGUGCAGUAAUGAAAAAUAGCGGCGGUGAAUAUUAUGUAUACAACAGGAACCUACUGGGAGGAACAUCAUAUGAAUGGCCCAGUGUAACACCACCUCAUUUUGUAUCUCCUGAAAUGCAACAGCGUCCAGCUGCAGCAGACAGGUUGCAUCUUGAUGGUUACAAAUGGCCAACUCAAUUCAAUCAACCCUUUCUUUCUGCGAACCAUCAGGUGAGGAAUCCGCCGAUUGAUGCUGGAUGCAAUCAAAUGUUACCUUCUCUAGCGGUGCCACUAAGUUUUGAUUGGCCUCCUGUUUUUAGAGGUUACGGUAAAAAUGCAGCUGUAAGUUAUGAUCCAUUGUACACCCCACAGAUGCAAUCUUCUGCUUGGUCAGGGUUCCCUGCUCAACUAAUGCAAAGAGGGGGUAUUUGCAGUGACAGUGACGUUGGGGAUGAUACUGAAAGCUACUGGUUUUCUGAAGAAGAACCAGAUAGCCGUGCACAUUCUGGAAGAGAUAUUAACCAAUACUUUGGUGGAGGUGUGAUGUAUUGGAACCCUGCAGAACAUGCAGGAACUGGUUUUUCUAGGCCACCAUCUCUUAGUUCAGACGAUAGUGCUUGGGCUUGGCAUGAGGCUGAUGUUAUACGAGUUGUUGAUGAUGUGGCUAAUGGGAUUCCAUCUACAUACACAAAUGGUGUAUCAUCACCACCCUCCACUCCAUCCUGUUCUCAAAACGAAUCUUUUGAUCCUGCUGCUCACUCAAUAACAGGGAAUGACAUCAAUAAUGAAGCUCAUACUUCUCCAUCUUCUAUGCAAGAGAGUCCUGAAGAUAAAACGACUUCAGUUGUCAAGAGUGUGCCUUGUGGCAGUGAAGUAGUUAAGGGAGAUACAUUGCCAUAUGCCAUGCUGCGGCCGAUAGUUGUUCCUAUAUCACGAAGGUCAUCAAGAUCUGAGAUUAAGGCUGGUCAUGAUCACAGGAGUCCAUGUGUACCAUCAACAAGGAGGGACAUACCUCUUCUAAGAAGACCUCCAUCACCAGUAGUGCUUAGUGUUCCCCGCGUGCCUCGGCCACCACCUCCUUCCCCUGCUGGAGAGUCAAGAAAAAGAGGAUUCCCGAUUGUUAGAUCUGGCAGCUCAAGUCCUCGUCAUUGGGGGAUGAGAGGUCUAUUUUCUGAGGACAAAAUUUUCCAUAGGGCUCAGUUUUGCUUGGAUGGUCCUGAAGUUGUAUGGCCUUCAUGGGGAAACAAGGCCACUUCUUCUGGUACAUUGGUGCAAUCAAUUGAGGAUACUGUUUUGCAGGACCACCUUGUUAAGAUUUCACAGCUAUCUCGUGAUCAACAUGUAAGGAUGUAAUUUCCAAUCUUCCGUCAGUAGCGAGAAUGAUCAUUUAUUCGUCCUUUCUGUCUUUCUAAAAUAUACUUUUGCAGCCAGACGUGGCAUUGCCUGUACAGCCACCUGAUAUGCUAAACGGCUCAUCUCACAAGACAUCCCUCUCUUCGAUGCACAAUGCUCUACAUGAAGAAAUAGAUCAAUUCUGUAAGCAGGUAUAUCCCUUUUUCUUCUGCCUCUGGCAUCACUAUUCAUUUAUUUAUUUUUUGGUAUGGGACCUUAAACUUACUCUGAUGCUAAUCAAUUUUGUGUCAUCUCAUGCCUAAAUUUGUGUCAAUAAAAGCUCCCCUUUUCUAAGCAUGUAUUGAUUCCAUUUGUACAACCUGCAAGGUUGCUGCUGGUAAUCUGGUGAGGAGGCCCUACAUAAACUGGGCUGUCAAAAGAGUCACACGGUGCUUGCAGGUUCUGUGGCCUCGCUCCCGUACAAAUCUAUUUGGCUCAAAUGCCACUGGCUUGGCUCUUCCAACUAGUGACGUUGAUCUUGUAGUUUCUCUUCCCCCUGUCCGAAACCUGGUGAGUUGCAUGACUAAUAACAGUGUAUAACAAGUUAGUUCAAGUGCAUCCAUAUUGUUGUGGAUAAUAAAGUUGUUGCUUUCAGGAACCUAUUAAAGAAGCUGGAAUUUUGGAAGGCCGGAAUGGCAUCAAGGAAACAUGUCUACAGGUAAUUCAUUUGGCUUACAUAUGGACACACAACAGACGUGCUUGCAUGCUAAGAGGACAAAGAAUUUUCCCUUCUUUUCACAUGAACCAUCAUUUUCCUUUCAGCAUGCAGCAAGGUGUCUUACAAACCAAGACUGGGUUAGGAGUGAUUCCCUCAAAACAGUUGAAAACACAGCUGUAAGUGGCUUUCUUUUGCUAGUUCAUUAGCUACUUUAUUUUCCUCAUGCUUAUGUUAUUUGCAGAUACCUGUGAUUAUGCUUGUAGCAGAUGUACCUUGUGACACAAAUAUGUUCAAUGAGUAUUCUUCAGUACUGGAUAGCUCACAAGAAUAUUCAGUUAAUGUGCUUGGAGAACAAGGGAGUCCUCCUCGGUCUGAUACCUCUAGUUCAGAAGGCAGCAACAUGCUGGUGUCCUCAAAAUUGAAUAAGGAUGAUUGUGACAUUGUGCAGUCAAUUCGUCUUGAUAUAAGUUUCAAAUCGCCAUCCCACACAGGACUGCAGACUACUGAGUUGGUAAGUCAGAAUUCUAUUGUCUGGAUAUCCAAAGAGAACAAGAGUUCCUCUCCAUUACUGUUAGUUCUAAGUUUGAUGGUCAUUCAAAUAUUUUGUUUGGACCUGUUUGAUUAGAGUUCGGUAGCUGUCUUGUAUUCUAAUAUAAAUUUAACAUGUAGCAAACAUUUGAAUAUUUUGGACCAUUAGUAAUAAGCACUACAUGAAUAAUCUAACAUAUGUGCAUGCAUAAUAUGAUGCGGAACGUCAGCUGGAUAAGUAUCAUCUUAUUUUGGUAUUCUGUGCGAUCUACAUGCAAUGUUGCAAUUUUUGGUGUUCUAAACAAAAUGAUUCUUUUAUCUUUUACCUUAGCUAUUUUUGCAGUACACAAUACCAUCAUGCAAAUCAUACAUAAAGUUGGCAUGUGUUCUUGCAAAUGGAGUAAUGUUUUCAUGUUGUUGCCUCCAAAGAUUGUGAGGACGAGAUAAGAAAUGAUAAGAAUCAUGUUACUUCUGGAGUGAUUUUUGCUUUGCAACAGUUUCAGAUUUUACGUUUUUAGCAGUAUGAAUGAGCAUCCAGCCAGCUGCUUAGUAGCUGUGGAACUUUCUGACUAGAUAAAGCACAUACCACACACAUUGUUGCUCAUGAUAUAUUAUUGACAAACAUUUAUGAGAAUUUUGCAAGAUGGAAUUACGAAGCAUUAAGCAGUAUUCCCUGCCUAUUUGCUCAUCUUCUUAUGUAUUUAUUUACUUAUUUAUUCUACAGGUGUGCGAGUUGACACAGCAAUUUCCUGCAGUUGUACCUCUUGCAUUGAUUCUCAAGAAGUUUUUGGCUGACCGGAGUUUGGACCAUCCCUAUUCAGGUGGUCUAAGCUCUUACUGUUUGGUAUGUAGCUUUUCAAAUAGCCCUGCAUUUGCUUCAUUGAAAAUUUAUGGCUAUUACAGUAUGUUUGCACUGGGCGGCUUCUUUCUUAUACAUGACUGAGGCGUUAAGCUUAUGCGGACCUAUAUGUACUCUUUCAGUUCACUAUAAAAAACAGAAUUGCAAGUUAAUGAUUAAAUACCUUUAUGUUUAGUAGAUUAAUCACGAUUCUAUAUUUUUUACCAUGAGUUUAUCAAUGGUUAGGUUAAUUUGUCUGAACUCUGGAUUAACCCUUUUGUAGAGAUGAUGCAGAUAUUAAUAUUUGUAUUGUUAAACAGUGAAACACAAGCAGAGCACAUUCUAGCAAACUUUUAUUUGCUUAUAUCAUGUGAUCUUUGGAUAGUUCAGUUCAAACUUACUGUCCUGUAUUAUUUUCCAUAUUAGCAUAUUAUGUUGAUCAAUGGCAUUUUACCUGAUCCAGUUUUUCACUGGUGUCACAUUCGUAUUUUGAGGACCUGUGAAAAAUAAAGCUUCAGUUUAAAUAUUAUUUGCAGGUGCUGUUAAUUGUUCGUUUUCUCCAGCAUGAGCAUCAUCUUGGUCGGCCUAUCAACCAAGUAAGUUGUGAAUCUUGAGCACCCUAGGUGCGUUUGAGUUACUACUCUAUUUUUGGUCUGGUUUUUGUAUCCUUGUAAUCAUUUCCAUUAUGUUUUUAAUUUGGCAGAAUCUGGGCAGCCUUUUGAUGGAUUUCUUAUACUUUUUUGGGUAAGAAAAUACCCCUGAAUUUUUUGUUUUUAGCAACUAUAUGGGGCCAAACAAUUGCAUCUAUGUGCCUGAAGCCCUGAAUGUUAAUACUUAAUAGGGCCUUGUGUAUGUUUUCCCUUUCGGAACAGCUACUAUUGUGUAUCUUGCAUAUAAUUUGUAAUCUUAAUGCCAGGAACAUAUUUGAUCCACGCCAUAUGCGUAUUUCUAUCCAAGGAAGUGGAAUUUAUUUGAAUCGUGAAAGAGGGCACAGGUAAUAAGUUCAUUUACUCCUGUCACCUACAAUGUUAGUUUUCUGUAUGUAAAUAUGCUUGAUUUUGCAGCAUUGACCCAAUUCACAUUGAUGAUCCACUUUGCCCUGCAAACAAUGUGGGCAGGAAUUGUUUCCGCAUUCACCAAUGUAUAAAGGUUAGUUACAAUUCUCUCUUAUUUUGUAUUCAGACAUAAAUAUCUGGGUAGGAAACUGCAGCCUGCAGGUUGAGAACUUAUACCAUUUUAUCAUGUAUAUGACAGGCUUUUGCUGAUGCUUUUGCUGUUCUAGAGAAUGAGCUACUACAGUUCAGUUCAGAAUGUAGCAUGCCUGAAUCAUCAUUCAAUAUACUAAAGAAAAUAAUCCCAAGUAUUGAUACUGAUGAGUUGUAGCUAUAAAAAGAGGUAGGAUUCCGCAAGCUACAUUUGGUGUCAGGUUGGAAUGACCUGUGCAGCCUUUUAAGCACUCUGAUGGCUAUGCAGCUGCUUAGAAGGUAAGUGUGGAUGAACACUCUGUUUCAAUCUUAAUCAUUACCACAUAUUCACUGAUAGAUUUUGACGUUAAACAUGUUACAGCCUCAGUCUACUGAGCUUGCUUCCCCUGAAAUGGGCGAAGUAGAUCUGCAAGAUCUGCACAGGAGUGUUCAUGUAAGUGUAACGAUGCAAGAUGCCUUGCUCCCUGAUCAAGCCUCUCAAUGUUGAGACCUCUGAUGGAGGCGGAUUGGUGUACUCAAGAGCACGAUGGUGGUGCACACAUGGUACGUACAUGGAUGGCUGCUCUUCUAAGUUUCUAGAAGAGCUCAUUCAUGUAAUGCUUGGUAAGUGCAUAUCUAAUGCUCAUCCAUCGAUAGACAAUUUCGCCUCUCGCCAAGGGUUUUUGUGUCCAAGGCACACCGCACACUACAAGGGAUUUCCCUUUGGGCGACAAACUUCAGUUCUGAGCUGAGGCCUCAUUUGCUUCCUAGUCCCUUGGUCAUGACAUACUAUUUUGUGGCAGAAAGGAACUCUUUAAAGUAUGACCUGCUGGCAGACCUGUAAGGUUACGGAAGGAGCAGAGUAGACCUCUCGGAACAUAUAGACCUGAGCAGCACCGGAGAUUGCUCUAGCACCGUCUCUGCAACCUGAUGGUCAAGAAGAAAAUGAGGAACGCUAUAAAGGAACCGGGAUUAGCAUCAGGGAGAUGCUAUUGGCGCCAAACCACGGUUCGUGUAGCAAGACACGUCUCCAGAUUGCCGAGCCGGUGCCGAGAACUUCCUGGUGACCGGGGACGAGAUGCUGGUUAGCGGACGGAACUGUGGCAAUGAUGCUCUCAGUACUCUCGUUGUCAUAUUGCUGGUUGCAGCUACAUCUCUCUUGCUUUUGCAAUUGCUCUGAAAUUUGAGCAGUUGCUCUUGUAUUGCUGUACUGUCUUGUAACUGAAGCAAAAUACAGUUUUGCUGCAUUGUAAUGAUUUUUACAGGUUAGUAGCCACCGAAAGUUUUUGCGAUACAGCUGUACAUCUAGUUCGCACAUACUAGUACAUUGUAAAACACUUAGCAAAUGUUGCUAACAUCGUGAUACAACUAAAAAAUACUAGGCGAAUUUAAUAGCUUUGGAGUAAAUGGUAAUUUUCCAGGAAAAAUAAGAAAACAAACUUGAAGAAUCGUGGUAGGCUGUUUCGAAUAACACAGCAUUUACGAAUCGUGACAUGGCUCCGGAGCUUGAUGAGGAGUCUGAGGCGGCGGCGACUAUGGCACAGCACCUACUGGCAGCUGCUGACAGGUACGAUGUUAAUUUUUCCUGCAGAAUUGAUUAUCCCGAAUUUCAGUAUGGAAGCAACGACCUACUAGGUAUAUACACUAGAUUAACUCCUGCAAAAUCUGGACCUCAGGCUUCUGCGUUGAACAACACGGAGGAUCUGGGAGAUCUACUUAACUCCAGUGCAGGUUCCAAAUCAGCUCGCGAGUGGUGCAAUGCGUGCUAGUCAAUUUGACCUGCAAUUGACAAGGGACUCAUAGGUAAACGUUCUUUGAUUAAACACCACAGCAGAUAGAUUCAAUGUAAUCAUACGAAGUAAAUAAAUAAAAUAUUAAUGGUAUGUGUCAUCGGCUAUGUUAGCCGACGGGCUAAGAUAAAGCAUUGUAACGCAACAGCCAUAAAAGGGAAUCCUUGUUAACCACGCGCUUAUCAGAUAAGCUAACAGAUCUAGCCAAUAUCUUGAUAAGUGUAUUGAACUCAGACAAGGUAACACGAAUGAGAGUGCACUGGCAUCAAUCUACUAACUUAAAAGAUUAGAACGUAACAACAAGGACCAGCCGAUGCUGAUUGUACGCAAUCCAGAUACAUCAACAGAUCUUAAUUAAUGUCUUGAUAAAUGUAUUGAAAUUAGAUAAGGUAACACGAAUGAGAGAUCAUUAACCUCCAUCUGUCAACAUAAAAGAUUAGAGCAUAAUCACUAAAGCCGUCUUGUCUACCGCUUACAAGCCGAUCAAGGUAACAAAAUAUGAUCAAUGUCAUGACCGUGUAUUGAACUUAGACAAGGUAGCACGGUAAGGGGGUGUUAACUUCAACCCAUUAGUCUUAACAGACAAGUUCGCGGCAGCAAGGCCUCGUACACACCCCUAUCGGCUAAAUGACAUCAUCACACUUUUGCGAGAUACGGAUAAGACCUGACCAAGGCAUCAGCUCUCAACAGUAGCACGUUGACGUCAAAGGCCAGACGGUUAGCAAUACGAGGGUAGGAGUAAAGAUCUAUUGAAAAGCAUGCAAGAAUAUAACACCCUAAUUUUCAAACUUUUGCAGAUUAAUAAAGUUUGUUAGAAUUUGUUAGAAUUUAAUUUCUUAUGUCUAAGGACUUAAGGAUUUUCUAAGGUUGCAUUUAAUUUAUUAGGCAUUUAAAUAUUUUUAAAAAUAAGUUAAUAAAUCAUAGGAUUUCAUUGUUGCAUUCAUGCUGGUGCAUUUUCUCUUUGAGUGUUGAGUUCGAAUUUGUGUUUCAACUCAAGUUUGAAUCAUGUUUGAUUUUCUUUUUAAAUAAUAGGAAAACCUUUCUCUUUCUUCUUUUUUCUUUUGGCCCGCUCCUUGUCUUGGCCUAGCUUCGCAGCAGCGUAGCGGCCCAGCAGCCGGCCCACCUUCCCGUGCCAGCUCGCCAGCAGAAGGCCCCCCACCACUUUACGCUUUCGCCUUGUCUCGCUGACCACCGAGGCCUGCCUGUCAUCCACAUCGCUGCGUCACACCCAAGGCGAACUCAAACUGGAGUCCCGGCUGCUUGCACACCCACCUCCAAUUCUUGGCACCCACGCCAAGGAUCGCCUCCCAGCACUAUAAAACCUACCGUCUCCAAAGUCCCCCAUCACCAAACCCUAAACCCCGCGUCCAAGCUUCAGCGCCGCCACCGCACGCCCACAACCCUAGCUCGCGCCUACCGCUCUCGAUCUCUUCCGCCACCGCCUUGCCAUCCACAAGAUCACCGCCUAGAGCUUCGCGUCAUGGCAAGGAAGCCACCCGUGAGGAUCCGUGCACUCCCACGCCUUCUUUCGCGUGCACGAGCUCGCCGGAGUCGUCGUUUCGCUAUAUAUUCAGUUGUAUCUCCUAUGUGGGAAUAUCUUAGCCACUUUCAGUAAAAAAAAUAGAGCUAUGAGUUUCUGCAUUGAAAAUUCAUCUUUUCUAAGGAUGGCAGUGGAUUGGGUUCGGGGUGGAUAUCCGCGGGUUUCGGUUUUGGUUCCUAGUUUUCGCCUAUGGAUUUGCGGGUUCAGAUACCCGAAAUAUUGCGGGUUUGGGACGGAUUCUUAAAUUCACCUUUGGAGCUCCAUCGGGGCCCCAAAACAUCCAGCCUACUAGAAGCCUACCUAGCAACCCUAGGUAUAUAAGGCUGAAAUCCUUCACCCAGCCGCGUCGUUCCGCACCCAGGCACCCAGCCAUCCCACCGUCCGCCCGUCCCGCACCGCACCCAACCGCGCCGCCAACAGCCAACCCCACCCGUACCAUCCGGCUGGGGAUCGACGGCGGAGACAGGCGACAGCGGGCGACGACGUGGCCGGGCGGAGGACAGCGUGGCGGUGGAUCGACGGAUGACGGUGCGGAGCGGGCGAUGACCCGGCCGGGUGGAGGACGGCAGGGCGGCGGAGACGGGGGCGACAACGGCGGGCGAUGGCGCGGCGGCGGCAGCGGGGCGGCGACAAGGUGGGCGACAGCGGGUUUAGGUUAAUCCGUCAGGUUUUGAGGAUCUGUGGAUUUCAAUUUCGGGGAUGGAUUUUCACCUGAAUCGGUGCUCGGGACGGAUUCAGGUUUUAGGUUCGGGUUUCGAUUUUGGGUGCCCAGACACUCCACUUGAUCCGAACCCGUCCCGUUGCCAUCCUUAAUCUUUUGUGUUGAGGUCUCUCUCUUUUGAAUCUUUGUCUUGAUUGUGCUGGGGAUGGCGCUGGCGAGGCAGAGGGGGAAGGCGGUGGUCGGCAUUGAGAUGGGAGAGACGGAUCCGACGGUUAGAAAAUUCGUGUGUGGGAGGGAUCUUCUACGUCCGAGUGUGGUGUAGAUAUACAAAAACAAGAAACAUUAAACACUGUCCUCUAUUAUCUCUUCUUCCUCUCUCUAUUGUUUGAGAGGUCUGAGGGUGGCACUUGAACCUCGAGGUGCCUCUCAGUCGUCUCCUCAAGCCGCGAGUCCUUGAUAAUAGUGACAUCGCACUCGAUCACAAGUGAGUCGUCCCGAAGGUAGGACGCUUCAAGCUCGCUUCUCUUCUUCCACCCGUUGGUUCCCCAAGCAUUGUUUGCAUCGUCGGACACAGUCAGCGAGGAGACGAGCGAGGACAGCCCAGUGGCUGGAUCGACCAGCGUCAAGUCGUGUAUCACCAUCACCAGCUUGACGUGCUCGGUGACGAAUAUGAGGAAGACAGAGGCGUAGUCUUUGCAAUCCUACUUGGCACCGUCGGGGAAGUAUGGGAUGCGCCACUCGUGGCCGCCGGGAUGGUGAAGUUAUCGGAUUUGAUCUACUUAACGAGUUAUGUUUGGGAUGCGAUGAGUACGAAAGGCUUACGACCCGCGGCUAAUCGUGCGUGCAUAUAUAUAUAAACACAUGAUUAUUCAUUGGUUGCUGACGAAAUCCCACGCCUUUCAUCAACUCACGCCGUAGAAAGUUGGAACUUCAGCCGUGCUCCGAUCCCGUCCUCCAUCAUGCAGAACGCCGCCUGCAUCGACCUCACGACGGCCGCGCGCUCCGUGCAGCGGUUCAGGAUCAACGGCUUCACGGCGACCAAGGAAAGCCUGGGGCUUCCGUCGAGGGCAUGUUCCGUCGGCGGACACAGCUGGCGAAUCGAGUUCGACCCCGACGGCAGGAACUCCGGCCACGUCUACUUCGGCGACCCCUGGGUCACGUUCCGUGCUACCCUGACCAGCAAGGCGCACGGCGCGGCGGCGUCGUUCAGCUGCUGCCUCGUGGAUCCAGUAAGCAUGGCGCCAGAUCCGUCCACUGGGAAGCUGGCGUCCUCUUCAUUCUACAAAAACAGUGGCCUCAAUAUCGCUCUCAUGGCACGGAGCGACCUGGAGGCGUCCAAGUACCUGAAAGACGACUGCGUGAUCGUGCAAUGCGUGAUCACCGUCCUACUCGCCGAGCCGAAGGACGCAACGACGGCGGCGGCGGCGGCGUAUGCCUCGCCCAGAGUUCCGUCCGCCGACCUGCACCAGCAACUCGGUGACCUGCUGCGGAGCGGGACGGGGGCGGACAUCACGUUCAUCGUCGCCGGCGAGUCCGUCACGGCACACAGGUCCGUGCUCGCGGCGCGGUCGCCGGUGUUCAUGGCCGAGCUAUUCGGGGACAUGAAGGAGAAGGCAUCGCAGUGCGUCGAGAUCGAGGACAUGGAGGCCGAGGUGUUCCGGGCCAUGCUCUGUUUCAUCUACACCGACACGGUGCCCGAGCUGGGCAACAAGAUGAAGGGGGAGCAGGCGACGGCGAUGGCGCAGCAUCUUCUUGAAGCUGCGGAUCGGUAUGGGUUGAAGAGGCUGAAGAAGAUAUGCGUGGAGAAGAUCUGCACCACCAUGAACGUGGACACUGUCGCAACGACGUUGGCGUUGGCGGAACAGCAUGGUUGCUCGAAGUUGAAAGCCAGAUGCAUGAAGUUCACCUUGGCGAAUCUCAGCGCAGUUUCUGCAACAGAAGGUUAUAAGCAUCUCGAGGCAAGCUGCCCCUCCGUUCUAACUGAACUUCUCAAGCUUAUGCUCGAGGGAUACAAGUAGUUGGGUAUGCAUUCUAUUGUUGGCAGACAGAAUGCAGACCUUUUUAUUUAUUUAUUUAUUUAUUUUUAGAAAUAUGAAUGACGUUUAAGGAUUAUCUGAAACCGACCAUUCUAAACUCUGACCACAUAUUUCUCUUUAUUACUUGUUCAGUUUAAAUGUUUCCAUGUGGAUUUGUUUUGACAAUUAGUUUUAUAUAAAAAUAAAUAUUCUUAUUUAUGAAUAACUUAAGAGUGAGUACUCCGAUCACAAAGUAUAUUGUUUUAUGCUUUAAAUUGUUUAGAAACGUUGUUAAUAUGUUCUUAAUAUUUUGACUUAACCGAUUAAAAUGUCAGCUCGUUUGUCCUAAAACAAACAUAUAGUAUCGUAAAUAUUAAGACAAUUACAAUGAUAAGUUUUUAUAGGAUUCACCUAAUUUUGAGACAACUUAUAACUAACAAUCCUUGCCAGAGAUAUUUUUUUAACCAUCCUUCAAUAAUUCUAUGCCUCCUUGAUUUACGGAUCAGUCGUAAAAUACACAAAACGCGGUAUCUCGAAGACAUAUGGUACAAUAAACUCAAGAGUCCAUGUCACUAGUAACAUUUUUUAAUGUGUAACUACAUAUUGAAUGUUUCAUAAUUCUAAUCGUUCUGUUGUUCUGGAUUAGGUUGUUUCCACUUUCCUCAACGAGGAUACCCCCAUGAUUUUUUAUACUCCCCAGUAGGUCUAGGAUUUGGCCAUGCUAUUGUUAGUUGUCGGUGGCAUAAUGUUUUCGUCUGCCUAGGAUCUUGGCAUGGUACGGUGAGCGUACAGCAACACACGAAGUAUCUACCACGACUAUAAAAGUGAAUUGAUCACAUUUAGCUAUUUAUUCUCCUCUUUCGUUUAUUUUCCCACACAUUAUAUUGGUACAAACUGGGUGGAUGCACGUGUACAAACGGCUUCAAAUUCGGCUCCCAGGAUCCGAGAAAAUGCUCGAGUUUGCUGUAGUCAGACCCUUUGAAAAUAGAAAUUCUCAUCCAUAGAACCGUGCGUAGCGCCGUUGGCAAAGGUGUAUGUGGUUCGCGGGCUAGCAUACUUGAAUCCGCAUGUUCACAGGUGCUUGAAAUCAUGAAUUCUCACCAAUUAGACCAUCCCCAAUCUUUCUUAUGCGCAACGAGCUUUGGUUCAUCUUUAACCUUCCAUGUUCUCUCUUCGUUGUGCUAUUUCUCCUUAUUGUCCUUGCAUUCCUCCAUCUCUGGCAGUGGAUGCUCAGCGAAUUGCUUUCCCCGCACUUAGAUCUCUCUCUAAUUUCUUCUCCCACCAUUAGCCGUCGUCUGAUGCUAUUAUAUCACUCUGAGACUUCCUUCUCUUCGCACCACUAGCCGUCACUCCAGCCAUUUGUGGUCGGAGGCACUGCACCCUUCUGUUGCCAUUAGCCUAUCCAUUAGCCGAGCAUUCCUCUAAGCUAGUCAAAGGCAAAAGAUUUUCUUUUGACGGGCAGAGUCAAAAGAUUUCACUUAUAUCAUAAAAGAAAUACUCAUAAAAGAAAGUAUGACGGUACAAAUAGGAAGGACAGGCAGAAAGACUUAUAAAAGAAUACAAAGGACAGUAAGAUAAAGUUCUCCACUCGUCAUUAGCCCCACAUACGGCCAUACAUGACAUCUUCGUAUAUCGGUGCGGUCGGUAAGAACUAGGAAGUUUCAAGCGACCAUUUCUAUUAAUGUUCAAGCACAAACGGGAAAAACAAAACAAAAAAAGGCCUUCUUUCCUCCCCCAACAGCAGAACGCCCAACUACUUGUUCCCCUUGGCCAUGAGCUUCAGAAGUUCAGUCAAAACCGAGGGGCAGCUUGCCUCGAGAUGCUUGUACCCUCCAGUUGCAGCGACAGCGUGGAGAUUCUCAGGGGUAGCCACGAUGAACUUCAUGCACCUAGAUUUGAGCUCCGAGCAUCCGUGCUGCUCCGCCAAAGCCAACGUGGUUGCAACCGUACCCACGCUGAUGCCCGUGCACACCUUCUCCACAUAGAUCCUCUUGAGCCUCUCCAGUCCAUACCGAUCUGCGGCUUCAAGAAGAUGCUGUGCCAUCAGUGUUGCCUGCUCCCCCUUCUGGUCCAGCUCGGGCACCGUGUCGGUGUAGACGAAAUACAGCAAGGUCCUGAACACCUCCACCUCCAUGUCAUUGAUCUCGACGCACGUCGACGCCUUCUCCUUCAUGUCCCCGAAGAGCUGGGCCAUGAAAACCGGCGACCUCGCCGCGAGCACGGACCUGUGUGCGGCGACGGACUCACCAGCGAUGAUGAACGUGACGUCCGCCCCCUUCUGGCUCCGCAACAGCUCUCCAAGUUGCUGGUGCAGGUCGGAGGAUGGAACGCUGGCCACGGCGUCGGACGCCGCCGCCGCAUCCUUAGCUUCGAGGACGGUGAGUGCACACUGCACAAAUAUGCAGUCGUCUUUCAGCUUUCGACAUCGUGGGCUCGCCAGGUCACUCCAUCUGAUGAGAAGGACAUCCAGGGAUCUGUUUUCGUAGAACAUGGAUGACCUGAUGUUUUCCUCCGGAGAAUCUCUCGGUGGGCUCGGAUCCACAAGGCGGCAGCAGAACGACGCCGCCACCCCGCCCGAUCCUUUGCUGAUCAGCCGAACACGGAACAUGAUCCAGUCAUUGCUGCCGUAAAGGCUCGGAUCCGAGGCUUUUGGAUGGAAUUCGAUUCGCCAGUCGAGUCCACCGACGGCGCACACCAUCGACGCGGUGUACCCUGGUUUCUCCUUGGUCGCCGUGAAGCCGCUGAUCUUGAACAGCUGCACGGAGCGCACGGCCCCCGUGAGAUUGACGGAGGCGGGAGUCAUGACGGUGGACAGGGGGCUGUGGAUCGCCGCGGUCAAUCGCGUGGGAAGCAGAGACGUCGCGCCGCGGCGGCGGCGGCGGCGGUUUCUACGGAGUACGGAAUGGGUUCCUUCAGGUUCAGGAAAUUGUACGUGCACCACUUAUGCACGUUCAGAUCGGAAUGGGUUCCUUCAGGUUCAGUAGAGAAAGGGAAAGUGAGGGAUGGACCUGACAUGUGGGCCCCACCUGUUAGGCCCACAUCGACGCCCAGUCAGCAUGCCACGCUUGCAGUUUAACACGGGUUAAGGAGAUUUGGACUUCGUGUGAACCGAUUAACAAGUUUAGGGAGUCAGACGUGCAUUUUCAGAGUUUAGGGAUCUGGAUGACACUCUCUACUAAGUUUAUGUACCGCCGGUAAAGUUUACUCUAUUGGUAGCAAAAAAAACCUUGAAAUUGGAACCACAUGUAAAUCAGGAGUAUGUAGAUAAAAUUUUUUUUAUUAGUACUUUAGACUAAAUAGUAAAUAUAUAUUUAAAUCACUUUAUUUUUAUCUUCAAACUAGAUAUUCAACCUGGAUCUCGAAGCCAGAGCUAUGCCAAACAGGCUCUAAAACGGUGUUAUAUUUUGUUGCGAAUACAAUUUCUUAAUGCAGUUUAAUUUACAUGUAUAUCUACACACAAUUAUUUAAAACGUUGUGCCAAUAAUAUGGAAGAAAAUAAACACAACAAGAGGGUAAAGGAACUUGAUCAUCUGCUUCUACUAUCAUGCUAGCUAUAUAAAACAUUGUGCCAUCAUAUUGUGCUGUACCACAUACCAUGCUCGAGGUAUGGCCCCAAAUUUUACCUGCAAUGUCAUGCUUUGGGCCAUGCCACGGACAGCCUAGAAACGGCACGGCGAAGUCCUAGGUUUGGGACUUUGGGAUUAUAUCAAUUCAAAGCUGAGGACUCUACUACCUGGAACUCAAUACGAAUGCUCAAUUCAAAGCUGAGGACUCUACUACCUGGAACUCAAUACGAAUGCAAAGAUUGACAUAGAUGGGUAUUCGGUAUCGAUCGCUAAAAUUGAGACCGAGGAAAGAAAAUUAAGUUUUUGAAUAAAAAAAGUUAAGCACCUAGGCAGCUCAGCCAUUGUAGAUUUGUGAUUGUGCCAAAGUAACAGUUAAAUCCAGAAUCUAUGGUAACAUGUGAACAGCAUAACUAUCAGAAUUAUGGAACAUUUGAUCUGUAUAUGAAAAAUGUUACUAGAUAGUGACAUGGACUGUGACCGGUUUGGCUUCAGGCCAGUGUUAGUGUAGUGUUUCAUCACACUGUUACCAAGAGUGCUAUACCAUCUUUUCAGUGAAAUGAAACUGUCACUCUCAGUGCACAGUUUCAUUGCAUAGUUUUAUAUAUAGCCCAGAUCAUUUAACUCUUGCAUUGUGUUAUGAUCAAAUGUGUCAUGCCAUGAAACCAUACCAUGCUCAGUGCUAGUUUCAUCGGGAUUUCAUGAGAUUUGGUAACUGUGCCAAUUGGGUUUCAUGGGAUGGAACUGCCCUCUCCUCUCUCCUCGUAAUUAACCUGCCAAGUCAUCAGUUUUGCUGAUGUGGCAUGAGAUUUGAUAUCCAUGAAACCCAAAUGACACUCCCAUUACGACUGGCCUCCUGAGCCACACUCUUUAUCAAGCUUGUCUUCGAGAUUAAUAUGUUUUCUUUUUCUUUCUGCUGAUUCAUAAAUUAAGGCGGCGUAGAAUUGCCUGGGGAUGAUCGAAAAGCAAUCUCUCACGCGAGUGUUGUAUGUUAAUAAGUUAUGAGACAGCCUAUACAGACAAGUCAUUGUAAUUGUCUUAACAUUAAGAUUUUAGUUUCAACACAAACGAACUAACUAGUUUCAUAUAUGUCGAAUCGAAAUAUUAAGAAGAUACCAACAACGAUUCUAAACGUGAUGACAGUAGGUAAAGUAUAAAUAGACAGUAUACUUUGUGAUUGGAGUACUCACUUCAGUCACGAAUAACAGGGUUUAUUUCUUAUGAAAUUAAUUCUAAAAAAAAUGACAAAUCCACUCAUAUCACUUCGAAGCAUUCAAACUGAACAAGUAAAAAGUACUUUGUGGUCAAAGUUUAGAAUGGUCGAUUUUCCCAAAACGUUAUUUAUACUAUUUGUGAAGAAAAACAAAUGAAAAAGGUCGAGAUUCUGCGCUCAACAACCGAAUGGCCAACUACUUGUGCCCCUCGACCUUAGUUCAGUCAAAACGGAGGGGUAGCUUGCCUCGAGAUGCUUGAACCCUUCCGUUGCAGAAACCGCACAGAUAUUGUCCAAGGCGAACUUCAUGCAUCUGGCCUUCAACUUGGAGCAUCCAUGCUGCUCUGCUAACGCCAACGUCGUUGCGACAGUGUCCACGUUAAUGGUUGUGCAGACCUUCUCCACACAUAUCCUCUUGAGCCUGUUCAACCCAUACCGAUCUGCAGCUUCAAGAAGAUGCUGCGCCAUCGCCGUCGCCUGCUCCCCGUUCAGCAGGUCCAGCUCGGGCACGGUGUCGGUGUAGACGAAACGGAGCAUGGCCCGGAACACUUCCACCUCCAUGUCCUUGAUCUCGACGCACCGCGGCGCCUUCUCCCUCAUGUCUCCGAAUAGCUCGGCCAUGAAAACGGGCGACCUCGCGGCGAGCAGGGACCUGUGUGCCGCGACAGGCUUACCGGCGACGAAGAACGUGAUGUCCGCCCCCUUCUGGCUCCGCAGCAGCUCACCAAAUUGCCGGUGCAGGUCGGAGGAUGGAACGCUGGGCUUGGCAUCAGCCGCUGCCCCCGCCGGCGCCGGAUCCUUUGGUUUGCAGGGCAGGACGUUGAUUGCACAUUGCACAAGUAUGGAGUCAUCUUUCACAUAUCGACGUUGCGAUCCCUGGACGUCACUCCAUUUGAUGAGAAAGACAUCCCUGGAAUGGUUUUCAUGGAACACGGAGGACGUGAUCUCCUCCAGAUCCAAAUAGUAACUGCCCGGUGAGCUCGGAUCCAUGAGGCGGCAGCUGAAGGACGCCGCCACCCCGCUCGCUCCUUUGCUGACCAAUCGAAGGCGGAACAUGAUCCAGUCAUUGCUGGAGUAAUGGUGGAUCGGGUGCGGCAUCUUCGGAUGGAAUUCGAUUCGCCAGUCAUGUCCUCCGACGGCGCAAACCCUCGACGCGGUGUACCCUGGUUUCUCCUUGGUCGCCGUGAAGCCGCCGAUCUUGAACAGCUGCACGGAGCGCGCGGCCUCCGUGAGGUCCACGGAGUCGGGAAGCAUGGCUGUGGAGAGGGGGCGGAGCACCGCGGAUCGUGAGAGAAACCAAGAACGGCGCGGCGGCGGCGGCGGCGGCUUCUACGAAAUGGGUUCCUCGGGCUCCAGAAAAUAUGCACGUACGGAUGAAAGGGCCCAUGUGUCUUUUAGUAUGAACUCUGGCCCAUGCUCAUAGCCCAGUAGUUCACGCCGGCCCUUUCAGCCUUUGCAAUCUCGAUCGUCCCUUCGCCUCCUCUCUCUAGUUCGGCAGCUAGACCUCAGCAAAACAGGCGCUCAGCUGCUCGGCGCUCCCCAUUCCCCUCCCCGUCAGGCCGUCACUCUCUAACCCUAACGGGAAACGGCGACGCUGCGGCGGAAAGGGGAGGCAGGCGGCGGCGACAUUGGCAAGGGUGUAGGCUAGCAGCCGGGCAAGCGGGCGGUGGCGCGCCGGCGCCCAGGCGCCAGGCGAGGAGCCGGGAAGGCGCGCGGCGCGGCCCUGUGGUCUGCACCGUGCCGGAGCCGUCGAGUGGGCCUGCCGCCUCUGUGCGGAAUCAAUUUUGGUCUUGUGGCUUGUGGGGUCACUUGUUGUAGGUAGCCAUGCUUAGAAGUUGUUCCAUCUUCCAUUCCCGACUCAGAUCCAAACGCAGGUUCCCUCGCCCUGUCGCCCAGAGCUUCUUGGCGAUGCAAAUCAGUUUGCAUAAAUCAGUUAAUAGAUUGGAGAGAAAGGGGAUUUCAAUGUAAGUUGUCCGCUCAAAGAAAGGAAAGACCAGUGAAUAGAUUGGAGAGAAAUACUAGAAGUGGUUAACUAGCUUUUGUGUGAAUUUUUGUGUAUGAAGAAUCUAGCAACUGAUGGAACUUGAACUUUUGAAAUAGCUUGUGGGAAAUAAUGUAGAGGUUAAUAAGGUGGUUUACAAAAAUGCUCAGAAAAUUACAUUUUGAUUCCCCUCUCAUACAAAAGGAAAUUACACAUAAUGGUGAUGACUUCCAUGGCUAUGAGAAUGUGUAAAGUGAAGAAUCUAUUGUAAUAUUGUGAUCUUCUAUUUUAUGCAAGGGACGUAUAUCAUAUUUGAACUAUUUAUAUUGUAGCUUUUGCAAAUUUCGGAAUAGUUUAUUAAAAUUACGAUAUUAGGAGACCUUUUAAAUAUAGUCUAGUGUUUUUUUUGGUAAAUCUGGUACUCGUACAUUGAAUUUGUGGUCUUAAGAAAUUUUGAAUUGCAUAGGUAGCGCAAAAAUCCUAGCUUCAUGACAGAUCUGAUCCUGCAUAAAUCCUGCAGGAACCCCGUCAUAGCAACAACUUGUCGCGUGCUCCGCCUCCGCUCAUCCACCACGCCUGCCUGCGUGAACCUCACAGAUACCUCACGCUCCGUGCAGCUGCUCAAGAUCAACGGCUUCACUGCAACAAAGAAGGCACCAAGGGUAUGUGCCGUCGGUGGGCACGACUGCCAAGUUGGGUUUCGUCCAAACAGCAAAAAAAACCCACCAAAGUAGUAGCGAUGCUGAUUGGAUCGGAUCAUGUUCCGUGUUAGUUUGAUCAGUGAAGGGCGGGGCAUCGAUCAGCUGCUGCCUGGUGGAUCAAAACAGCGCACAUCAAAGCACUUGGAAGGAGAAGCGGAAGUCCUCCAUGUUCUCUAAAAAUGGUUUCGUGGGUAUCUUUCUCGUGGAACAGGAUGAGCUGGAUGAAUCACGAUAUCUGAAAGACGAGUGCAUUAUUGUGCAAUUACAGUCCUGCUCGGUGAAAGAAAGGAUGCAGCGGCAGCUAAUGCCGCAGCCAGUGUUCCAUCGUCCGACCUGCACAACCAAUUUGGUGAGCUGCUGCGGAUCAGCCAGAAGGUGUGUGCUUGCAGCAAGGUCGACAGUUUUCAUGGCCGAGCUCUUUGGGGACAUGAAGGACAACUCCUCGGCGUGCAUUGAGGUCAAGGACAUGGAGGUGGAGGUAUUCAGGGCCAUGCUCUAUUUCAUCUACACGGACACGGUUCCUGAGCUGGAGGACGAGAAAAUCAUGUAUUAGUCAUCUACUCUGUCUGCCGUUGAGACUCCAAGGGGAGGACGGGAGGUCGAAGAUGAACAGUACUCGUGGUGACUGCUGAGGAAGAGCGAGCUCUGACCUUUCAUAUCGUCAGACCAUGAAUGAUUUUAGCACCUGACGUUUUUGUUUCGAGUCUUCUAGCAUUAGUCAACUCUGACUCUUCAAUCAUUCUGGAAAAAAUCAUCUCAAUUACAGGAUGCAGAGUACAGGGCCACGUCAAAAUGUCCAUUUCCACGUAUCAUAUUACAGAAGCCUCUUCUCUUGUUGUUUACGGAGUAUGCUAUAAAGAAAUAAUAAAGAAAUUGGAAAGAAGAAAAAGAAGCAACCCCUUUUUCAUCCAAUCAAUCUGGGCCGUCCAUGUGCCUCCCAGCCCUUAGGCCACCACGUGUUUCUUGUCCGCCAGGUGGCCACCACGUGUCAAUCCGCGUGUACAAAGUACAAACCCACGGCGCCGCACGCAUGAACCCUCGUGCGCUGGCCAUCCCAAGACCGUUACGACCACUGACUACGGGAACCCGCUUGUCCAAAGGCUGACACCUGGGCCCACUCGGCGGCGAAGCCUCUUCCCCACCGCUAUAAAGAAAGUUUAGCACCUUCCCGUGCCUUCCUCGUAUCCAAAGCUCUGCUUCGGUUCUUCUUCUUCCCACCUCGCACCCAACCGAAUCACCCCCCCAACAAUCCGAUAAGCUUUUUCCUGGUAUGUCUCUCCUUCCUCCCGAUCACUAUAAUUCAGUUGAUGCCUGAUAUCGCGCGGCAAUCGUUUCCGUGACAUGUGUGGAAUCGGAUUUGGCGCAGGGUUUAGGGAAGAAUGGCGAUCAAGAGGAGCGUGGGCACCCUGUCGGAGGCGGAUCUGAAGGGGAAGAAGGUGUUCCUCCGCGCCGACCUCAACGUGCCGCUGGACGACAACCAGAAGAUCACCGACGACAACCGCAUCCGGGCGUCCGUGCCCACCAUCAAGUUCUUGAUGGAGAAGGGCGCCAAGGUCAUCCUGGCCAGCCAUCUGGUGAGCAGCGGUUUUUCUUUAAUUUCGGUAUCCUGAAGGUUGCUUUUGUCGGAUUUGUGUUCGAGUUUGUGAGAUUCGAUGCUACGUUUAGGCGAUUGGGUAUUUGGGUGUGCUAGAGCAUCGGAUAUAGUUCUGUGCAAGAUUUUACUACUCUAUUUAUUUGCUUGUAGUGAACUGUAUUUAUGUGUCAAAUCUAUCAUCACUCGUCAGUGAAAAGGUGAUUACUUGAAAUUUAUAUGUCAGUUGGGUUGCGGUUACAGUCAGAGUGAUGAGUUCACUAAAAAUAAAAGGGGAAACUUGAACUGAUAGUGGUGCAUGGUGUAAGACUGCAUCUUUUUAAAUUGGAUAUGCCCCUUUGAUUAAUCAUACAUUCGUCUUAAUAAAUUGUUUAGUAAUUGUUAACUAAUAAAAAUUCAAAGCCAUCUCUGUAACAUUCUGCUCGUGGUCUUUAGUUUGAUUAGUGUCAGCUAUAAAACCUUCAAAAAUGAAAGUUUUCAUUAUAAACUAAAAAGUAUAGCUGAUAAAAAUUCUUUAUGCUCUGGACAAUUCUUUGUUCCUCCAUGUUGGUUUUUAAGCUUUAACUAAUCAGUUAUCUCUAUUUCUAAUCACUGAUCCAAUGUUAUUUUUUCAGGGACGUCCAAAAGGUGUCACUCCCAAGUACAGCUUGAAGCCUCUUGUCCCGCGCUUGUCUGAACUCCUUGGAGUUAAUGUAUGUCUUAUGAAAAGAUAAAUCCAUGUUUAUUUUUAUACAAAGUAUGAAAAAUUGGAACGAUAACCCAUCUUAUAUUCCCUUUAUUUGCUUAUAAACAUUGAUAAAGGUUGUUAUGGCCAAUGACUGCAUCGGUGAGGAAGUUCAUAAGUUGGCUGCUUCUUUACCAGAUGGAGGUGUUCUGCUUUUAGAAAAUGUUAGGUUCUACAAGGAGGAAGAGAAGAAUGACCCUGAGUUUGCCAAGAAGCUGGCAUCUGUUGCUGAUCUCUAUGUAAACGAUGCCUUUGGUACGGCACACAGAGCCCAUGCUUCAACAGAGGGAGUUACCAAGUUUUUGAAGCCUGCUGUUGCUGGCUUCCUCAUGCAGAAGGUAUUUGCUAAAGUUAAAUUAGUCCAUUUCUUGUUUCUCUUAAUCUCAGUAUACUCCAUUAAAGAAUCAGUACUCUUUUCCUUUUUCAAGUUCCAAGCUCCUGACUGAGAAUCGAUGUCUUGUAAUCUGCAAUUUAUUGUUUCUUGAAAGGUUUUGCCAAUAUAGUUUUCAGCUUUUAACUAAGAACUCUCACAUUCUAGGAACUUGACUAUCUUGUUGGCGCUGUUGCCAACCCGAAGAAGCCGUUUGCUGCAAUUGUUGGUGGAUCAAAGGUGUCAACGAAGAUUGGGGUGAUUGAGUCUCUUUUGGGGAAGGUUGACAUCCUCAUCCUUGGUGGUGGUAUGAUCUUCACAUUUUACAAGGCUCAGGGAUACGCUGUAGGAAAAUCCCUUGUUGAGGAAGACAAGCUUGAACUGGCAACCUCACUUAUUGAAAAGGCAAAGUCAAAAGGCGUCUCUCUCUUGCUUCCCACUGAUGUUGUAGUGGCUGACAAGUUUGACGCAAAUGCUGAGAGCAAGGUAUGCUCCUUAAAAUAUGUAUGUUGAUGUGUAGAAUUUCACCUGAAUUGUCCUAUGUAGCAAUUGAAGUACUGAACUAAUGCUGCAUAGACAUGAUCCUUGAGUUAGAAUGAUUGUCUGUCAAGUUGCAUGUUAGGUGCAAAAAUUAGCAACACAAUCAUGUACACUGUUUAAAGUAGUAAAGAGUUCUCCAGACGUUCGAUACUAAUGUUGACACCUGACAUCAUCUGCAGAUUGUUCCUGCAUCUUCCAUCCCUGAUGGUUGGAUGGGCCUAGAUAUUGGCCCUGACUCCAUCAAGACUUUCAGCCAGACGUUGGACACCACCAAGACUGUCAUCUGGAAUGGUCCUAUGGGAGUUUUUGAGUUUGAGAAGUUUGCUGCUGGCACUGACGUGAGUAAAUUACCUUUCAUAUGUAGUUAUCUGUCUCAUAAUUCUUGUUUCGUUUUAGCUAAAUGUAUUGCUUGCGCAGGCGAUUGCCAUGAAGUUGGCUGAACUCACUGCCAAAGGCGUGACAACCAUCAUUGGAGGUGGCGACUCCGUUGCUGCCGUCGAGAAGGCCGGGUUGGCGAACAAGAUGAGCCACAUUUCUACCGGCGGUGGUGCGAGUCUGGAGCUGUUGGAAGGCAAGACCCUCCCAGGUGUCCUUGCUCUUGACGACGCUUAGGCUGGUACUGCGGUAGUGUAAAUGCAAGUCCUCGUCUGCCAUCCAGGACUUCAUAGGCUUCUCUCUUGAGUUUUUGCUAUAGAUGAGCGGUGAAUAAAUUUGCCUUGCGUGGACAAGAGAGUUAUGCAGGGAACAAACGUAAAUGCUAUGGAUGUGCUCUAUUUUGCCGUAUGCUGAAGCCCUUUGCGCAUUUGUUUUAAAAUUCCCCUGCGGUGAUUGCUGCUGGUUUGGACUCCGGAUACCAGCCAUGCAUGUUAUUUCAGCCUUGCAGUUCAGUGCUUAUACAGAUCUAUUGGCGACAUCGCCGACAUGCUAUUGUUCCGGGAGACACAGAUCCUUUUCUUGAAGGAAUUCGCUCGCCAAAAUGCAGUUGGACCUGACACAGGCAAUCAAAUCGAAGUGGCUUAUCUGAUAUUCCUCUUUCACCAAACCAUAUCAAGCGCUUUGGUUAGAUUGACCACUUGUUGACCUGUGGUGGUCACCCUUGAAUUGACCUGUGGUGGUCACCCUUGAAUUGGAUGAUGAGUGAUUGCCAAUUCAAGUGAUUACCAACGUUGUGUGGUUGUUGACCUGUGGUGGUCAUCCUUGAAUUGGAUGAUGAGUUGGAUGAUGAGUGAUUGACAACGUUGUGUGGUUGUUGACAUGUGGCGGUCACCCUUGAAUUGGAUGAUGAGUGAUUGACAACGUUAUGUGGAAUGAUGUUGACCUAUGUGGUCACCCUUGGAUUGGAUGAUGAGUGAUGGACAACGUUGUGUGGAAUGAUAUUGCUCUUGGUUGUGAUGUUCAGGUGUAGGAUGCGACACGGUAGUCGAUGUGAUGUUCAGGUGUACGUGAUGUUCGAUGCGACAUGGCGGCUGACGGCGUGCGGAAGGUUAAGCGAAAAGUUUGUGCUGAUGGAUCAAGGGCGGUGAAGGGUGAACACGAGUAGACUUGGACUGAGGGACCCGAGGAGUUUAGGCGUAGUCAAUGGGCGAUCUACAUGGUGCACGGAGGAGCAAGAGAAUAUGAUAGGAUGGAAACGACGUCGGUCGAGUCAAACGGGACGGGCGUUAGGCUUGGCGGAGCCGGACACACGUCGACAUCGAGGAGGUCGUGUGGCGGCCAAGUGAAGAUGGACGAUUUGGGUGGUUUGGGCCUCAAAACCACCGUGUAGGCAAGUUUCCCACUUUGGACCUCAAAAUCGGGGUGAGUUCGGUGCGGCCAGAGCUUCGAGAAGGAGGGCACGUGGUGCCAUCGCAAAGCUGGCAUCGAGGCGAAGUGAGUCGUGAAGGCGGCGUGUCCGUCCGAUACAUCUAAAAAAUAUGGAUCAAAAUGUCCUUGUGUGGACGGUUAUCUUAGUUGUAGGGGUAUUUUCGUCAUCAGUCGUGGACUGUAUAUAUCUAUGUUGGUUGUUUGAGGGUGUGCUUGGAACCCUAAUUUUAUUUUGUUAGAGGCUGUGAUGUUGAAUCCUGAUCUUUCGAUGAGCAGGAGGGGAUAACUCGAUUGGUGGAUGGAGACGACAUUUACGGCUCGACUACAGCCUUCCAAGGUCGCUGCGCCUUAGCAAUUGAUACACCACCUCCAAUGACUACCUCGAUCUUUGUAAAGGGUGAUACCCCGGCCAUAGGGCACUCGUCUUGCAAGCAAUCGAAGAACUAGUAAGAUGUAAAUGAAGGUUUCAAAAUCAAUCUCCAAUAUGGUGAGGUUCCGAAGAUAAGAAGACGGACGGUUGAUCCAGCACGCGUGCUUACAAGCAAAUAGCAAAAGUUAAACUUAAUCUAAACAAAUCCGAGUGUUCCUGGUGGUGGCUAAGGAGUAUAAAAAUAUGGGAGGAUGACCACAAGGGUGUUGGGGUCGUGCUCCAACCCUAAUGGACCCAACUUGAUACACGGCCUAUUGGACCAAAAUAAGGCGAUGCAACACCUUGGAAAAAAACCUUUCGGUAGUAAUUUGAUCAUUGCAGCCGCCUCAAAAUAGAUAUGGAUAUGAGUCUAGAUCCAUAUGAAAAUAGACUUCAUAAGAAUUCCAUGAAGUAAUUGAACGCCCCAAUCCGAGCCCGUAUGCGACCGUGGUGACCACCACAAGUUGAUGUUGUUCUGUAGUCUGAAUUCAGCCUGCGCGAAUCCUUUUCCCUUUCGGUUUUCUCCAUGAUUUCUAAGCAAAACAAGAGUGCACGUAUCUCCAUGGUCUAAAUAUGAUGGACAUGAACUCAAGAGUGUACUCACCUGAUGGUUGAGUUGACGAGCACGAGCACGAGUAACGGGACUAGAAAUUCGUUCUUGUGUCGGCGUAGAUGUAUUGUUGGUGUUGAUAUCCUCAUCAUCCUCCUUUCUUGCAUUUGAAUAACCCUCAAUGCAAGCUCAGCUUGCUCUCCCAAAUACAGUUUUAAAUCUGCAAUAUUAAAGGUGGGACUAACCUCAAAGUCUGCAGAUAGAUCUAGCCUAUAUGCGUUGUCAUUAACUUUAUCUAGCCCUUUAAAUGGUUCGUUAACUCAAGGCAACAAUUUAGAUUUUCGCAAUUCAGGAAACCUUUCCUUUAUAAAAUGCAACCAAACUAAAUUUUCAGAUUUGAACUUUAGUUCCUUUCUACCUUUAUCACCAGCAAAUUUAUAUUUAGCAUUCAUACGCUCUAUAUUUUCUUAGUUGUUUCGUACAGUUUUAACGUCAAUUCAGCACGCUUAGUAGCAUCAAAAUUUAGUUUUUCAGAAGAUGGCAAAGGCAUUAAAUCAAUAAGAGCAUGAGGCAACAAAGUAUAAGCAAUCUGAAAUGGGCACAUCUUUGUAGUAGAAUGCAGCGAACGAUUAUAAGCAAAUUCAAUAUGAGGCAAACAAUGUUCCCACUUCUUAAUGUUCUUCUUUAAAACAGCUCUUAACAUAGUAGACAAGGUUCUAUUCACAACGUUAGUUUGACCAUCAGUUUGGGGAUGACAUGUAGUAGAAAAUAAAAGCUUAGUCCCCAAUUUUCAAAAAUGACUAAGAAAUUUAGCAUCAUAAUCAUAAACAAUUGCGUUGGCACACAUGCAAACGAAUAAUUUCUUGAAAGAACAAAUCAGCAAUAUGAGUGGUAUCAUCAGUUUUAUGACAUGGUAUGAAAUGUGCCAUCUUAGAAAAUCUAUCAACAACCACAAACACACUAUCACGUCCACUCCUAGUCCUUGGCAAUCCCAACACAAAAUUCAUAGAAAUAUCUUCCAGAGCACUAGGAAUAGGUAAAGGCAAAUACAAACCGUGUGGAUUUAACCGUGACUUAGCCUUUUGACAUGUCGUGCAAUGAGCAACAAAUCUUUCCACAUCUCUUCUCAUAUUUGGCCAAAAGAAAUGACCAACAAGUAUGUCCUCCGUUUUCUUUGUUCCAAAAUACCCCAUCAUGCGACCUCCAUGCGCUUCCUACAACAACAACACACGAACAGAGCUUGGAAUGCAUAGCUUGUUAGCUCUAAACACAAACCCAUCAUUAACGAUGAAUUUGUUCCAUUCUUUCCUAUCUUUACAAUGCAGCAACACAUCUUUAAAAUCAGCCUCAUAAACAUAUUGGUUUUUAAUUAUUUCUAAUCUAAAGAUUUUGUAAUCAAGUUGAUUUAGUAAGGUAUAUCUCCUAGACAAAGCAUUAUCAAUGAUAUUCUCUUUCCCUUUCUUGUGCUUGAUAACAUAAGGAAAAGAUUCAAUAAAUUCAACCCACUUGGCAUGUCUACGGUUCAAUUUUCCUUGACUACGAAUAUUCUUCAAAUAUUCAUGAUCAGAAUGGAUAACAAACUCUUUGGGCCACAAGUAAUGCUGCCAUGUUUCUAAUGUGCGAACAAGAGCAUACAAUUCCUUAUCAUAACUAGAAUAAUUCAGAACAGACCCGCUUAAUUUUUCACUAAAAUAUGCAAUAGGUUUGCCUUCUUGUAACAAAAUACCACCCAAUCCAAUUCUAGUAGCACCACAUUAAAGCUCAAAAGUCUUAUUAAAAUUAGGAAGUUGGAGGAGGGGUGCAUGUGUCAACUUAUCUUUCAGCAUGUUGAAAGAGUUGUCUUAUACUUUGCCCCCAACUAAAAGGCACUCACUUCUUUGUAAGCUCAUUCAAAGGUGCAACAAUGAUGCUGACGUCCUUCACAAAAUGGCGAUAUAAACCAGCAAGUCCUAAAAAACUCCGCACAUGUGUGAUAGUCUUUGGUACAAGCCAUCCCUGUAUAGCUUCUACCUUAGCUUGAUCAACCUCAAUUCCUUGUGGAGUCACAACAUAGCCAAGAAAAGACACUCGAUCGGUGAAAAAGUGCACUUCUCAAGGUUACCAAAUAAACGUGCAUCUCGUAAAGCAUUAAAAACAGCACGUAAGUGAUCAAGAUGUUCAUCCAUAGAUUUGUUGUAAAUCAAUAUAUCAUCAAAGUAGACUACAACAAAUCUUCCAAUGAAAGCACGCAAAACCACGUUCAUUAAUCUCGUGAAAGUGCUAGGUGCAUUAGUUAACCCAAAAGGUAUGACUAACCACUCAUAUAAACCGAACUAGUUUUUCAUUCAUCUCCCAAUUUCAUACGGAUUUGGUGGUACCCACUACGCAAAUCAACCUUGGGAAACACAACAACCCCACUCAAUUCAUCAAGCAUAUCAUCUAAACGUGGAAUAGGGUGUCGAUAUCGAAUGAUGAUAUAAUUAAUAGCUCUACAAUCAACACUCAUACGCCAUGUUCCGUCUUUCUUAAGCACUAAAAUAACUAGAAUAAUACAAGGACUAAGAGACUCACGUACAUAACCUUUGUCGAGUAGUUCUUGCACUUGUCGCUGAAUUUCUUUUGUUUCCUCCGGAUUUGUUUUGUAUGGCGCACAGUUUGGCAAAGAUGCACCAGGAAUAAGAUCAAUUUGGUACUCAAUCCCUUGUAUUAGUGGCAGUCCUGCUGGUAUCUCACUUGGAAAAAUUUCUGCAAAACGUUAGCAAUAGUAGGGGCAAGAAUGUUGCAUACCGUAAAAAUUGAAAUCAAACCAUCCUUGCAUACCAAAGCAUAGGCAACAGAACUGGAAGCAACCAAUUCAUUAAUAUCAGAUUUAGUAGCAAGCAAGCAAUGUCAUUUCAAUCUUAUCUCAUCUUUCUUACUACCAAUAGAUUUGGUAUUUUAAUUGCUCUCAGUUUUGGCUUUUGUAGCUUUAGCAACAUCACCACGCACAAUAGCUUCAGGAGACACAAGAAGCAAAAAAAUUUCUUAUCAUGGUGUAUGAGGGAAAACUGAUUUGAUCUACCAUGAUGCAUACAAUCUGUAUCAAAUUGCCAUGGUCUACCUAACAGAAUAUUACAAGCUUCCAUAAGCACAACGUCACAUUCAACAACAACAUGAUACGAGCCAAUAGCAAUAUUAACUUGUACCAGCUUGGUUACCUUUACCUUACCACUGUUGUUCAGCCAUCGAAUAUGAUAUGGAUGUGAGUGCGGUUUGGUUGUAAGUGCAAGCUUCUCCACCGUAUCGCUGCUAGCCAAGUUGUUGCAGCUACCUCCAUUAAUGAUCAAAUGGUACGAACGCUCUUUAAUGACACACUUUGUUUGAAACAGUGUAUGCCGCUGAUUCUGCUCCACCUUCUCCAUUUGUGCACUAAGCACACGCUGCACAAUGAGGCUCUCAUAAUAUUCUGCAUCCUCUGCACCAAUCUGCAAUACUGGUUGUUCCUCACUACCUGCAUGGUCAGCAGCAAGCAAAGCAAGUGUAUCUUCAUCAAAAUCACUAGUAGAGGAAUACCCACCAUCCUCUUUGACUACCAAAGCACACUUGCUUGGACAGUCACGUUGCACGUGUCCAUAGCCCUUGCAACGAUGGCACUGAACAUCUCUUAUUCUACCCGUGGAUGCAAUUGAAGAGGUGCUAGUGGCUGGUUUCUAGACAGACUUGGUUGCUAAAUUUGUGGGAGAACCACAUGGUUUGUCGUUGGAGGGAGGCGGUGGUGCUGGUUGACUCAGCGGGGGAGUGGGUGGAGGUGCACGUCUAGUCAGGGAAGUAGUCAUGCGUGGCUGCCAUGAUGUAGAUUUUCCUGCAUAAAUAUUAGACUUUGCGUUAGCACGUCAUCCCUGCACUUCCCUUUUAGCUUUACCAGCAAGAUGAAACAAACAAGUUACGUUAUUAUAAUCUUUAUAAGUAAGGAUGUCAUAAAUUUCUCUAUUUAACCUACCCAAAAAUCUGGCCAUAGCAGGUUCAUCACCCUCCUCUAAAUUACAACGUAACAUACCCAUUUGUAAUUCCUGAUAAUACUCCUCUACACUUUUAGUACCCUGUCUCAAUUGUUGCAACUUAUUUAACAGAUCACGUGCAUAGUAAGAAGGAACAAAUCUAGCCCGCAUGACCCGUUUCAAAGCAUCCCAAUUUUGCGGCAUGUUAUUAGGAUUUUUCUUGCCAUGUGCUAUCUACCAAACAGAAGCAAAAUCAAUGAACUCACUAGUAGCAGCCCUAACAUGUGUAUUCUCAAGAAAUUCAUGACAUGCAAACUUUUGAUCAACAGCAAUCCCCCAAGUAAUGUACGCAUCAGGAUCAUAUUUACCAUCAAAAUGAGUUAUCUUAAAUUUUAUCUUACUGAAAGCAUCAUCAUUAUUAUGUACCUCAUGUCGCCGAUAGCCACCCAUACCUCUAUGAUUAAUAUGUAGCCGUCGGCGAUCAUGAGCGUCCUGAUCAUCUUGUUCAGUAUUAGCAACAUAGUCAUCACAAUUUUCCUCAACGCGCUCAUCCUUCUUGUUAUCUUGAUCACGCCCAUCAAUGGUUUUAGCAUGCAUCUCAUCCAAAUGCCCCAAAAGCGCAGCAAGACACUUGUCAAUACGAGCAACCGAUGCUUCCACCCCUUCAAGCUUGGUGUUGGUGUCGAUCUGUGUGGCCUCCAAUUGCCCAAUCUUGUCAUUCGUCACCUGCGAGUCAUUAUCAAGUCCUUCUGUGUGCCCCUUCACUAGCUUUUCAAAAUAUUGUAUGAUGCCCUUGGUGCGGGGAGAACGUGGCAUAUUCUCACCAUCCUCUAAUCCUGUCAUGGUUAGAUGAACAAAGGCAACAAAAAAAUAGGUGAAGAAAUAAAAACCCUACAACUAUUAGGAUGUAGCUACUGCAAGACGCUCACUCUCAACCUGGUACACAAGCUCUUACCAAUUCUUACCUUACUCAACAGGAGAGAACGGCAACCAACAAGUCUCCAACCAUGGAAUGAAGUGUAUUGGUGCCGUAACAACAAGACCUGUCAAGCAUAGUCGAAUAUGUGGAGUUAUAGGUGGGCUAAAGCAAGGAAGUACUAGCACCAUGUUAGUCACAAAAGCAAGCUGAGUAAAGGUUCAACGGUGGUACUGUGCUGGUCCUAGGCUAAAACAUGCUAGAGACGUGAGCCUAGGCACAAAGAUAGUCAUAUAAAAGAGCAACUAGCACAGCACGAAGAAAACAACAGAUUCACAGAUUUAGCCCCUUCUUUCUUCUCCUUCUCCUAUCUUUUUUUUUUGCUUUGUUUUUCUUCUUUUUCUUUCUUUGUUUUUUUUUGCGGGGGUCUAAAUCUUUUAUGUGGUACUAUGACAACCCAAACAAUAAGGCUAUUGCACACAGCCCCUUCGAAUUCAGAUUUAACAACUCUUGUUAAUACAGCAGAUGCGGAAAUCUCUAGAAAGAUUGUGGAGCGCUCGGAAUGAAUUUUGCAGCAAGGUUAGAUCCAUUGGAAAGAAGAUAACUUCAACUUUCUGGAUUGUAUUUAAACUUCAAAAUCGGACAUCAUAUGGAUCCGUGGUGGCAAAAAUGCAGCAAAUAUGUAUAUGGUGAUAGUGGAUCUCGUGGUGACCAAAAUGUGAUAGAACUCAAAACUCUAAAGGAAUGACACUAAGACUAGCAGUUCGACACAACUGAUGCAACCGAAGACUCAAUAAGCCCUAACUAAGCAGCACUAGUAAAAGGCUCAAAGGGUCUUUAGGAUUAAGGGAAACUAAUCUACAAAUUUUUUUGAGCUUUUUUCUGGACUAUAGGAAAUUAAAAACAACGAAGGAUUGGAAAUCUCUCACCUAUCAACCUUGCUCUGAUUAUCAACUGAUCUUUUGAUGAGAGGGGAGGGAUAACUCAAUUGGUGGAUGGAGACGAUGUUCACAGCUCGACUACAGCCUUCCAAGGAUGCUGCGCCUUAGCAACUGAUACACCACCUCCAAUGGCUGUCGCGAUCUUGUGGAGCGCGACACCCCGGCCACCAGGGCACUCGUUCUGCAAGCAAUCGAAGAACUAGCAAGAACAAAUAGAACAAGUACUAAAUUGCUAGAUGUAAAUGAAAGUUUCAAACUCAAUCUCCAAUAUGGUAGGGUUCCGAAGAUAAGAAGACGGGCGGCUGAUCCAGCACGCGCGCUUACAAGCAAAUAGCAUAAGCUAAACUUAAUAUAAACAAAACUCGAGUGUUCCUGGUGGCGGCUACGGGGUAUAAGAAUGUGGGAGGAUGACCACAAGGGUGUUGGGGUCGUGCUCCAACCCUAGGACGCGUCCCUAAUGGACCUAACUUGAUACACGGUCCAUUGGGCCAAAAUAAGGUGGCGCAGCACCUUGGACAAAAAAACCUCUCGGUAGUAAUUUGAUUAUUGCGGCCGUAUAAGAAUAGAUAUGGACGUGAGUCUAGAUCCAUUUGAAAAUAGACUUCAUAGGAUUCCAUGGAGUAAUUGAAUGCCCCCAUCCGAGUCCGUAUGCGACCGUGGUGACCAUCAGAAGUUGGUGUUAUUCUGCAGUCCGAAUGCAGCCUGCGUGAAUCCUUUUCCCUUUCGGUCUUCUCCAUGAUUCCUAAGCAAAACAAAAGUGCACGUGUCUCCAUGGUGUAAAUAUGAUGGACAUGAACUCAAGAGUGUACUCACCUGAUGGUUGAGCUGACGAGCACGAGUGCGAGUAACGGGACCAAAAAUUGUUACUUGUGUUGGCGUAGAUGUAUCAUUGGUGUUGAAGUCCUCGUGAGGCUAGCCAAGUGCUUAAGAGAGGAGAAAAGGAAGAUGACAGUGUGAGCACCUCUUUCUCUUGAUUUCUUCAUCGUAGGGUGAGGAUGAAGGUGGAGGCUAGACCUCUUGUUGUAUAGAUGUUAUCCUCGUGACUUAGUUGAAUCGUCUCUCAAAUCGUGGCUAAAUCUCGUGUUCUUGAGGUUUCUCCCAUUUUUCUUUUUUUGGGUUUUCGUGGGUUUUUUCGUUCUUCGCGUUUGAGUCUAAAUCUCGCAAGAUUUGUUGGAGAAAGUUAUUGCUAGGACCCUUGUGAACAUCUUUGAUGUGAUCCCCUCUCAAAUUUUUGAUGAAUUUAGCUUGGAUUUAAUGUUUUCCCCUAAAACCGUGUUCUUGGCAGGGUUUCGGAUUUUCUCCAAAAUCCGCGAUGGAUACUUUAGCUUUUCAAGAUCUUCUUCCUAGAUCUAUUAGCCCUUGAGGGGUUUCAUCCACGGCUCAAGUUUCAUCUCAAAUUGUUUGAAGUCUCGUGUGUUUCUUCUGUUCUUGGCUUGUUUCCCUCUCUGUUUGUGCGCAGGAAAAGAGGCGAGCGUCGGGGAGCAGCCGGCCACCUUGUGCUGCGCACGCGAGCCGCACGUGCGCCAGGCACAGCAGGCCGCGGUGGGCAGCCAGCCCAGCGGCAGCGAGCAGAGCAGGCCAGCCCAGCUCGGUGGGUUGCUUGCGGCCCAGGCGGACGGCGCCACCAGGCCGGGCGAGCAGGCCUCCAACAGCACGGCCCAGUGCGCGCACCAGGCCACCAGGCCGGCAUCCAGACAGGUCCAACUAAAGGUCGCUUUUUGUCUACAGUAUUCAAUGAUUUGAGUAUUUACUAGCUCUCGCAUGCAUGGCUGAUAGUACUUCUUUAAUCCAUAUAGUUGCUAGUUAAUCACAGUUAUGGUGUUGAGCUACUUAAUCAUAAUCAGUAGUAUCUCGUGCUAAUCAUGUCUAGUAUUUAAUUAUUUUGAGCAUGUUUAGUUAAUAAGGGGGUGUUUGGGAGGAGGGGGUUAAACUUUAGUCCUGUCACAUCAGAUGUUCGGAUACUAAUUAGGAGGACUAAAUAUAAGCUAAUUACAAAACUAAUUGCAGAACCCCUAGGCUAAAUCGCGAGACGAAACUAUUAAGCCUAAUUAAUCCAUCAUUAGCGAAUGGUUACUGUAGCACCACGUUGUCAAAUUAUGGACUAAUUAGGCUUAAUAGAUUCGUCUCGCGAUUUAGCCUAGGGGUUGUGUAAUUAGUUUUGUAAUUAGUCUAGGUUUAAUACUUCUAAUUAGUAUCCAAACAUUCGAUGUGACGGGGGCUAAAAUUUAGCCCCCUCCUCCCCAACACCCCCCUAAGUGGUUAGUAGUGGUUUAGCUUGGUUUUUCCUCUUGUGCAAGCUUUUCGGCAUCUUGUCUUGCUUUGCUUCCGUUAUACUUUGAGUGUUUCUAAUCGUUCCUAAGGUGAGCUUGUCACAAGUUGACUUGUGUCCUCUUGGCGAUUAGGAGUGAGUUGUGUUUGGGGUGGCAAUCGGGAUAUAGACUUUGUCCUGAGAGAGAAUUUUAAAGACUCCCAUUCACCCUCCUCUGGUCGCCCACUCCGGUCCUUCACUUGUUCACCCUCCUCUGAUCGCCCACUCCGGUCCUUCACUUGUUCACCCUCUUGCAUUUGGUAUGACUAGCGGAUGUUUAUACCCAUGCUUCAACACAUGUUGCUACAUGUUCACCCUCUUGCAUUUGGUAAGACUAGCGGAAAUGAUGACUUGUGCUCCCCUUUCAAGCUCCAACGUGGAAUGAACUUUUGUUUGCAAGGACUUAGCCCAAGGCUUCAUUGUCUUGCCAAUAUGAUUUGCUUGUUUGACUGCAUAAACGUUGAUGAAAUGUAAUCUCAAUUGUGUGAGAAAUCUAAUUAAUUUGAAUUCCCUGUCCACCAUCAUAUUCUGUUAAUGUUUCUUUUUUUAAAAAAAAAUAACGGCAGGUUUGAUUUCUCUUGUAGUGUUUAAUUCGACCUUUUAAAGAAACAUCGAUACUGGAUUAUGCAGUCCAUUCUUUUGCAUUGCCUCUGGUAUUUUGAACGCCUGGUAUUCAGUUUACAUGAACCAUGAGAAUGUUUUAAAGAUUAGACAAAACAUGGUUUGGACCAAAUUUAUGAUCAUAACAGAGGCAACAAUAAUUGAUAUCACAUAUAUAUAUCUUCAAGUUCAACAAAUGUGUACGGUUCUUUCCUUGUAUUUCUGACCGUUGCUGUAUAAUGUAGGCCGAAUCAGAAUCCUUCAGGAUUAUUGUUCACAUGAACAUAUGCUUCUUCUCUGAAGAUUGAAAUUGUACAUCCUUGGUGAUCAGAAUGCCAGGAUGACAAUGCCAUGUCUCUCUUCCACUAGUUUGAAUCGGGAUCUUGAAAUUCCCAGGAUAUUUGCUCACAUCCACACAUGCUUCAUCUCUGAAAAUACAAAUUGCUCACACUUAUAGUUCUCUCUUCCAAAAAUCAGAACCUGUUCCGUUGUGUCCAGUAGCAGGGAAGGACUGGCCGUCAGUUUGGGUACUCGUCGCUUCCCUGCCAACCAUUCACUGAAGAAAUCGAUGCGCCAUUUCCGGUGAGAACCAUCUGAAGCUGUGCUGCUGCUCACAUUUGAAGAAAAAUGAGUUGCGUUUUGCAGGCACGCUUCCAGGAAGAACGGAACCGGCGGCCCGAACGCGGCGACGCUCUGGCGAGCGGCGGCUGGACGCACAGGUGUGUCUCUUUUCCUCCCAGGGGAGCGGAAUAUAGACUAUGAGCAGAGAACCGCCGCCACGUUUGGGGCCUUUAUUGGAUGUAGGCUCGCCUGGGCGGUCGCCGGCGGCGGCGCGGGCUCGCCGGCUGGCUUGCGGACGGGCCAGACAAUUUGCAGGAGGCCCCCUUGGAACUUUUCAAAACACCCUCCAGUUUGGAACCCUUGGUUUGGAAUCGCGAUCCGAUUAUGUGCAUAGCAACUUCAAGAGACUGCUAAUCUUACCCCCAAUACCUUUUUUUAGGAAAAAAGAGAGAAAAAAUGAACUCCAACAAUCCACCUAAACCUUCCCCAAUUUUUUAGCGACGCUAAAAAACAGCCUGCCACCGCGUAUAUUUUAGCGUUGGUGUUCCUCCCCCAAUCCUGAUUCUCGCACGCCCGCGCGUCCCUUCCGAUGGGCCCAAUACGAUGACGUGGCCCGUGUUUGAAAUAUUGGGGGCUAUUUAUUAGCAAUCUGCUGUGGAGUGAUAUGUUUUUGGGGGAAAUUUUUUUAGGAGAACCCCCAAUAUAUAGUUUUGGGGAAGAAUUUUUUAGGAUACUCUUGGAGUUGCUCUCCCCCCUGUUUCGGGCCCGGUACCACCCUGGUCAGAACCGCCUCUUCCUCCCGCCCGUCCGGUGCCGCGCGCCCGCCGCCGCCCUCUCCGCCGGAAUCAUAAAGCUCCAUCCUCGCCCUCUUCCAAUCCUACAUGCCUUUUCUCCGAUUCCUACAGAAAGCGACGAGCCGGCCGGCAUUGGAGGACUCUUCCAUGGCCUCUGGAUGUUUCCAGUACGGUUUACUUUUUGUCGCCACCGGCGGCGAUCCGGGACCUGCGCCUCCUCAUCUUGCCGGCAUGUGAACAGCGCAAUUCCGGCAGAAUUAUUGGACAUCUCAUUUACACCUUCACCGCUGACUGGGGUAAUCACGCUUCGUUCACAUGUCUUUGCGUUUGCGUUUAAUUCAAUCAUGCAUUGUUAUGCAGUGAACACUGAAAACAAACCGACUGAAAUGCAAGCCCAACUCAGAAUCUGUUAACGCCUGGAAUAUCUGUUGCUACUACUCAAGAACAAAUGCUGUCUACAAGUUGCAUCUUGCCAUCUUCAGAGAAGCAGCGUGUGUGGAGAUAUUGAAAGACAUCUUGAAGAUUGCAUAGUUCUGACUACAGUCUACAGUGCUGGUAAGGAAUGCAAAGAAUAACUGUACAUAUUUUAAGAUUGCUACGAGACUCAGAUUUUUCAUCAAUGGGUAUUCACAAACGCAGGGAAAAAAUUGACAUAAAGACAUGUCUGCCAUCUCGGGUUAUUGUUACCUCUGCAAUAAUAAUUUUGGUCAGGUCUGCAGUUUGGCGAUCCUUUUGAAGUUUUCGUUGUUCAGUCCUUCUCUUGUGCACCGAAGGGGAAAGACUCCGACAGCAGUAGACACUUUAAGAUUACAAUUGAUCUUAAUUUCUCUUGCUGACGACACAUUUCAUCCUGAUAUCUUACAGUAGCAACUCAUAUGAGGGUUAGUGUAUCUCAAAAAUUCUGAAGAUGAACCAGAAGAUGGGGUUACUGCAGUCCUAUCAACUUUUGGCCAGUCCUAUCUACUUUUAAAUUUCCAUAUUUAUUGGGCCCUCAACUUUUGCUCUAGUUUUGACCCUGUCAUUCAUAAUCCGCUAGCUGUUCCCAGCUCAGGAGCCAAAUUAAAGUGGAAUUCACAGCUGGAGGUGUCAAAAUUAAACAAUAUUGGAGUUCGGGGUUACAAUUAGACAGCUGCAUGAGUUGAGGGCAAAAAUGGACUUAUUGCUAUAGGUUUUUACCAUCUUUUAAUAAUGUAACUAUCAGUUAGCAAACUGAAGUAUCAAUUGCUCGCAUCUUGUGCGGUACGCAUGGGUAUUACAGUUGUCUUUCUUCAUAACAAUUUGUGUAUGCACAUUACUUAUUUGGAGAAAAGCUAACUAUUCAUAUAUGAUUAUCCAUGCUCACUACUUUAUUCAGAGAUCUGUCGAUGUUUACCACCUUUCUCCUUGAACCUAAAUGUUUCAACUACAAAAUUAACUUGUUUAUGGGCAAGAUACUAAACUACGUGGUUAUGUUGUUUCCAUAUCAGCCAUCGAAAAAUACAUCCCACAACUAGCUUCAAGUGGUCUGAGUUGAAGGGCGCUACAAAUACCUUCUCAGAUGGCCACAUCAUUGGCCAAGGUGGCUCUUUCAUUAUCAACAAGGUAUUUCAUAUAUAUGAUUUGGUUUGUAACUUUGUUCAGGAUAAUUUAUAGAGUGAUAAAAAAUACCAUGUUUUGAAGCAUAUUGUUACUUUUCUUUAAAAAAGCAUAUUGUUACUUUGGGUCAUGUUUAAUUUUUUUCAGCUUGCAAUUGAUAUAGUUCGAGAAUAGCCAUGGACCUACAUGUAAGCCACACAGAUAGCUUGAGUGUGCCACAGGGUUGCCACAAAGAGAGUAACUAACAUGGUGGGGGUUCUCGACCAUUGACGUCAAUUAGUAGAAGCAGGUUUUGAGUGACAAGCAAUGUCUGUCGAGAGUAGAGCAUUCAAUAUAAAAUUUGAAUUUAUUCUACUGAUGACAUUAGCCCUAUUUAAAAUGUACCUAUUAUGGCAAAAUUUGAUAGAAGUUUAAUAAUCAAUUGAACAAAAAGAUUCAUGGUGCAAACAAAAUGAACAUAAGUGGUGCAUGCUUUUUGUUCCCUUUUUCUUGUAGUUUUGAUCAUACUAAAAAUAUGAAAGCAAUAGGCUUUGUUUGAUAGGCAGAGAGCCGAAGAAGUAUGCAUCAUAAAGUUUAUCAGCUUACUCUGAUACCUGUCUGAAAAAGCAACAACUAAUGCUAAUCUAAUGUCAAUAUACUUAAAGAUAGCUAGAUCAAAGACAAACUGUAUGAGGAAACAGGAACAUACCAGCAUCCUACUCCAAUGCAUAAUGCUCAACCAGCAUAAACCGGUGAAAAAACUUACCAGGCAGCCUCCACGAGAUGCUUUGCUAGUUGCGAGGGAGUGAAGCUACAACAUGAUCUGGUGAAGCUUCUCCAGCCACUUUAGAGGCCGGCGUUUGAGCAACCAGAUCAUGCUGGCAGCUUCAACCUCUCACACCAGCAAAAGUGUUCUUCCCCACCCUGAUUCCAGGUGCCCAAACGAGGAGGAGAACAAGGAAAAGAGGAGAGCCAGCAGAGAAAGAUUUGGCGUGUGCGAGGGCGAAAGGGGACGGCGAGGGCGAGACGAAGCCAGAGCUCGACUGCGCGAGCCCAUGCACGGAGGUUGUUGAGCUGAGCGCUCUGGAUGUCCAUCCGCAUGGUCCCUCGGCGCGCCCACCACUCCUCGUGACGCUGCCGUUUUGCCCCCGAGCGCUGUCGUCCUCGCUGCAACCCUGCACGUAUUCGUAUGCGUCUCUGUAGCGUAGCCUGUCCUGAAUCCGUAGCCAGACGUGUCCUGCCAUGGCCGUUUCGGCACCAUCUGCUACUGUGACCUCUCAUUGCAACUAACCAUCGAUCUGUUCUGAUUGCAACGUCUCCUCUUCUAAGGAACUCGAUCUUUCAACGAUUCUGUGUCCUCUCGCUUCCAGACGAUGAGAGACGAGCGUGUUCUGGGUGAAGGUUAGCAUCAUGCAGCAUUCCCAAUUGCUGGUAGAGGACAUGGAAUGGGCAGGGAAGGCGCACCUUGACACCGGAAAUGAGCUGUGCUUGACCUGAAGAUUUGGUUUUUAGUACGCAAUGAUUCCAUUAGAGUGAUGAUGAUGGCCUAACCACCUGAUAACACUUUUGUUUUGCUUAUUGUAAGCGCUGUCAAGAGUUAUGACCCGUCACUGUUCUUGCCGGGAUCGAAGUUCUUGUAUUUCCUAUCAAUCAUUAUCUCAUCAAACUUACCCGCGAAGUUUAUCACUGUGAGGUUUGUGAAUCGCAUAACGGUUUUCUAGCAUAGUAAAAUCUUGGGAUCAGUUACCAGGAACCAUCGCCUAUGCAUCUUGUAAAAUGUCACCAGACUGCAGUUAAAUCUGAUGCUCUGAACGUGCAUAUAUGUCCUUCAGUUUAUAGCACUUCGUUUGGAUUUUGGAUCCAGUUCCUUUUAUCUGAACUCCAAGACAGAAGAAUGAACAAUCUUGUUCCACACUUAGGGUAUAGAGCUCCAUCUGAUUUUGAUUUUCUAUGAGAGCUGAUUAUCUGAGAGAAGUGAUUCUAUGGUUGAAAGUGAUUCUCUUUCAUUCUCCAGCACAAACUCUUAAAAUCAGGAUGAAGAAUCACUUCACAGAAUCAGGAGAAGCUACUUUUUCCAGCUCCUAGCCUCUUAGUUCAUUUCAGUGAAUCACUUCAUAGAAUCAGCAGAAAAUCACUUCUAUCUGAAAAACUGUUUGACAAAGCUACUGCUGGAAUUAGCAAAGAAUCAACUCUGGGAGCCUUAUCAAACGGACCCUUAGCUAGCUUAAACAAUCUUGAGCAAACUGCGUCCUAUGCUUGACUAUAGAAAUAUGCGCAACUGGGAACAAUUGCCAGGAUGAUCCUAAACCAGUUUAAUGUUCUCGCAGAAUCUGCUGCUAAAGUUCAGUAACCACAGAGAUGAGUGCUCAAAGGGGAUCUUCACAGGGGCAGAUAGUAGUACAUCGCUCGUUCUCUUUUUGGAACAACAGUCAGACAACCGGUAAAUUCAGAAAGAGGGAUACAAAAUAAAGCAAUAUGUCCCGCCCUCUGUAAUUUAACCAGCGGGCCACUUCAUCUGCCUUCCACCGAGUACAUGCAAGUGCAAAUGAUAGACAGAUUGACCUGUGGAUAGAUAAAUGAUACAUCAUUAGCAAAAAAUGGAAAUAUUUGGAUAGAAGAAACAAACUGAAUUACAUGGGACAAAGGUUGCACAUGAGGUCCUUACAUCCUUCAGGCCCAUUGUUUAUGACAACACGGUACCCAUUUGCCAAACCUUCCUUCUCUGCUACUACUUUCACUGCGCAAAGAAGCUGGCCCAGAAUUUCAACAUGCCUUGGUUCAGCCUAAGAACAGGGGAUACUGCCAUCAAAUUCAUGAUGCAAUGUUUUACAGAUUAAACCCCCCUUUUGUUUCACAAGAUUACAUACCUUGCUUAGUCCAGUUAGUCCAUCUCUAACUUUUGGGAUGACUAGAACGUGCACAGGGGCUUGUGGAUUAAUAUCUCUAAAUGCUAAGACUUUGUCGUCUUCAUAGACAAUGCUUGAAGGAAUCUCCUUUGCAAUGAUCUUGUCAAAACUGAGAAAAGUAAACAAAGUGAAUAUUCAGUGCCACAAAACAGAAUAUUAUAAUAGAGUGAGCAAGAAUAUGAUAUUUACAUGGUUGGUCCUUCAGUAUCAGCAGUGGCAGCUGCUGCUUUGGCAGCAGCUUCCUCAUUCGUUGAUGAAGCAAUGUGGCGCACAAAUCUAGAGUAGCAGGAAGAAAUAUAUCAGAAUUCAACAUUGAGCUAAAAUUGAUAGUUCUGUGAAAUAAUCGGUAGAAAUUCAUAUGAUUAGGGACUGAAGCUUUACCGAUUCCCAGACAUGGCAGGACCUGGUUGAAUUUUUUAACUGAAUAAAUUUGCACACACACAUUUGUAUGACCAAUAUAACAAACUGGGAUUCCACAAUGACCAUUUUGUGGAAGUCUAUCUGGAACUGGUAAGACAGUUUAUGAGCCCUUCCCCACUACUGACUACCAGCUGACAGAAAUCAAGAAUAACCGCAGAAGACUAAACCACUUGAGGUAUUUGUGGUGUAUCCCAGAAUGAAUCUCAACUCAAACUUGUAGAUUUCUAGCUAACCUGGAUAUGAGCCUUUCCCCACUACUGACUACCAACUGCCAGGGAUGCAUUCAGAUAUUGCAUUUCGCCUUGCACAAAUUUUAGUCGACUCUUCAUUGCUUGCUACAUCUGAUUGUUUGAACGCAUAUAUGCCAAUGAUCACCUUGCACCGUCCAUGUCUAAGCAUGAGGGAGUGUCUCUAGACCCAAAUCAAGUGUUUAACUGACAUCCAAUGCUAAUAUUAAAACAACUCUAACCACGGUUAUCCUACAAAUUAUUCAGAACCAAGCGCAUCUUUCAUCAGCAACCGAGCAGUGAAAACAAAUUAUUAUGAAAUCAUUACGAAAUCCCAAUAGGAUGUUAUCAGCAAGCAGGUAAAUGCAGCAGACGGUAGGCCACGACCACCCAAAUCCAAAAGGAGCAUCUCGCAGAUACACAUAUCAAGCAGCCGAGCCUCGCAACACAAUCGGCCGUAACUGAUUCCAGAACAAAUUUACCACCUUUGGGGAGGCAGGCGGCGGGGGACCCGGAGACCGUGCGGCCGCAGCGAGGCAGAGCGCCUGUAACAGGAGUGAGGGAACGCGUUAGAUCGGACAGGAUUGGAUGCGAUAACUGCUCGAAAUUAUUGUUUGAGGUUCGAAUCGAAGAGAUUACCUGAUGAGAGAGGACGUCGCUGCCGUUAGCGUGGCUGCCGCCGCCCUCGUCGCCAUUGGAGGCGAAGCUGGGGAGUGGAGUGGUGGGGCGCCCGUGCGUGGGGAUGACGCUGCUCUCAGGCUCCGCGCGGACGGAGUGGGUUGUGCGGGCCUGCUGGGCUCUAGCGCUGAUGGAGCAUUGGGUUCAUGACAAAACGAGCCCAAACUACUUCGUGGUGACAAUUAGUUAGCCCAUUAAACUGAGCCCAAAAGCCCAAAUCACUUUGCAGCGCGCCGAUCAACAUCCAUGCUACUACUUCGACAUAUGGUGACCAUAUUGGUAUUCCAGAAAAUAGCCAAAAUCAUAGCCAACCAAGAAAGGUCAUAAGAAAAAAGGGCUAAAUAUAAACAAGGAUUUUGUGCUUGAGAGUCUGGUUGCCUUCAGGAGCUUGAGAGCUACAAGAAACUCAAUUCAAGCAAACUGAGAGCUACAAGCAAGGUAAGUUAGCGCAGAUGGAAAGAAAUGACCCAACAACGACCCAACAACGAGGACACGGUUCCAGUACAGUUGCAGUAUGUAAAGAACGUGGCUCCAUUAUGCCAUAGUUUGUAAUUUUGAUGAUUGGGUGAUAACAUAGUCAUUGCGAUUAAUGUUUUGCCUAGCAUGAAUCUUGUAAGUUUUCUAGGUCCGAAGUAUGCAAACCAAACCAUGUCAAGGUUCAAAUCAUGGUAUUCAAGUGAUCCAAAUGAUAGUACUUUUCCGUAUCCAAAUGGUGGUAUUGAAGUGACCUAAGUCAUGGUAUCUUAGGAUUAUUCUAUGGUAUUCAAGUGUCCAAAUUCAAGUGUCCAAGUGACGGUAUUUUCAGUGUGCAAGUGGCGGUAUUCAACUCAGAAAAAUUAGUAGCACCGAAUGAUCCGAUGGUGCAUUGGAGAAAUUGGUACAACUGGAAAAUCAACUUGAGUUGCAUCAAGCACCGGAUGAUCCGACAGUGUAUUUUUAGAAGCAUCGAAUGAAUUAUGAAGCGAAGGCAUGGAAGACUGAAGCACCGGAUGAUCCGACGUCUAUGUGAGGUGAUCGUCGGACGAAGCAUAUUUUCUUUUCCAAGUUUCAGAGAGAUUUUGGCUAGAAAUCCUUCAGCACUGGAUAUCCCGAUGGUGCAUCGGAUGAAGCGUCAGACAAAGCAUCGGAGUGAUUUCAUCAGGGGGUCCAACGGCUACUUGCGGCAGUAGGGGGCACCGGAUGUUCCGAUGGCUACCAAAAGAGAACAUCGAAACAUCCGAUGGUAUACUUUAACGGGACGUUGGAGUAAUGGCUCUUUGAGGUCUUGGGGCUAUUUAUACCCCCACCACUCACCCAUUUGAAGUUGCUGGAGUGUGUAGGAAUCCAUUGGAGUGCAAGACACAUCAAAAACACAUUCAAGCCACCAAAAGUGUAUAAGUGAUUAAUCAAAGGCUUAGUACAUGCUUAGAGAAUGAUUAGUGCUAGAAUAAACAUAGAGAGAGUGAAUGCAAGGUGCUGCUACCUUGUGAUUGGUUCAAGGAGUGAACCACCAUUGUAAGCUAAGUGUGCUGACGCCUUGGAGCCUUGGUGGCUCGUCGGCUAGUCUUCGACCCUCCGGCUUGGUGUGGAGCAGUGGCGACAACCGUGUGCGGGGAACGAGGAGACUCCUUCCUUCGUGGAGAAACUCCGUAGUGGAUACGACGUCAAGAUGACCAGAAGAGAGGGAGUGGUGAGCCGCCUUAGUGGCAAGCUUCUCAUCCAACUUGGUGAGAGACUUUGUGGCGAGUCCAAGACCUUGACCGAGAGAGACUUGGUGACCAGGAGCAUAUCCUUGAUGGAGCUCCAACGUGGACUAGGGGUGGCAUUUGCCUACCAAUACCACAGGAUAAAUCGUCGUGCCGAGUUUGCAUCCUUUCUAACCCACUCCUUUAUGUUUCCGCAUGUCAUACUUGCAACUUGAGUGCCUUUACAUUCUAGAAUAGUAUUGCACUACUAGAAAAAUGACCUUUCAUCCAUUCUCUUAGUACCGGUCAUGGUCCAAAUUUGGGAUCCCCCGGAGGGACACUUUUAGGACUGGGUGGUGUUAGGACCUGGUACUAAAGGCCCUCCAUGGAUUACUUCAAAAGGAAAGCAAAUCUACCUCCAUCACAUGCGCUUAAGAUCGUGGGUUCGAAUCCCACGGACCGCGCACGACGCGAGACUUUAUUUUUUGGUGCAAAACAAGUUAGUGCCAACCGGUACUAAAUGGAUCCCUUUAGCAAUACCAGUUGUACAACCGAUACUAAAGGGAAGUUUGGAACCGGUACUGAAAGCAUAAUCCCCGGUAGUGUUGAUAGGAUUGACUCUAGGUUGCAAAACUUAUUUUGGAUGGAAAGUUUAUACUAGAUCAACCAUAGAUGCAUAUCUAGAUAGCAUGCUCUAAUAUAUGUUUUGAUACUAAUAGUGGAAGCCAUAGGUUAGGAAUUUUAAGUUUGCCCAAAUAGACCGCAACUUAAGCAAUCCCGGGAGCAGAGACACGAUCAUUACACAAUGGCCAGGUGUGUUGCGAAGUUACAGGAGUUAGACGUUCUAUCAGCACCAGAAUUGAUGACGACGGUCAACUAUCUCCAGAAAGAUAAAAUAAACCGGGAGAUAUUCAUGGCAUUUAAUGGCAAUCAUAAUUUUGUGGAGUUCUUCAGUUCUUUUCCUAUGUUAAAUUUUAGGUGAAAUUUGCUAUGAAAUAUUUCGGUUUGGUAUUUAAAACUCAUUUAUCACUUAUGCAUUAAGCCAUUCUUCAUAUUUAUAUUUUCAAGAAUACCACCUAAGCAAGUGAGCAUUUAGUUCAUGGAUGAAAUAGGUCCAACAAUGCAUUAUUUCAUCUUUUGUUGUUUUCAAGACUACAUGCAAGACACAAGUUAUGUUGUAAACAGUGUACACAUGGUUUCAUCCCCAUGAAACUGGUUUCCUCUCUCACUUCGUAAAUAUUGUGCCACGUCAUCAAAAUUAUCUACAUGACAGCUUAUUUAUUGCCCAUAAAAUCCCCACUGAGAAUAGUCUUAUUAGCAUCUUGUUAGCGGACAAUUAUUUUGGUUAUUCAUUUAUCAGAAGUUAUUUGUUACUGGAUUGGUUGUUUCCUCGUAUAGCAUUUAUGUCUCAGAUGGUGCAUAUUCGGGGAGAAAGAUUACAUUAUGCCAAAUAAUUGAAACUACAAUUAUAUAGCCUUUAUUGUUCAAAAAAAAUACAAAUCAAGCACCAUUUCUUCUGUUUCGCUGUAGAUAAGCAUUGUAUAGUCUUUCCACAUGUCAUCAGAUAUUUGUCCGAGUACGCAAGAUAUAGAGCGGAUAGCCCUUCUCUACCGGUGGAUAUACAGGUGGAGCGGCGUGGAGUUGACCGCUGCAGUAAUGUGGGUGUCAAAUGGAAAGCCUGCCUACAAGCUGGCUGGAUUGUAAGUUGAUAUAUAGUACGCCAUUGGAUAUGUAUGUGUGUGUAUGCCAUUGGAAGCGAGUUCAUAAUUCCUUAAUCUCUAUAGGUUGAUCCAUGUUAGGAACGGGUCAGCCCAUUCUAUCGAGCGGCCCAAGUCACCAAAGCCCAGGCCAAGUAUCUUCGUUACAAAAGGAGCAGCAUAGCAGAAGGGGAGGCAUCGAGGAAAUUACCAGAACAAGUCUAUCUCAUGUUCUUCCUCAUCUCUACUACUCUUUCCUUCCCUGCAAUCUGAUCUUCUUCCUCCGGAUCUCCCUGAUGCAUUUCUAGUCCUCUUCGAUCCCCUUGCUUUUCUACCUAUCCCAAACUCUAUUUCCCUCAUACUUGUGUCAGCUACUAUUGUAUCAGAUUGCCUGUGUUGUUUGUAUUGGAUUAAGGGGGUUGCUAACAAUCCAUCCCGCUAUGGAGACACCAAGGCACACUUUUUUGUUUGCUGGACGGUAUAAAAUCAAAGCCACCGGUUUUUCGUUAUAUAGAUAUCCAUAUUUUCAUAAACAUUUUUUCCUUUUGUUUUGCGGGCUGAUGGAUACAAAUCAACUGGAUUUUUUAACCUGUAACGUAAUGGUUUUGUACCUGGUGCUCCUAUUACACCAAGAAAUACUUUAGAACCGGCAAAUGGCCAAUCUAAAUUAUCAUUCAAGGUAUUUAAGGUAAUGUCACCUAUAAAACCUUUUACUGUUUCAUGACCUCAUCUCCUUACUUUGUAAGUUUUCUCCCCUCGUAAUUAAUUGUUGGUAUGUAUUCUUAGCUCGAGCACAGCUAUUCUAUUUCAUUUCUAAACUAAGUUUUUCUUUAUAUGUAGAUUUACUCCUCUUAAUUAUUCUUCUUUUUGAGAAACUUCUCUGAACUAAUAUUUAAAAAAGGAUUGUAGAAUGAAUAUUAGAAUGGAAAAUAAGGACUAGGGAGGCACGGAGGAUAAGGAGAAAACAUGAUGAUAUGAGAAAAGAGGAGACAUGGUAGAAAAGAAAGUAAAUGUUAUACGGCUCGAAUUAAUGUUCUUAAAUUGUCCAACCAACUUGGCAAACUUCACAAGCUAAAAUUAUUACCAUAUAGAAAGGAUAUGUGCAUAUGGCCAAUGUAAUUUUCUUUGCAUCAACUCUCCAAAUGUGUCACUAAUACUUGCAGUUCCAAAUUUAUACAGUGUGAUGAACUAGUAGUCCUUAAGGUGUGGUGGGAUUGCUGUUUGCCUAAACAGCCGCUUUGACGAGUUACGCAGCGUGUAAACCCUACAUAUGGUGUCCAGUUGUGUUCACCUAAAUGACCAUUUAGGAUGAUCACGUGGCCUUUUAGUCCGACUAAUUAUCCGCUUUGUCCGACUAAUAAACUGUGUAUCUUAUGUAAGCACAUUUUUCCUGUGGGAGGGGUGGCCGGAAAAUUCAAUAUGCCACUUGCAAUUGACUUCCUGAAUAUUGACAAUAUUUCUCUUUGAGAAGCCCACUUAUAUAAUAAAUUAAGGUCUUUCCUCAAAAAAAAAUUAAGGUCUUUUCUCAAAAAAAAUUAAGGUAUUAAGCUUGGUCUCUGUUUUUUUAUUUGGAGCAAUACAUUCAUUAUAUUUCCAUUGGCAUCUUGGUAGUCGUUUCUAAAAAAGCUCUAUCUCCAAUUGCAAAAAAAAGGCAACAAAGCAAAUGGGGCGUUUUUAUUUUCAAAAGCGGUCAUCUAAGAUCGAUGGUAAAAAGUUAAUUUCCCACUUUAGCUGUAGAUACUGAGCCUGCUUGGUUGGUGGCCUCCGCUCGCCACGCCACAGGCUGUGGCGCCAAAAUAGACCGCCACAGACUGUGGCGUGGCCAGCGAAGGCUGGCAACCAAUCACGCCCACUGUAACAGGGCCUCACGCCAUGAUGACGAGGCGACGAGGUGGACAUUGUAACAUUCCAUCUUUUUAGAGCAUUUAAAAAUACAUAUUUUUUUUAAAAUUUUUCUUUAAACUAAACCUACUCUCUCUUCCCAAAUAUUCAAAACUCUUUUUACAAAUAAACCUUGCGUGAAUAUGAGCAUAUAUGUUGCAUUUGAUUGCUCUAGAAACAUUCCUCCUGAUAAAACUCUUCCUAGAUUAAUAUUUGAAUUUAAACUCAUCCAAACCCUACACUAAAUUCUUUCUAAAUAUUAUCCAAAUAUAACAUUCAAAUGUCCAAUCUAAUCCUUUCAUCAUCAAACCCAAAAAUUCCCUCCAAAAACUCCCUCCAAAAACCUUCAUCUCAAUUCUAUCCCAAACUCACACCUCAUCUUGACUCCUAUCUGAAAUUUCUUCCAAACUUUAAACUCAAAUUCCAUUUCAAACAAAUAGGAAAAUCCUUCAAAACCGUCGCGGGCCAACAACCUCCUUUUUGGCCCAAUCCUUCUUUCGACCCGGUCUACCACCCACCUUUCCUCCCUUUUUCCGCUGCAGCCCAGCCCGACCACCAGGCCCAUAUGGCCUCCUCAACGCAUCGGCCCAGCUCCUCUCCGGCCCACUGCACGCCUGCGGUCCAGACCUGCUCCCCUUCCCCCACGUCAGCAUCGCUCCGCUGAUGCCAGCGCCUCCGCUAGCCUCCCUCCGCGCCGCCGUGCGCCGCCGCGCGCCGCCACAUCAUUUCAACCAUGCCGCCGCCAGUGCACCCCCUCUCGCUCACCUGACAAGCCCCAACGCCACCCGAGCCAGCGGCGGUGCGCAUGGCGCACAUGGUGGCGCCGCCCGACGCCGGUGCCACCCCACCCUGCCAUCACCCCCCGUCCACCCUCCGUCCCGCUCUCUCUCUCCCUACCAUGUGGGCCCAAGGCCAACGCCACCACUAAUGCCGUCCACCUUCCCCUCCAAUGCCCGCGUGCACUCGGCUCACGUGCUUCACUCACCCCUAGCACCCCUGGUCCACCGGAACAUGAACCCAGUCCACAAAACAGUACGACGCACCCCCACCUACCUGCGUUAGCCCCUUUUUAAUUGCUAGGCACACCCAGUGAGUGUACCCCAACUUCUACGUAGAUCCCUUCUUCUUCUCCAAAAAUUCCCCAAAAAUUACCAAAAAUACUACAAAAUAUUAUAAGCCUAUACAUGUAUUAUUUUCCCAUUGUUCAUCCCAUUCAAGCUCUUUUCCAAAAUAUCAUUCCCUCACAUAAUAGAAAAACCCUAUUAUGUGUACACCAAAUGUCGCUUUGCUAUACUAAGAUCUUAAAACCCCAACCAUUUUAGGAAAGAUGUCGCACCACCUCCACCGGUCGUGGUGCCCUAACCCAUAGGUGCCGGGUCGGGCCGAAGUCGAGUGUGCCGUGCGACCUGUAGCCACCUUACCCGCGUUGUUAACAGCACCCAGCCGGCUAUUCCUCGCUACCCUAUUGUCACCGUUAACCCCUAUCGCUGCCGCGCAUCCACCUAACCUUGUACCGGCCCCUCUAUCUCCAUGUGUACUAUCCCCUAGCAUCGGGACAAAGUGGUGCCCGUUGUACGAGCUCUCUGGUUUCGAUCCCACUUGAUCUUGCCCGACUGUGUUUGUCGCCAUGUGUGCUAUCCCAUAGUGCCGGGACAGACCAACUGUCGCACAAGCUUUCAAGUUCUACUCUUUAGGAUCAUUCCACAAUUCCCUAGUGACCCCAACCCCUUAAGGAUCUACUCAGAUCUCUGGCCCGUUCCGCCACAUAGCUGUUAUGCUGCUCAAACAGAACCUUAGAUGGCCUCCUAGCAUAACUGCUAUGCUACCCAACUAGAAAUCCAAUUCUCAUCCAAGCACAACUGUUAUGCUUCCCAAUUAAAACCCAAAUAUCCUCCCAACCUAAGCCUUUAUGCCACUUGCCCAAAACCCAAAUAUCCUCCCAACCUAAGCCAUUAUGCCAUCCGACCAAAACCUCAUAAAACCCCAGGAAAAUUAUUCAUUAUUUUCUAGAACUUUCUUUAAAACCCAACCAUCUAAUUCACUAAUUAUUUAGAAAUCUAAUUCUAAAUAAUUAAUGAAUUAUCCAUCGAGUAUCCGGGGAUUCACCUUUAACUACUAGGUAAUUCCUAGGGUGCUCUUCAUCCUUCUUCCUUUUCAUUCCUUAUGCAUUGAUUGAUGUAUUGUUAGAUUCAUUGUUAUUUUAUAUGCCUUUAUAGUUGGUAGACGAUCAGACUCCACCCCAAAGCUGAGGAUCCAAAAGGAUGUGAAGCCGAAGACCUGGUCACCCUAGGAAGCGUUAAAGAGCAUCAAUGAAGGCAAGUCCUAGCACCAACCUCCUUGAUCAUAUUUUAUUCUAUAUUUUUAGAAAUAAUAAAAUCUACUAAGAUAGUAACUUGAACUGCAUAUUCUGCAAGGUUAUAGCAGCAACCCACCUCUAUUCCCUCCUCGCCUUGACUUGAAGCCAUUUCUAGCCAGAAAUCCUAUUAAUGACCCCGGUCAUGACUAGAUCGAUGACCGACAGGCAUUUCGAAAUAGAAUUCUUUAGAAAUAUCACAAUUAUUAUGUUUUUAUAGAAAACCCUAGAAGGUGAGAGUUUAGUAAUAAAAUCAACCAACUAAAGAGUUAGAACCCAUUAAGGACAUGAUAAGAAAGUAAGGGGGCAGCCUCGGUAGAGGAUCCUGUCCCAAAAGAUUACUUCGGUCGCAUAAGGAUCAGCUCACGGGAAAGUCUUUCUAUUGAAACGUGCAACCAUACGUGCCAAAAUGUACAACUUUUGGGAGUGCCUGUUUAUGUGAGGUCUUAGUUCACACCCCGCUAGCUAAACCUAGAAAUCCAUCCCAAGGGGCCACAGUGGGCAACAAAGAUGCUGGAGCAGGACCUUCGCAUAGUCCUAGGUCUAGUCGGCACGGGUUGACUGAGAGGGUCGGAGACCCUUAGAGCAGAGGCCCUACUUACUAUGUGCACAUUUUCCCGAGUUGAUAUCCGCGUAGCGGAUGAUAGUCACCCCUGUUUAGACUCCAGCAUAUCCAUGGAUGGACCUAGGGAAUGCUGCCUAGAGAUAGGCACGGGCAGGUAUGAAUCUCGUAGGUCAGUACCGCCUUUCGAGCUAAUCGGAUGUAUGGGUAAAGUGUACACCUCUGCGCAGAGUCAUAAAUCUAUCUGGAUAGCUAAGGCUCACGAUUAUGAGCCCACAUAGUUAAAGCUCCCGUCGAUUAGCAAUCAUGACUUAGGGAUGGAGAGAAAGGGCCGAGGCCCUAUGAGACUAAUACUGGAAUAAGGUGUAAGCCGGCCCAAAAGGACCCUGAUGUCCUCUAGAGCUGUUUAAAACUUGGAAACUGCUAGGGGAGGUAAGACUCCCCCUCUAGGGCCACCAACACAAUAAAAGAUGCCUUCUUCCUCCUCUUUUUCCAAAAUUUCACCUCACCUUGCAUAAAAUAGGUUUAUUAUCAAGCCUCAUACCCUACCCUUGAUCUCCCUGGCAUUUAACAUAAUUUUAACACUAGGAUUUGCUGAGUACCAUUCAUAAGUGUACUCAGCCUUGCUUUCAUUGUGCAGGUAUACGCCUCCAGGUGUUUCAAACCAUCUUGUUAGUGGAUGGGCACCUGCACUUCUCUUCGCUGCGUUAAGGUGAAUUUGAGUUCUUAUUAAUUUAUACACCUUUUAUUGCUUAAAUACUGAAUUGUGAUGAUAAUUGUAUUAGCCUACUAAUCCAGGGACUAAUACAGGCGAUCAACAAGACUUUCAGAGUAAGGCCUCCACAGACACAACAUGACAGUGGCCGUGGAGCAGUCCUACUUGUACACUGCUCUUGGCAAUUUAAACCACCAAUCAAAAGCCAAAGGCCGCGGAGUCUAUCACAAGCCUCUGAUUUUCACAGGUUAACAUAGGUCCAACAAAGAAUCCACCUAGAAAUGCUACGAGUACAUACGAAGUUCUACCACUCUAUACGAGUACCAUUAAUAGACAAGAUCCAAGUUCUAUAAUAAAUAUAUAAAGAUAGUGUCUCCCUCAUGUCCUAUCCUACACCACAUGAUCAGACGACCUCCCUACCAGGGGUGGAUCUACAUGGGGGCUCAACCCCGCCAACCCUCACCCCCCUCCCUAAGAAGAAGAAGAGCAAGUCCCCCUAACUUUAAACCUUGGCUCUGCCACUCCUACACCUCAGACAGGCAGCUCUAGUGCCGUCUGUGAUCCAACCUGAUCUCCCCGUACAUACUCCUCCAUGCAAAUAUCGCACUCCUCAGCAGCCUCAACUUCAAGUCGUAACAAUUAUCUUGGCGAUUGAUUGUCCCCUCAUGUCUUGAGUAACCUGACGUUGUCUCUUCUCACGCCAGCUUACGAAUAGGCAUCUCUAGUUCUGGCCCAUCAUACUCUCAAAGCAAGACAAGUGACCUCCUUCACCCGACACCACUCUAGUUUUUUCCUACAUGGCACUAACAUGGAAGCAAUUUUAACAUGUGUAGGCUAACGUGGCAACAUUAAAAUAUUAAAACUAACAAAUUAUCUAUUAAAAAUGCUAGACCCUUUAUUCUACUCUGUUUUUUCUCCCACCCGAUGCCAUGGAUCCUUUCACCACGCUCACCUCCAACUCUGGCAUCUUUGCCUUCACCCGUGACCUCCCGUCCUCCCACUACCCCCUCUCCUAGGGGUGGAUCCAACGUGGGGGCUAGGGGGCAGGAGCCCCCCUACAAACACAUACUCGAAUUAUAGUGCAUGGAGGUCAAUAAGACUUUUCCCCCUAAAUAUAACCCAGAAGUUAACAAUAUAAUUAACAUUGGCUACUAGAUCAAAAGGUACUGAGAUGAACCCUCACCAGAGACUGCGCUGGCACAGCGGUGGGUGCGGACAUGUUGGCAGGCGUUGUCGCGGCGACGGUGACCUCGAGCGGACGGUCCAUCUUCUUGCGGUGAGGAUGGCUCUUGUCAGGGCCGGAUCGAGCUGUGGGGCGGCCGGGGCUUAAGCCCCUCCUACAGCUCUAGACGCAAUGGAGCCCUCCCCCCUUGAGCCCCUCCUACAAUUUUAGCCAUGGAUGAAGGAUAAGAAGAAGAAAAGAGGGUAAAGGAAGAAGAAAAGGAGGAAGGGAAUAAAGAGGGAGGAAGAUCGAGGAAGAUGGAGCCCUCCUAGCUCAUUGCGCUAGAUUCGUCACUAACUUUGGUCCUUCUUCUUGCGGCCGCCACAGCUGCAGACUGCGUGGUGGACUACUGGAGCUGCCACCACCACCAACAAUGCUGCCAAUGUCAUCGUUGUCGUCGUCCGUAUGCGGCCACAAUUUCAGCAUCAUGCUCGCCGCCAACUUCUCGUUCACGUUUAGGAGUUUAGGAGGUACGCGAACGACGGCGAUGGCGGCUGGAGCUGUUAGUGGAAUUGCUGGGCUUGCUGGUAGACAAUUUGGUGCUGAGCACUCAUUUGAGUAGGGUUGGCUGCAAAUGAUGUGGUUGCCCUGGUUCUAAACCAGCAGUGCAACGGCUAUGAUCUUUCCAACACUGCAAAAGAAGAUAAGAUUAAUUUACCGAACCUAUUUGGCAUAAUCUAAAUUCAUUAUUCAGCAUGUAAGUUUACAAAAAGUGACUUUAGAAAUGAGUAUUAACUGAUAUGAUAAAAAGAACGUGAUAUAUUCUUUCACUCUGAUACGCUCAACAAAUAUAACAAACAAGAAAAACUAUAUGUAUUACAGCUCAUUUAGUUUGUGAGAUCAUUUAAAAUGAUCAAUUAAGAGUAACUAAUUUGGUUAUGAACACAAGAUCAAUAGGGAAAAUCCUGCAUUUGUGCCUUCAUUUUGUUAUUUGGGAUACCUAGCAUGUUCAUUGAUACUAUUCUUGAACCAGUUGAGAGAAAAAGGUAGAAUGUCGCCAACAUAAAUGAGCUAACAUGGGUAACAUGGGUUGAUCGGCUAAAAAUUCAAAUUCCUAGCCUGUGGUUCAUCUUUUCCCUUACAUUUUCCAUUAUCCACCCACAGCGAUAGAUGGGCCUUACUAAGGGGGUGUUUGGAUACGAGAUGCUAAACUUUAACAGUGUCACAUCGGAUGUUCGGAUGCUAAUCAGAAGAACUAAACAUGAGCUAAUUAUAAAACUAAUUGCAGAACCAUGUGCUAAUUCGCGAGACGAAUCUAUUAAGCCUAAUUAAUCCAUCAUUAGCAAAUAGUUAUUGUAGCACCACAUUGUCAAAUCAUGGAUUAAUUAGACUUAAUAGAUUCGUCUCGUGAAUUACACUCCAUCCGUGCAAUUAGUUUUGUAAUUAACCUAUAUUUAAUACUCCUAAUUAGCAUCCAAACAUCCGAUGUGACGGGUGUUAAAGUUUAACAACCAAACAACCCCUAACAAUGGCAAGAUAGAUCGGCCUUAAUAACAAAGGGCAAUGGAAAGAUAAAUAGGUCUUCCUAAACUAAGCAAUUUGAAGUGUGAAGGUUUUGCUUCGGUAUAGAGCAACUUAUCAUUUCAUCUUUUUUUUCUUUCUUUUGCCAUUUUCUUAAAAGAACGUAGAAGUGCAUUCACGCAUAGUUAACGUAAUACUCCCACCGUUUCAAAUUGUAGGUCGUUUUGACUUUUCUAUAUUCAUAAAUGUUUGUAUGCAUCUAGACAUACACUAUAUUUAGGUGCAUACUAGAAAAGUUAAAACGAUCUACAAUUUGGGAUGGAGGGAAUACUAAAGAAACAUGAUAUCAACGCAUCAGAUUUCAAUGUGUUGCACGAGCCUUAGCAUUACACAUUGUCAAAUUUAAGUUCAGCAGGUAGAUCAUGCAUUCUUAGAGGCUUAGAGCCCCUUUACCCGAGCACCGACCGUUCUAGCUCCGUUUGACGUGCUCAUUGUAGACGUAAUUUACUGUUCCAAAGAGAAAAUAAACUGAAGGAAAGAAGCCGGCGAAGCCCUAAUUUCUGUCUCCUCUGGCUCCGACGAAGCGUCGGGUACUCGAACAGCUUGCCGCCCUCGGAGAAGAUGACGACGCCGACGUCGACGUCGCAGAGCACGGCGAGCUCGAUCGUGUGCCUUCUUGAGCGGGUCCUUAAUAGCAGAACAUUGGCGGCCCUUGUGGCGCUUGGAGAAGGCCGGUCACCGGCCUGCCGGCUCACGCGGUUCUCGAUCCUCUUCAAUGCCCCAUUGCUCGCGAGCGGCCUGAACGGCUGAACCCGAUCACCUGCCCCAUCAAAAACCCCAAUUGAUGAAGGAAGGAGGUCAGAUUCCGGAAGAUUUCUGCUUUUCUAGUCGAGAUUGCCAAGAGAACGGGAGCACGGCAGCUUACAAAGGAGAGCACGCCGCCGCGCGCCCCUGCCAAGGGCUUCCUUUCAGGCUAAGGAGAAGGGUCCGGCGAGGCGAGUGCAGCUGAAGCCUGAACAGCCCUUGACGUAGAGCGCAGCGGCCGCCUAGCGCUCCCGGACGUGACGGCCCUUGUCAGCGAUGCAGCGGGACGAGCUAAGAAGCUUUAGCACACAAUGCAUCGCAACAAGCUCGGGUGAGAAGACUUAAAGAGAUAAUUGAUUCCAUAUCAAGGAAAAAAAGUUCAAAUUACUACCCUGAAGUAUGAGCAAAGUCUGGAUAACCUCCUAAACUAUCAAACUGUUUAUUUAACCCCUCUGAUUUCUAAAACCGGUACACGGUACACCUUUUACCUCUAAUCAAAGAUGGUUUUGCUUAUGUGGCGGUGGUUUAAUGCCACAUGACCUGACUAAUGGGAUCCACAUCAGUUAUUCUACUUCUCCUCAGGGUUCCUCCCUCCUCUCACCCCCGCUGCCCUUGGCCCGCCUCCCCCUGCUCCCAUCGCCGCACGCCGUGCCCCACCCCGCUGCAACGCCACCACACCGCCCCUCGCAUCACGCAGCCACAGCAGCAACGCAGUGACGUUCCCAAGGAGCUCACCGACGCGGCGACACGUGCCUCCUCAAGUUCGUCGGCAAGCGCACGGAGGAGUGGUCAAGCUCAAGGGCCCCAUCAAUGUCUGGGCGCGCCAGCACCGAGCGGUGCGAACUCUCGGGGCGGGGCAAGUCGCGGGGCGAUGGCGGCGCGAAUCGAGGUGUCAGGCAAGCGAAUCAAGCGAUGAUUGCGUGAUUUCGGCAAAUGGGAUCCUGAAUCACUGUUGCGUACAUGCACUUACAGAAACCAGUAUCUCAACAACAGAACGUGUACGUGCCGCUUUGCCUGCUUCAGUAUCCGCGGGGCGUGAGCAAUGCCUGGCAGCAUCGGCGAGGUGAGCACCCCCAGGAGGAACCAGUUGAGGCUCAGCAGCGCCAUGGCAUUCGCGGUGAGCCCGUCCCUGCGCAGCGCGGCGCACCACCACGACACGAUUCGCAUGGACACGCGCACCACGGCGAAGAGCCCCGCCAGCAGCGGCAGGCACGGCGUGUGCCGCUGACCACGCCACGCCGCCCACCGCCACCAACAUGCCUAGGCUUUGCGCAAGCGUCCUCGAGCCCGAGCUUCUCUGGCGGACGGCGGACAACAGCUUAGGACGGCGGAUCCUGCGCGUACAGCGGCGUUGGGGUUUUCCAUUAAGGAAAAACAUUUCAUUAAGGAAAGACAUUUCAGCAAAUUAAGUGGAAACCUAGUCACUGCACGGCUGCACCCCCAUCUCAUCUGUCUCAAAUUGGAAGACGUCUGGGAGCAGCAUCCUAAUCCUUCCGCUUCGAUCCGGGUGUCUGCCUCUUUUUCUCUUUUUUUUUUGGUUUUGAUAUCUCCAGUAUGAACAUCACCAUGACUUGGUGCCCAGACUGUCCAGUCAUCAAACUUAGAAAACUUAGAAAACUUCCAGUCAUCCUAAUCCCUACCCAGCUGCGCGUGACUCCACAUACAAAUGAGCCCUCGUUUAAAUCUCCAGCGGAUAGCUAGAGACCACACAUGUAGAGGGACAACAAAAUGGAGUAAGAUAAUCACAAACCAUAUUCCUACUAUAUCUAAGCAUGAUCAUAUAUGCACAAGGAACAUAUUAAAAAGAUUACAGAUGUGAUAAAAAAUGGUAGAAAUAUGUGACUCGCAGAUAUUCACAUAGGAAGUAUGACAAAUAAAUCUUGUGCAUGGAUACAAUCAAACCAGUCUUUAGCACAAGUUUGUCAAGACCCUAAUGGUCUAGUGGGACCAGGAGAUUGGAUCUAUAUCCCAUAAGAGGAAUGCUUGGUAUAAAUAAGCCAUUUUUGGUCUUGUCCCAUGUUUGAUCUGUGUUGCUGGUGCAGUCUAAAUUUGAUUGCGAUUCAUAUGUUAGGAUUGUGAUCUUUUGUUCCUAUGGACAGAUCACUGUCAACUGGAAAACAGACCUAUCUAAGAUCACAAUCCUGAUAAACCUUCCUUUGGCAAUUUUUUUAAAAAAAGUCUCAGAUUGGAACACUGGAAGAUGGGAUGCAAUCCACAACCAAUUCAACCCUAGUGGCAAGACAAGCACAAUCACAAGUAUGCCCUCUUUCUUAGAAAAAGGAAUGACAACAAAAUGCAUGCCGAGAUUUGUGUAUCCAAAUCAAAGCAAAUCAUGAAAGACGUAAACAAAAAUCAUGUCUUAAAUAGUUUGUACUAGCCCAAAAGAAUAUACUAACAUAAAUUUGAAAUAAAUAUUGCAUUGACACAUAACAAAAAAAAAG